RNAcentral lists this long non-coding RNA (91379 nucleotides) under Malus domestica (apple). RNAcentral's name for it is "long non-coding RNA (MDOM_LNC007057)". Lineage: Eukaryota; Viridiplantae; Streptophyta; Magnoliopsida; Rosales; Rosaceae. The record is from RNAcentral.
GGAGAUCAAGAAAUACCAAAGAGCGACCGUUUUCGUUACCUAGGAUCUAUCUUGCAAAAGAACGGAGAAUUAGAUGGAGAUCUCAACCAUAGAAUACAAGCUGGAUGGAUGAAGUGGAAGAGUGCAUCUGGCGUGUUGUGUGAUCGCCGUAUGCCAUUGAAGCUCAAGGGAAAAUUUUAUAGGACGGCAAUAAGGCCGGCGAUGCUGUAUGGCACAGAAUGUUGGGCGGUGAAGCAUCAACACGUACACAAAAUGGGUGUAGCGGAGAUGAGGAUGCUUCGUUAGAUGUGUGGGCACACGAGAAAGGAUAAAAUUAGGAAUGAGGAUAUCCGGGGUAAAGUAGGAGUAGCCGAAAUUGAAGGAAAGAUGAGAGAAAAUCGGUUACGGUGGUUUGGACAUGUGCAAAGAAGGCCUACUGACGCUCCGAUUAGAAGAUGCGACUAUGGGACAGAGGUUCAGGGCCGAAGGGGUAGAGGAAGACCUAGGAAAACUUUGGAAGAGACUCUAAGAAAAGACUUAGAGUACUUGGAUCUAACGAAGGACAUGACACAGGACCGAGCACAAUGGGACGUUCUAAGGCGUUCUAAUUCAUAUAGCCGAUCCCACUCAGUGACUUGGAUUUUCCAAGUCUCCAACCGAGAAGUUUUCCUCACUCGAAAAAUUAAGGGAACACUACCCCAACCUACAUGCUCCACUCAGAAAGCUUCAACAUACAAGCUUCAACAAAAGAAAAUUCAAAAGAACUUAGUGAAGAAGGCUUUGGUGUAUUUAACACAAUACGUUGAAAUGAAGGAAAACUUAUUUAUUGAUAUCCCCGAUAAGCUACAAAUAUGUACAUAUACAUGAGUCAAAAUAAACAAACAAGAUGGAGCCUUCACAAAGGUUGCUUAGGAGAAGUCUCAGCAGUCGGUAGAGCCCCAGAAAGAGAAGGCAUCGGAGGGGGAUCAUUCGGAGCCUCAGUACUGGACAGAACCCUAGAAGGAGGAGGCAUCAGAGGUUGAUCAUUUGGAGCUUCAUUACGCGGUACAGCCCCAGAAGACGAAGGCAAUAAAUGCCUUUGGAACAAACCCACAAAUCUCUGAUGAUCAAGUAAAACCUGACCAUCAGUUUCCUUCAUCUGGUCAAGCUUCCUCUUUCAUGUUUGUAGCAUAGUCAUGUGCGAGCCGGUGCAACUGUUUAUUCUCAUGCUUGAGCCCUCUAAUCUCCUGUUUGAGACUCAUCACUUCGGCCGCCAAUGAUUUCAACUUGGCGGGUUCGAGCAAAUAUAGGCGUUGGGCCAUAUUAGACACAGAACCUGCACACUGAACACUGAGAGCCAGUGAAUCCUUAACAGCUAACUCAUCAGACCGUUUGGAAAGUAGUCUGUUAUCUUUGGGAGUGAGAAGGUUCCUGGCCACCACCGCAGCGGUCAUAUCAUUCUUCAUCACGGAAUCCCCAACGGUAAGAGGACCAGUAGGGGAGACGAAGGAUGGGCGCCAUAUGUUGUCUGGAGAAGGCGGGGCUGCCUCUUCAACAAGGUUCAAGUCAAAACGACGGUCGGAGGGGCCAGACAUUUUCAAAGGGUAUUGAAGAGAGAAGAGGUCGGACAAAUCAAGAUCUUAGAAGUGCAAGAAUGGAGCUUCUACUGGUGGAGAUUCAAGUGUGCUUUGGAACUUAAUGCCAGCCCCUAUAAAAAGCUGCACUCGACGGAGCUUCAGACAUCGAAGAGGCGCCUGCUCAGAAAUCGAAGAGGCGUUUGCUUUCUCAAAAGCUGGGCUGCUUAGAGACCACGAGGGUUGAUCUCAUAAAUCGAAGAGGUGUCUGCUUUCUCAAAAGUUGGGCUGCUCAAAGACCACGAAAGCCGAUAUCAGAAAUCGAAGAGGCGCUCGCUUCCUCAAAAGCUGGGCUCCUCAGAGACCACGAGGGCCGAUCUCAGAAAUCGAAGAGGCACCUACUUUUCCAGCCUUGUCAGCACCUGUCACACGCACACUCAACUUUGCGGAAAUUAUGGGUAUUCUGUUGAAGACUUCUGGGGAAGUAGAAAACACAUGAAUCUUACUGUCCAAUCACCCACUUCCCACACGCAGCAAUAGCUCAUGGGUACCACAGAUAACUUUGCCAAAGUUCUCUGCCAAAGUUGAGCACGUGAAGCUUGCAGCUCCCACUACAUCGCUCUGACCAAUAAGGGUAAAAGAAUAGCAAAGAAACAGCACUAACAAAGUUUAGACCCAUAAAUUUUGAAGGUCUAGCUACCAUAUUAUUACCCACAAGGGUAAAGGAACAGUACCACUGUUGGAUAAUUGGAAAGUCCCUGUGUGUCAACCUCUGUGCCUCGUGGCAAGGUAGACUAGCAAACAUGCCCAACCUUUACUCACAUUCGAGAAAACACUCCCAAUAAGAUUGCUUGCUCCAAAAUCGAAGAGGCACCGUCCUCCGAAUCUCGAGAGCCAGACUCCCAACAUGACUACUUUCUCAAAAAUCGAAGAGAGGGUAAAGGAAACAGUACCAUUGCUGGAUAAUUGGAAAGUCCCUGUGUGUCAACCUCUGUGCUUCGUGGCAAGGUAGACUAGCAAACAUGCCCAACCUUUACUCUCACAUUCGAGAAAAACACUCCCAACAAGAUUGCUUGCUCCCAAAAUCGAAGAGGCACCGCCCUCCGAAUCUCGAGAGCCAGACUCCCAACAUGAUUACUUUCUCAAAAAUCGAAGAGACACUGCUCCCCGAAUCUCGAGAGCCAGACCCCCACCCCCAACAUGAUUGCUUUCUCAAAAAUCGAAGAGGCAUCGUUCUCCCGAAUCAAUCGAAGAGGCGCUCGCUUUCUCUCAAAAGCUGGGCUGCUCAGAGACCACGAGGGCCAAUCUCAGAAAUCGAAGAGGCACCUUCUUUUUCUAGCCUUGUCAGCACCUGUCACACGCACACUUAGCUUUUGCGGAAAUUAUGGGCAUUCUGUCGAAGACUUCUGGUGAAGUAGAAAGCACAUGAAUCUUACUGUUCAAUCACCCACUUCCCACACGCAACAAUAGCUCAGGGGUACCACAGAUAACUUUGUCAAAGUCUCUGCCAAAGUUGAGCACGUGAAGCUUGCAGCUCCCACUACAUCGCUCUGACCAAUAAGGGUAAAAGAAUAGCAAAGAAACAGCACUAACAAAGUUUAGACCCAUAAAUUUUGAAGGUCUAGCUACCAUAUUAUUACCCACAAGGGUAAAGGAACAGUACCAUUGCUGGAUAAUUGGAAAGUCCCUGUGUGUCAACCUCCGUGCUUCGUGGCAAGGUAGACUAGCAAACAUGCCCAACCUUUACUCACAUCCGAGAAAACACUCCCAACAAGAUUGCUUACUCCAAAAUCGAAGAGGCACCGCCUUCCGAAUCUCGAGAGCCAGACUCCCAACAUGAUUACUUUCUCAAAAAUCGAAGAGACACUGCUCCCCGAAUCUCGAGAGCCAGACCCCCACCAUGAUUGCUUUCUCAAAAAUCGAAGAAGCAUCGUUCUCCGAAUCUCGAGAGCCAGAUACCACAUACCACUUUUUCAAAGUGCUCUGACAGAGUUAAAACAUGUGAAGCUGGCAGCUCCCACUACCGUGCUAUGACCAAGCAGGGUAAAGGAAUAGCAUUACUACUUGUUGUUAGGGAGACUCCUAUAUAUGUCGACCUCCAUCCCCAACGGACAGGCAGACCUGCAAAAAUGCUCAACCCUUCCUCAUAUCUGAGAGGGCACUCCCAACGAAGCCUUUCGAAAUAUUCAGCUUUCUUUCCCCCCGAUAAUACCUUUGCAAACAAGCUAUACUAGAGCAAGAAUAUCUCAUAUCAUCAGGGUUAAAAGCAAGAGUAUCCCAUAUCAUGCUUUUUCCCUGUCUUUUCCUUUGGCCUUGUUUUUACCUGCAAGACAAGGAGAAAGAGAGCAAUCAGUCAGCACUUGAAAUCAAGCUUCCAGCCAGGAACUGACAGCCUGGAACCCCUUACCUGAUUACUUACCUGGCAUUGCUCUCGAGUACUCAUCUUCAACAUCUUAUGUUGCCAGGGAAGAUACCGCAUCUGCUUGAGGAACAGAUAGGGCAAGUGCGAAGGAUACAAGGAAGCAUGUGGAGACAAGCGUAACAGCACACGUGCCGAUCCAUCCAUUACUCUGUCAAAAGCAAAAGUAUCCCAUAUCAGCAGGGCCGAACGUACUCUAGAUUUGAUGGACUUGUUUUGACCCUCAAAUUCUUCAGUCGGCCUUAUACUCUGGAGGAAACCAGAAAACCCUCCAGCUCAGUUCAAGAAUAAGCCUGUGGAAAGUUACUUCUUCAAAAGCAAAAGUAUAUCCCAUAUCAUCUCUUCUCAUUUUUCUUCUCUUUAUCCUUCAUGCUGCUGCAAGAUGGGGAGAAGGUGAACAAUCAGCCGGAGCUCUGAUUGCUUACCUUGUCUGUCACCUCUUUCAGCAAAUCCCCUAGCUCGGCGACUUGGGGGACUCCUACUACAUGGUUUGUAUCGCGCUUGACCAAGCCUGAAACUACAAGUAAGCUUCAAGUGAAAUUGAUACAUUACCUAGUGCAUCUCCACCAGUUAAAGAUACCACCCCUGGAUGGAGGAAGAGUACUUCCAGAGAGCUGCCACAUCUACCUAUGAGACAGAUAAGGCAAGUCAAGAUGAUACCACACUCCGAUACUUAGAAGUUUCGUGAUUACGAGAUCAUUCUCCCACAAUAUUUCCUAAUGUCAUUUGUACUCACUAAAGGAGAGCUUGAACCUAUGUACUUGUGUAAACCCUUCACAAUUAAUGAGAACUCUUCUAUUCCGUGGACGUAGCCAAUCUGGGUGAACCACGUACAUCUUGUGUUUGCUUUCCUAUCUCUAUCCAUUUAUAUACUUAUCCACACUAAUGACCGGAGCAAUUUAGCGAAGAUCACAAAAAGCGACCGUUUUCGCUACCUAGGAUCUAUCUUACAAGAGAACGGAGAAUUAGAUGGAGAUCUCAACCAUAGAAUACGAGCUGGAUGGAUGAAGUGUAAGAGUGCAUCCAGCAUGUUGUGUGACCGUCGUAGGCCACUGAAGCUCAAGGGAAAAUUUUAUAAGACGGCAAUAAGGCCAGCGAUAUUGUAUGGCACAGAAUGUUGGGCGGUGAAACAUCAACACGUACACAAAAUGGGUGUAGCAGAGAUGAGGAUGCUUCGUGGGAUGUGUGGGCACACGAGAAAGGAUAAGAUUGAGAAUGAGGAUAUCCGAGGUAAAGUAGGAGUAGCCGAAAUUGAAGGAAAGAUGAGAGAAAUCGGUUUUGGUGAUUUGGACAUGUGCAAAGAAGGCCGACUGACGCUCUGGUUCGAAGAUGUGACUACGGGACAGAGGUUCAGGGCCGAAGGGGUAGAGGAAGACCUAGGAAAACUUUGGAAGAGACUCUAAGAAAAGGCUUAGAGUACUUGGAUCUAACGGAGGACAUGACACAAAACCAAGCGCAAUGGCGUUCUAGGAUUCAUAUAGCCGACCCCACUUAGUGGGAAAAGGCUUUGUUGUUGUUGUUGUUGUUGUUGUUGAAGACUGAUGAGGGGAUAUACGACUCACAAACAACUGAGACUGUCCUUUUUUUUUUCUUCUUUUUUUCAUAUCAACAAACACACAAAUUCUUAUAUUUCCGAAAGCACUUGCAUCCCAACAUAAAAACUUAAAUAAUACAUGAAUCAUCGAUGUUUUGCUUUGCAAACAGCCAAGGGGAUGGGAACUAAAAUAAAUUUCGUGACCAAGAACCUCUUAAAAACCAAGCUUGAAAGCAUAAAAACAAAGCUUUCAAUCUUUCUGUGCAAAUUAAUAUCAUAAUCAAUUCAACCACAUUUCCGCAAUCCAAAGCUUCAAACUUCAUACAAAAAUACAAUAAUUUUUAGAAUUUCACCCAAACAUAAAGAGAAUAAUAUUGUUAGGUGCGGAGAAGAAAAAACCAGGGAAAAAUGGAAGAUGGAUUUUAGCCUGGAAAAGCAAUUCACAGCAACAAUAAAAAGGUGAAAUUAAAAACUCAAUUGAAUCAAAUGAAGAAUUUUCUAGAGUGCAAACAAUUAGUGUUAUCAGCAAGAAGUUUCAGACCAUAAAAUGCAAAAGCAUGUGCCCAAAAUGCAAUCCUAUAAAACAUGAAACAGCAGCCAUAAGAUAAUCGGAAAUUUUCUAAUAAAAUGAACCGAAGACCAACUUUGAAUAAUUGGUAACGAUGAGGCUUUGACAUUGAUAGAGUGUGUAUGAGAGAGAGAGAGAGAGAGAGAGAGAGAGAUGGAAAUAGAGUUAGAAUUAGACCAAUGCAGAAAUCAACCUUAAGAUUCCCUCUGGGUCAAAUGGUUGCACCAUUGAUGAGAAACAGUCGGUCGGUAGAGGUUGAUAGUAGGAGAACUAACAUUGCAUUCCUGAAACACAAAGGAUUAACCUUUUUCAAUUAUCAUCAGUGAAUGCACUAAUACAGGACUUAAAUUCUGAUAUAUUCAAUAAUCUAGUUGUAAGAACUAUAUCACAGAUCAAAGAUAUGCCAGUAAGUUACCAAUACUCCAACAAUCGAACUAAGUGACAAAACUACAAACACGAAUAUGAAACCAAUGGAAAACAUACCUGCAGAACUUGAACUCGAAGAAGCCAUAGCAGCUUCACAACCAAGCAAUCUUCUCCUCUUUAGCAAAACUAGAAAACUCUCUGAAUAAUAGGUAUUCAAUACAAGAUGAGCCGUGUCUUUGCAAGAGCAGUGAUUGAGGUUAUAUACAACAUUAAUCCAACUCAUUCUCCUAUUAGAAUUAGUGUUGAACUCUAAAACAAAACCUUUUCACACAAUGAGUGUACAAGAUCAAUUAGUGUAGGAUCCGAAACCUUUUCCAGAGGAACACUAAAAGCACUCAUAAUCCUACAAGGACGAGGAUUCAACCAAACACCUUAUCAAGACUUUUCCAUUCAAGAAUUCAUCCAAUAUUAUAGCUAAUCCUCAAACAUGUUUCAUACUCAUAUUCCAACAUUCUCCCACUUGAGUAUGAAGACAUAAUGAUUAACUAAAUGAAUGAUGGAAGUGAUCACUAAGUCUAAUCAUAAGGCUCGCAAUUUCGUAUUCAAACUCACCUAUGCAAUUCAAAAUAUGGAACUCUUGAAUUCUAUCUGCACAAUUUCAGAUUUCAUCCAAGAAUUACAACAUAUCCAAGUUUGCAUGUUGUAACUGUACGAAUCAAUAAUCACAGUAAUGCCAAUACUCAUUACUCCCACUGAUUUAUGCCAAUUUUAACCCAAUCACAGUUAAAAUCUCAGCAAACAAUCAAAACAACAACCAUUCAAAACAGAACAGUACUCUAAAUAGUUCCAAAGUAUACCUCAGCAAAAUCACAAACUGAUUCACUAGCAAACUCAAACUAUUCUUAUUUCAAUACUAGCUUUCUGAAACAAUCAAUCACUAAAACGAAAAAAAAUUGAAUACUGAUGAAAACAAAAAUAAAAGUCAAGCUGGAAAAUUAGCUAGAUAAAGAUACCAGCUUGUCACAACUAAUUGAACUCGAGAAAUCUUCAAUUGCGGCAACAUAUAACCACUGCAGCCUUAAAAUAAUCCCAAAACCUGAUCACUGCUCACUCCCACUUAUCAAAAGAUUCUAACACUCCCAUUUUAGUAACAUGUGCCUUAAACGCAUUGUUUGGCAAGGCUUUAGUAAGAGGAUCAGCAAUCAUCUUUUCAGUAGGCAAAUAUAGAAUUUCGAUCUCUCCUUUUUUCACCAUUUCUCUGACUUUAAGAAACUUCACAUCCAUUAGUCUUGACGCUGAGGUUCUCUUAUUGUUCUUGGAGAAAAACACUGCAGCAUUAUUGUCACAAAACAUCUUUAAAGGCCUUUUAACUGAGUCAACAAUUCUCAUCUCAGCCACAAAGUUUCUCAACCAUACUGCUUGUUUCAUUCCUUCAAAACACGCAACGAAUUCAACUUCCAUUGUAGAAGUAGACACUAUUGUUUGCUUAGCACUUUUCCAGGAGAUAGCACCAUCAUUUAGCAUAAAGAUGUAUCCCCCAGUUGAUUUCCUCUCAUCUACGUCCCCAGCAAGAUCUGAAUCUGUAGACCCAACCAAUUCUAAGGUAUCAUCUCUGCCAUAAACUAAUUGAUAAGCUUUUGUUCUCUGCAUGUAUCGUAAUACUUUCUUUGCAGCCACCCAAUGAGAUUCUCCUGGAUUUGUUUGAAACCUUCCUAACAUUCCAACAAUGAAUGCUAAGUCAGGCCUCGUACAAAUAUUAGCAUACAUAAUGCUUCCAACUAAUGAGGCAUAAGGCUUCAACUUCAUCAAUUCGACCUCAUUCUCAUUCUUGGGACAUUGAUCUCUAGAAAACUUGUCACCUUUAUUAACUGGAAUUUGCCUUAUUGCAUUUCUCCAUAUUAAAUCUGUUCAAUACCCUUUCAAUGUAUCCCUUUUGAGACAGCCCCAGAAGCUUUCUUUUUCUGUCUCUUGUUAUUUCAAUCCCCAGAACAUAAUGUGCUUCCCCUAAAUCCUUCAUUUCAAAAUUGGUACUCAGAACAGUCUUCGUCUCUCGAAGUAAUUGCAUAUCGGAACUUGCAAGUAGAAUAUCAUCAACGUAUAGGACCAGAAAAAUGAACUUUGAUCCUUUGUGUUUUAAAUAUAUGCAAUCAUCCAUCUUGUUCUCAACAAAACCAUGAGCAGUAACUACCUGAUCAAAUUUGAGGAACCACUGCCUAGAUGCUUGUUUAAGUCCAUAAAUUGACUUGUUUAGCUUGCAGACCAUAUUAUCUUUCCCCUUUCAGAAAAUCCAGGAGGUUGGACCAUGUAUAUGUCUUCCUCUAAAUCACCAUUCAGAAAGGCGGUUUUAACAUCCAUCUGGUGUAGCUCUAGAUCAAAAUGAAAUGUCAAAGCCAUGAUGAUCCUCAUAGAAUCUUUGGAAGAAACAGGUGAAAACGUGUCAUUGUAAUCAAUCCCUUCUCUCUGAGUAAAGCCUUUGGCUACUAACUGAGCCUUGUAUCUCUCUAUGCUCCCUGCAGCAUCCCUUUUAGUUUUGUAGACCCACUUGCAACCUAUUGGUUUAGCAUUUGAAUUGGAGUUCACAAGGGUCCAUACUUUGUUCUUGGCCAUGGAAUCUAGCUCUUCCAUCAUCGCUUUCUUCCAUAAUGCAGCUUGAGAACAUUGAAUUGCUUGUUGAUAAGUGGCUGGAUCAUCUAUAUCACCUAUGUCGAAUUCUGCCUCUUGGAGAUAGACAUAAUCGGUUGAAAUUGCAGGUUUCUUGGCUCUACUUGAUUUCCUCAGAUUCAAUUGAUCAUUUACUGGACAUGUAUCUUUCUCAAUGGGAGAACUUGGAGCACUUAGGGGUAUAUUUCUUGCAGAAAAGGUAUCUCCAUGUUCAUUUUGUAUUUCAGCAACUAUUUCAUGUGUCAUCUCUUCAUCAAGAUCUUCUUCCUCUGUCUGAUUUCUAGGCAACACUGAAAUAUGGUUGUAGGCCAUUGGAACCGAGCCAACGAGUUGUUCUGAUUCUUCAAACUCAAAAGUGUCAUGCACUAAGUCUGAUACAUCUUGGUCUUCUAAGAAAACUGCAUUGUAAGUCUCUUGAAUUCUUGUCUGUGCUCGAGGACAAUAAAAUUUAAAACCCUUCGAUUUCUCUGAAUAUCCCACAAAGUAGCAUGAACUGGUUCUAGAAUCGAGCUUCCUUUCAUUUGGGUUGUAAAACCUAGCUUCUGCUUUGCAACCCCACACAUGAAAAUGAUGAAAACUUGGUGUUCUGCCAGUCCAUAGCUCAAAAGGUGUUUUUGGCACUGAUUUUGUAGGCACUCGGUUCAACACAUAGUUUGAUGUCCUCAAUGCUUCGCCCCACAGAAAACCAGGCAGCUUAGAUCUUGAAAUGAGACUUCUAACCAUUCCCAUCAAGGUUCGGUUUCUUCUCUCAGCCACUCCAUUCUGUUGGGGUUUUCCUGGAGUAGUAUACUGAGCCACAAUGCCUUGUAACUCAAGAAAUCGUGCAAACGGACCCUUCUGUUGCCCUGCUUCUGUGUGCCUGCCAAAAUAUUCUCCUCCCCUAUCUGAUCUAACAAUCUUAAUUUCAAGAUUUAGUUGUUUUUCUACUUCACAUUUAAAAACUUUAAAACACUCAAUGACUGCUGACUUUUCUUUUAUUAGAAAAAUGGAACCAUGUCUGGAGUAGUCAUCUAUAAAACUCACAAAAUAUGAAUUUCCACAAAUGGUUUUGACAGGAAAAGGUCCACAAACAUCUGUGUGUAUGAUCUCAAGUAAAUUUUUACUUCUAUUUGCAUCCAAUUUCCUAACAUUGGUGGUUUUACCUUUCAUACAAUCAAUGCAAUCAGAUGCAUCAUUAAAAUCUAAUGCAGGUAUAAAGUUUAACUUUGACAAUUGCAUGAUCCUAUCUUUUGAAAUGUGUCCUAGUCUUUUGUGCCACAACAUAUAGGAAUUGUCAAAGUUAUGCAUUCUUUUGGCAGUUGUGUUCAAAAUACUUAAUUCAAUAUUUAAUACCGUGCACUGCAUUUUCCACAAAUGAUCAUGCAAAAUAGCCUUUCCUAUUAGAGACCCUCUACUGAAAAAUUUCAUGCAUUCUUUGUUACCUAUGAAGGUGACACCUUCAUUUACUAACCUAGAUGCAGAUAUUAGAUUUCUCCUCAUUGCAGGCACAUAUAACACAUUUGACAAUUCUAACACAAAACCAAAAGACAAUUUGAGUUUUACCUUUCCUAUGGACUCAACUAUGACUCUGGUUCCUUCACCAACAUAAACAUUAUAUGCAUUUGCUUGUUUCUGUUUUUCAAAACCAUGCAGUGAAUUUGUUAUAUGCACAGAUGCACCAGUAUCAAACCACCAAGAAUUUGCAGGAAUUUCAAUGAGAUUUGAUUCCUCACAGACAUAUACAUUAGUCCUACCCUUAGCCCUCAGCCAUUCCUUGAAUAUUUCACAAUCCUUUCUAUAAUGACCUUUAGUUUUGCAAUGGUGACACCUAACCUUUUCUAUGUUUUUACUUUUGACCUUAAAAUUGUUAGAUUUAGAGGAGUUGAAAUUCUUAGCAGGCACAUAAGAUUUAUCAAGGUGUUUGGGUUUAGAAGUAUUACCAAAAUUUGCAUUGAAGUCUUUCUUUCGAGAUGUCUGCACAAAAUUGACAGCCUCAACUUCUUUUCCUCUAUCCAUCUUCUGUCGAUUUUCCUCUUGAACACACUGAGAUAUAAGCUCAUCCACUGACCAUGACUUAUCUUGAGUGUUGUAGGAGACUUUCAGUUGACUGAACUUCAAAGGAAGUGCUUGCAGGAUCAUGAACACCAGCUGUUUCUCACAAAUAUUCAUAUCUAAUGAAUUGAGUUUUUCAGCCGCAUCUGUCAUCUUCAUAAUAUGAUCUCUUAUUGAACCACCCUCUUCAAACUUGUAAGUUGUGAGCAGAGUCAUGUACUGAGCAAUUUCAGCCUUCUGUGAUUCCUUGAACUUAUUCUCAAUAGCUUUGAAAUAAUCUUUUGCAAGAUCACACCUUUUGAUGCCUCCUCGCACGGUGUCCGUCAUCCCACUUUCCAAAAUUGACAAUGCCACUUUAUUCGCUCUUGUCCAUCUUUCAAACUCUAACUUAUCAGCCUUUGAACUCUUAUCAGUAAGAGGUGCAGGCUGUGGUGUAUCCAGUGCUAUGUCAUAUUCAUUCAGUGUCAAAAGCAAUUCAAUUUCCCUUCUCCACUUUCUGUAAUUACUUCCACCCGUGAGUAUUGGCACAGCAGCCAAAUUCAUUGUUUUUAGUGAAACUGCAGAAGAUAACAAUGAAAUCAACACUUUGAAUCUUUUAGGAUUCAUGAUUUCUAUCUAUUUCACCAUGUAAUCCUCAUCAUGAGUCAAUUUUGUCAUACAUGGUUUCAAACUUUGAUAAAGAUAACCAUAUAUAGAGUAAACAACUCACAGAAGAUUGCAUUCAAGAAUCAUGUUCAAAAGGGAUGAUGUUCAUAUAUCACACCACAUGAAUCGAAUAUCAAAAUUCAAUAAACCCAAUAUAAAACAGCAGCGGAAACUCAAAAAUAAUUGAUUCAGUUUAUCCAUUUAGAUGAUUUUGAUUCGAAUUGGCGAGAUGCUAGCAAAUUCUCUAAUUAUAAGCAUAUAUACGGUAUUCUUUAGUUCAAAUAAUUUCUUACACUAAUUUCAAGUUUUAAAAUUGUAGACAUACCUUUUGGAACAAUCAAUGAAUGCAAUUGGCAUGAGAAGGAUAAAAAGGACGAAAAUUCCUUAAAUCGCUAUAAACCCAGAAACUGGGAAAAGGAAAAGAGCUAAGGGAGAGGAAAAGUCGCAAAACCCAGCAAACAUAAGGGUAAGACCCCUUUUUUUUUUUUUUUUUUUUUUUUUUUUUUUUAAUAAAACGGUGUCGUUUGCUAUUGUUAUUUUCAAAACAGGUUAUGAUUCUGGGUUUGGUAAUUAUAGGUUCUUGUCCAGAUUGUUGUGCAAAAAAAAAAAAUAAUAAUUCGAACUUAAUGGCAAUUAUCUCUCCCAAGCUCUAAUACCACAUGUAAGAACUAUAUCACAGAUCAAAGAUAUGCCAGUAAGUUACCAAUACUCCAACAAUCGAACUAAGUGACAAAACUACAAACACGAAUAUGAAACCAGUGGAAAACAUACCUGCAGAACUUGAACUCGAAGAAGCCAUAGCAGGUUCACAACCAAGCAAUCUUCUCCUCUUUAGCAAAACUAGAAAACUCUCUGAAUAAUAGGUAUUCAAUACAAGAUGAGCCGUGUCUUUGCAAGAGCAGUGAUUGAGGUUAUAUACAACAUUAAUCCAACUCAUUCUCCUAUUAGAAUUAGUGUUGAACUCUAAAACAAAACCUUUUCACACAAUGAGUGUACAAGAUCAAUUAGUGUAGGAUCCGAAACCUUUUCCAGAGGAACACUAAAAGCACUCAUAAUCCUACAAGGACGAGGAUUCAACCAAACACCUUAUCAAGACUUUUCCAUUCAAGAAUUCAUCCAAUAUUAUAGCUAAUCCUCAAACAUGUUUCAUACUCAUAUUCCAACACUAGUUACCAGAGAAUGACUUUUAUCCUUCUAUAAACAGGCAGUUGAUAAAGGUGACUCUGGCCCAAUAUAACUUGACUCAUAAACUGGAAACUUUGAGGCUUCAAACUCUGAGCCAAAAGUUGAAGCUUCUCACUCAACAAACAAAAAUUACAAAUCCAAAACUAAAAAGAAUCAGAAACAAACUAAAACAUGGGAUUGGUGAAGGCCAUACCUUCGAAAGCAUAGACGCAGACAGCUCUUCGAGAGCGAUCCCAACUCCGGGGUCGGAGGCGGAAACAGAGGCCAAUAUCCUCAAGAUUUUGCGUUGACGAUUGUGAGAUCGGGAUAAAACGGUCGAAACCAAAUUUGCAAGUUUUGAAAAAACGUUAAGGAAUCUGGGUUUCAAUGAAUAAGGAGGUUGCAAAUAAAAUCCCCAAAGAAACAAAAAAAAGGUCUCCCAUGUCGGUAUUUUGUGAGAGAAAAAGCGCAAGAUUCGAGAGCGAGUUCAACAGCAGCAGAAGCACAGAUUUGUGAGAAAGAAGAAAUCGAAGGAAAAAUCGAGAAGAUGCAAGAGAGGCUUGAGGCAAGCAUGGACAAAUGGGUAAUCUUACGUGUAAAGAGGAGAAAGAACGGAGCAGGAAAGCUGUUUGACAAGGCAAUAUCGCUAAUUUAAUUCUGGUGAGCAACGCUUUUCCACCAAGUGGAUGGCAAGGGCAAAAACACCUUUUUACUGUGAAAAAGACGCAAAAACAAAAUGGCACAUAAAAAAGCAUUCAGAGGGCAUUUUCGUCCGUUUACUGCUGGUGAACAGUGUUUUUUUGCUUGAGUUUUAGUAUAGGUUCAACUAAAAAUUGUUAUCCGCGUGAUUAGAAACUGUUAAAAAAAAUUAUCAUAGACUAUUAAUAUUAUUUACAUUAAAAAUGUUACACGAUUUUAACAAACAAAAAAUUUAAUCUAUACAGUAUACACACAAACAAUUGUAGAACUUUUGUCUUUACAUAAAAAAAAUAAAAAAAAUCUAAGUUAUUCACUGAAGCACCUAAAGUUUCUUGAUUGUGAAGAAAGCAACCUCAGCAAGGAAAAAUAUGAAAUAUUAAAAUACAUGCAAUUAAUUUAUACAUCAACGGGCUUAUAUUACAAAAAAAUAAGGAUAAAGUAUUGCUACCUAGUCUUUUUUUUUUUGGAGGAAAAUAAUCUGAUUUUAUACCAAUUAGAGAGAACUUUUUUUCAGCAAUUUAAUAGUCUAAUAAAUUGAUUAUACAAAAAAUCCAUUAAAAAAACCUAAAAACAAUAAACUAUUCACUAAUUUUUCAUACGAAAUAGAACAAAGCUAUAGAAUAUACCUUUUCAUAGUGAGUAUUGUGAAAAAUACAACAUAGCUUGAGACAAUGGUAAUUAACGUGUUUGGAAAAGUCUACCUGCGUGGUGGUGUAAUCGUCACAUAGAUAAACUUCAAUGCCAAUUGAUUGAACUAAGUUUUUUUUUUUUAACAAACAAUAUUAUCUACACUAAAGAGAAAGGUAAGCUUUAGCCUCACAACAAGAGAAGCCUUGCGCAGAGCUCUACCUCUAACAACUCAAUUAUAUCUUGAAAUCGGCUAAGUUGGUAUUGUAACACGGUAAGGUUGGGUAGAUUUUAGAUCCAAAUGUCACCAAACAAUAUUCUGCAGAAUGGCAGUGUUCUGUCUAGAUUGUCCAUGGCACGGACGUAAACUGGAUGAUAACGCAGGGCAACACUGGUACUAUACCCUAAACAUCCACAAGCUAUAAACAAAUAGUUAAAGUUCAUAUGCACCAAGGGUACUAAAACUCAACCCAUUGUUUAGUAAGAAGAACCACAAAAACAAAUUAGUAAAAACCGAAAUGGUUAUCAGAUGGACACAAAGGUUUUUGUACUACGUGAAACUUUGCGUCGAGAAAUUGAAACAACUAUCAGGAGACAGUUAUACGGAUUUCCUACAAUUCUAUAAAUAAUGUAUUCUUUCACCAUUGUUUCAAUUCAAACAAAAAUUAAAGAACAGAAAAGCUAGAAGCAGGAAAAUUGCAACUGAUCAAUAUUUUCCAAACAAAACCAACCUGCAAUGUCCUAGUUGCAAAUUCAACUCCAAUGGUGGACUUAGACUCCAAAGAAAACUCAUUCCUCGUAAACCUCGAAAGAAUGUUCGAUUUUCCAACACCCGAAUCUCCAAUCAAUACAAUCUUGAAGAGGUAAUCGUAUUCGUGAUCCACCUUGUACGCCAUACGUUCUACUCCUCACACACACACCCCCACAACACCUGCCCAGAUCCAGAAUUCACCAAACAAAAAGCUGUUAGCAGUCAAAAAACCAAAAAAAUAAACCCAUUCUCUUGUUUUGACAGAAGGGAUGAGAAAAGUGCUGAUCAGAGAGCAUUUUCUUUACCUACGGUUUCUUUCCAAUGUGAUUUUCCCGAGAAACAAACGGAAAUUGGGUAAUCAUAAAACAAUGACAAUGGCGCGUAGAAUGGUGAUUAACAAAAUAGAGGAUUUUUUGAAUGUUGGGUUUUGUUAUGUUUGCAUUGAAGUUUGUGGAAACAGAGGAGAGGAGAAAAGAAGAAGAAAAGGAUGGCGUUGUACAAAGUUAGAAACAGAACAAUGGAUGAAAAUGCACUUAAACGGCCUUUCACGAGGGAACUGACGCGCCGAAUUCGGAGUCUAUGUAAAGUAAACGACCAUUCAUAAGACAUGACGCAUAAAAUUUAAGCCCAUUCUCAAUAUGGGCUUAGGGCAUAUGUUUGUAACCCACUGAAAAGCUCCAUUAGGGUUUCCUAUCACACACUAUUUAUCUCUCUACACACUUAUGUCAUGUAGUCAUGUUUAAUCAUAUCAGUUGACUAUUGAUUUUAUCAACUUGGGUUACUAAAAAUUAAGAAAUGAGUGCAAUUAUCAUUUCUAACUGUUUUAAAAUGUUAGGAUGAUUCAUAAACAAAUUGGAAGUUCAAAAGAUAAGUCGGAAUGAGCCCCUAAAUUCAAAGGGCAUUUGCCAUGUCUCUCUGUUUUGUGAAUCAUUAAAAGUGACAUUAUUUAUCCUUACAUAUUUUGUCUUUGGUGCACAAAGUGACUACUACUACCUACCACUACAAACCUAACCUCUUACACCACCAUUGUUACCACCACGCCACCACCACGACCAUAACACACAAGCGUCACCACUACCACCACUUACCUCUGUGGCUCAACCACCACACCCCUUAAUCAGCAGCACCACCACCACUAUCACAACCAUUGUCCUAGCCACCGUUGUCAACGUCAUCACACAAAUUAUCAUGUCCAUUUUUGUUAUUAUAUACAAUUAUAUCAUUUUACAUUAAAUUUUACCAAACACGCUUUUACAAUGCUUUUCAUACUCACAACACUUAUAAAAAUACAGUUAUCAAACGCUCAGCUACUUUAUUUUGUAGCUGAUUAUUCUUAAAGCACAACAUAAACAAUUUUUUUUUAAAGCAUAGUACUCCCCAACUGGCCCUAAGUCCACAAAUGAGUCAUCCCAAGCAAAGCCGGUCUUGAGUUUUUUGGUGCCCGGAAAAGAAUCAGAAAGUGCCUUUUCUUAAUACACGGGUAUAUAUUAAAAAUAAAUAUUUAAAAAGAGUGGGCCAAACCCUUCAUACAUAUUAUAUUACUCAAGUGCAAAGGUAAACGUUCAUAGCUAAUAAGGAUAAAACUGUUAAAAGCAUAGUUAGUUAGAAUUGUUAUAAGGUGGUUAUGAUAGCUUGUAAUUAGUGAAUGUUUGUUUGGGUAUUUUUGUAAUUAGCUGGUUAGCUAAGACUAGUGAGUCACUAGUAUAUAUAUGUACAUACCAUUGUAUAAUUUUAUCUUGAUGAAAUGAAAAGAUAACAUUUCUAAUAUGGUAUCACCCACCUAAAAGUCUCACGACAUUUUCGAUCCUAUUUUUCCCGCCUCUCUCUCUGCAUCGUCUCCUAGGGUUUGCUUCUUCUUCUCCGAUCAAUCGAUCGCUUCAACACUCUUGCUUCUUCUUCUUCAUGCUAUGACGAGCUCUGCAGCUUAGUCUUCUUCCGCUUCAGAUUCUUCUAUUCAUCCAAUUCCUGCUGCUCUUUCUAACCCUAAUUCUGCAAUUACGAUCCAAAACAUUGGAUCCAUGGUUCCAAUCAAGCUUACAACGACGAACUACCUGACCUGGAGUGCUUUAUUCACUCCGAUUUUCCGCCGGUACAAUCUUACCAGAUUAAUUGACUGCACAAUGGCUGCUCCGUCGAAAUUCCUUCUCGAUGCAUCUGGAAAUUGCACCGCCACUCUGAAUCCCCAAUAUGUUGCGUGGUAUGAGAAUGAUCAGAACAUCUUGAUCUAGAUCAACUCUACGCUCUCGGAUGCAUUCUUUACACUGUUGGUGUUAAUUCGGCUCGGGAGUUAUGGUCCAAGUCAUGUAUUUCUCUUUCUAGUGUUUUAAAUAAAACUGUCUGCUCCAGCUGUGCUCUAGGCAAGUCUUCAAAAUUACCUUUUGUUUCUGUUUCCUGUACCUCCAAUAAACCUCUGGAAUUGUUACACACUGAUGUAUGGGGUCCAGCCCCUCUUCUUUCUAUCAAUGGACAUCGUUACUACAUCAUUUUUGUUGAUGAUUAUACCAAAUACACUUGGUUCUUUCCUCUUGCAUCCAAGUCUGAUGUCUUUGACACAUUUGUCAAAUUUAAAGCUCCCGUGGAAAAUCUACUCAGUUCUAAAAUAGUUACUAUAAGAUCUGAUUCUGGUGGAGAGUUUCUUAGUCUCAAGCUCAUCAAUUAUCUGCAAUUACAUGGCAUUUCACAUCAGUUAAGUUGCCCUCACACGCCUGAACAGAAUGGCUGUGCUGAACGCAAACAUCGGCAUCUAGUUGAAACUGCUAGAACUUUUCUAGCAGCCUCUCAAGUUCCUAAGCUCUAUUGGGAUGAUGAUUUUGCCACGGCUAUCUAUCUGAUUAAUAGAAUGCCAACAGCUACCAAGUAUUCUCCUUGGGAAUUACUCUUUCACAAACCUCCGGAUUAUUCCUCUCUGAAAGUGUUUGGCUGCAAAUGUUUUCCUUGGUUGAAGCCUUACAUUUCCUCUAAACUUGAUCCAAAGAGCAAAGUAUGUGUCUUUUUGGGUUAUAGUUUGAAUCACAAUGGUUAUAAAUGUCUCGAUCCUCAUACUGGCAGAGUAUAUCUUUCACGGCAUGUUAUUUUUUAUGAAGUCACUUUUCCUUUUGCUCAACAAGACUUAUCUCAGUCUCUCCCAUCUAGUUCUAGUUCUUCUAUACUGAGGAAUCAUCACACCAUUCCCACAACCUUAACUUUUCCCACUAUAUCUUCACCUUUACCAUCUCAUUCCCUUACUGCACCUAGUUCCCUUAUUGCAUCUAGUUCUCUUGCUGCACCUAUUUCCUCUUCCUCAUCUCCUCACCUUAUUUCUCAUCCCAUCUCUGCCCCUAAUCCACUUGCCGCACCCUCCAUACCUCAAAACACUCAUGCCAUGCAAACUCGUUCCAAAUCCAGUAUUGUCAAACUAAAGGUUUUUUUAGCAACCAAACAUCCCAUUUCCUCUGAGAUGUCACUGGACUAUAUACCAUCCACUUAUCUUCAAGCCUCCAAACACUCUCACUGGAGGCAAGCUAUGCAGGAAGAAUUUAAUGCUCUUAUUCAAACUGGCACUUGGUCUUUGGUCCCUUCUCAUUCUUCUCAGAAUUUGGUUGGUGCAAAAUGGGUAUUCAGAAAUAAACGCAAGCCUGAUGGUACCAUUGACAGGUACAAAGCAAGGCUUGUUGCCAAAAGAUUUCAUCAGCAACAAGGUUUGGACUACACUGAAACAUUUAGUCCAGUUGCAAAGCCGGUUACCAUUCGGCUUCUUCUCACUUUGGCUGCCAAGUUUGAUUGGUUCCUCAAUCAACUUGAUAUUAGCAAUGCAUUUUUGCAUGGUAAUCUCACUGAAUCUGUGUUUAUGGUACAACCACCAGGAUUUGAAGACCUUACAAUGCCUUCUCAUGUUUAUCAUUUGCAUAAGUCUUUGUAUGGUUUGAAGCAAGCCCUCAGGGCUUGGUAUGAGAAAUUAACAACUGCCUUAAAGUCUCUCGAUUUCUCUGGUUCUCAGAAUGACUAUUCUCUAUUUGUAAAACGGGAACCAGCUCUGGUCUUCAUUCUAAUUUUGUUGAUGACAUUAUUGUCACUGGUCCAAGUUCCCAUCUUUGCCAAGAGGUUAUAACUCAACUCGGUGUCUUAUUUCCUGUCAAAGAUCUUGGCCCCCUUUAUUACUUUCUUGGCAUUGAAGUAACAAGAUCAUCCUCGGGGAUAUUGCUUUCUCAGACCAAAUAUAUUCUUGAUCUCCUCACUAAAGCUCAUAUAGAGGGUUCCAAGCCUUGUGUUACCUCGAUUAGCACCACUAAAUUGGAUCAUAAAUCUCCUUUGCUUGAUAAUCCUGAAGAAUAUCGAUCUUUGGUUGGUGGUUUGCAGUAUUUAACUUGGACUAGGCCCGACUUAUCUUAUGCAGUGAAUUUGGUCUGUCAAUUCAUGCAUAGUCCUCGGCAAGCACAUUUCCAGGCCGUCAAGCGCAUUCUUCGAUAUCUUAAGGGUUCCUUGCAAAUUGGCUUAUGGUUUCCUAAGUGUUCCAAGUCUCUCACUCUCACUGCCUUCUCCGAUGCAGAUUGGGCAGGUUGCAGUAUUGACAGACGAUCCACUAGUGGUUUUGUAAUUUUUUUGGGAGACAAAGAGUGCAAAGAAACAGCCUACUGUGGCUCGAUCCUCAACUGAGGCUGAAUAUCGAUCUUUUGCAAACACUGCGGCUGAACUCACCUAGAUUUGCAAGUUACUGACUGAUGUUGCUCUUGUUCUUCCCUCUUAUCCACAACUUUGGUGUGAUAAUAUCUCUGCAAUUUCCUUGGCUAAGAACCCUAUUUUUCAUGCACGAACCAAACAUGUGGAGAUAGAUUAUCACUAUAUCCGCGCAAAAAUUGCUCGCCAAUCAAGUGCAAGUUCUUUUUGUCUGCACGGAGGAUCAACUUGCUGACAUUUGUACUAAACCUCUAUCCAAGCCUCGGUUCAUCUUCCUUCGCAACAAACUCUCUCUUCGGUUCCCUCAGUUAGGUUUGCAGGGGGGAUAAUAAGGAUAAAACUGUUAAAAGCACAGUUAGUUAGAAUUGUUAUAAGGUGGUUAUGACAGCUUGUAAUUAGUGAAUGUUUGUUUGGGUAUUUUUGUAAUUAGCUGGUUAGCUAAGACUAGUGAGUCACUAGUAUAUAUAUGUACAUACCAUUGUAUAAUUUUAUCUUGAUGAAAUGAAAAGAUAACAUUUCUAAUAAUAGCCACUUUAAACUAUAAUCAUUAAGUUCAUCUCCAACUGAACGCUGGCCAAAUGGCUUGUUUUAGCCAUCUGAUCCUCCAAGAAAUUAAUAUUUUAAUGAACUGUGCAUGAUCAUAUUCUUACCAUCUCCAACCGAGGGCCAAACAUAAUUUAUUAUUUAAAUUUAAAAACUACAACUUAAAUUAAAAAAACUACAACUAAAAUUUAAUAACUACAAGUAAAAUUUAUAAAAUACAACUUAUAUAUUUCAAGUCAAAUGUGAGAGGUUUUAUUUAGAGUAGCAAAAAAGGAAAUAAGUGGGAGAGGAAGUAGGAGAAACUAAAAAUGUGGAAGUGGGUGGGAGAGGAAGUAUAAAAAUAUAAAAAAAAUGGAAGUGGGUGGGAGUCCCACAUCGGUUGUGAGAAAGAUUUGAGCAAGUUCCAAAGCCUAUAAAAAGAACACCUAACAUUCAAUGAAACAUACUUUCUGGGCCUAUAAUUGAAUAUAUUUUUUUAAAAAUUUUGGCCAACAAAAAAAAAAUUCAAAUAACUGUAAAAAAAACAAAAAAAAGGGCUAGCUAACUUUAGCUAGUUGACAGUUGCUUUUGAAUUUUAGCCCGGCCAGUUGGCCCUUUGACCCUUUUUUAUCUAGUGGGGCCCACAAUCCCUUUGGUCUAGUUCUUGGUUUGAGGCAAUUUUAAGGUCAUUUUCGACCCUCUGACACCUUUUGGUUGAAGAUGACCUAACAGAAAAAAAUUGAACAUUUUAUGAGACUUCUCUCUCCGAAGAGGUCCCAAAUUUAAGUACUAGUAAACGGGUGCAUUUUUACUCACCCACAUUAACUUAGGUGUAUGCUCACCACACAACUCCAAGCUUGCCAAGUGUCCCUUUGCUUUAAUCCUAGUUAACAUUUUCAUUUGUUAUUAAUAUUUUACUAUAAUAAUACAUUAAUAAUCAUCUUAACAUUUAUCUUUGAACUUUUUAAUCAAUAUUUGUAUCUCAACCGUCCAUCUCCCCUCUUCCUCCCCCCUCCCAUCUCUCUCCUCUGUCACUUUUCCCCCUUUUCUGUCAUUUGGGUGAAUAUCCCAAAUCUAAAAUCUCAAAUUCUAAUACAAAUUUAAAGGGGAAUGGGUGAAUUGAUUUGACGGGGUGAAGUCCAUCAAUAUCGUGAGAAAGGAGCAUGAUGAGUAGAUUUUAUAUUAUAUAUGUUACCCUAAUCUUAGUAUAUUUUGGUUAACAUUUUGGAAGAAUUUUGAUACUUUGAAUUGUAUUUCCAAUAUAGGACUUUCGACUUCUUCUGGAGCAAAACAGAAUCAAAUGGACGAUUUUUUGAGUAAUUCUAGUUGGAGAACGUUCGUGAGUCACUUAUAUUGAUCGUAUCAAAAUCUGGGAUUUUUCCACUAAGCAGUUAUUUUCUGGCGAUAAAAUAAAGGAGCGAUGUGCAGUGCUGGAAAAUGACGUUUUUUGGCUUAAAUUACGUUUUUGUAGCCCAAGAUGACCUCGGAUGGGUUCGUGGCCUUCUGGAGAAGUGUUCAUAAUGUUCCAAACAUUAAAUUCAGCUAUAUUGGGCUGGUUUUGGAGCAGCUUAUGGGUCCAAAAUGUGGCUGUUCAGAUUUUAGGCGAAUUUUCCCAUUUAAUUUAGGAUUAUGUUUCCUAUUUUAUUUAUUGUUACUAUUAGUUUCCUAGAGGAAAAAAGGACCUGUUUUUAGGGUUUGUGUGGUGGUUUAGCAAAUAUAUUGCUUAGCCGUCUACCACAUUUUUCUCUACGCUUUAUUUUAUGCAAUUUUGAAGACAGAGAGAAGUGCUAGGGUUUUGGAGAUUUUCUACUUGAAGGUGUUUUCAAUCAUUUUCUUAAUAAUAUUUUCUAUGAUUUCAAUUAUGAAUAUGCAUAACUAAUUUCCUAUUGCUAGGGCGAAGCCUUGAGCCUUAACAUGAAUACGUGAUUUUUAUUUAAUUGCUUAUGAUUGAUUGCAUGCAUACUUUGAAUUGUUAAUCACCGGGAUAAAAACUAUCUAAUUAUCUUAAUGCAUGAUCACCAUUAUGAUCUUUAGAAAAGUAAUUUGAUGCAAUUUUGGUCGGAAGGUUCCCUGAAAUUGACGCUGGCUUCAUGUGAUUAAUAAUUGUAAUUUCACUUAAGAUGAACACCACGUCUUAAAGGUUGCAUGGUUUUUCAAAGGAUUUUCAUAAAGUAUAAUGAGUCUUUGAUGUUCAGAUUUGAUCUGAAUGUCCGGACAUGUUGCAUGUUAGAUAUACGUUCUAUGUUGGAGGUUCCAAGUAGAAUAUGAAUUAGGAAAAUCUAACCUUCAAAGUGGCAUGUGUAGAUCAUAAGUAAUUGGUAAAAAUUCAUAGGAUUGCUAGGUGAUGGUGGAACCCUAGUGUUUUCUUAAUUUGAUUCUUCCAAAACUGUUUUCUUUUUCCCCCAAUUUUAAUAUUGCAGAUUGUCUUAUUUGUUUUAAUUAAAUUCGUUUUUUAAUUUAAGUAGGCUAUAAAAUCAAUCAUCAUAAUUUCUACUUUACAAUAAUUAAUUGAACUUUGGUUUGUUUCAAAUUAUUUCAUAAUCUCUGUGGAGAACGACCUUGCGAGAUCCGUUUACACUACAACAACCUUGUGAUUCUUGCAAGUAUUAUAGGAAUUUUUAUCUCAUUCACAUGAUUAGUAAAAUCCCUAUCAGAGCACAGGUUGCCUCCAUUCACUCGAAGCAAAGAUGCACAGAUAAGUGAAGAAAAUUUGUACCUAGAAAACUGUUCCAAAUUGUGGGUGGUUGGCAUGGGGUGGUGAGAGGUGGGAGGGAGCAAAUAGCAAGUGAGAGGAAUAAAGGGUCGUCAUUGCUGCUUCAAAUGCUCGAGCAAUUUCCAUUAGAAUAUUAUACAUAAAUAAAAUUACAAUUAGGAGAUAAUUUCUGUGAUUCGAAACGCCAUGGAUGAUUUGGUGGAGGAGGACAAUUUCUUUGAAACUGAAUAAACGCUUCGGGAGGUGAGUUGCAGACGGUUUUUUAUUUGUCUAUUUUUAGUUUAUUUUUAUUUCUUUAUUAAAUUAAUAAAGAGUAAUUAAAUCACAGUUAACCAAGGUUAAGGCAAAGGGACACUUGGCAAGCUUGGAGAUGUGUGGUGAGCAUACACCCAAAAUGGGUGAGCAAAAAUGCACCCCUAGCAAACUUAUUCGGUUCUUUAAUUAUCAUCACAUCAAAUGCCCAGAAAGGUUUUGCCCACAUCAACAUUUUUCUAUUUUUUAAAUUACAUAUAAUUUGUUUAAAGCCAUCUUCACUUCACCUUGUAACUAAUUGCUUACAAUAUAGGAAAUUUUAUUUUCAUGGUCCUAUAAACUCCUACGUUUUAAUGACUCUUUUGAUAUAAAAAUAAUUCAUUAAAGUAAUUUAAACUUUUACAUUGUUAAACGACUCUUUCUAUAAAAAAAAAUAAGGGUAAAGUAUAAAAAACUAUCUCAACUAUUAGUGUCACGAUACUUUCAUAUCUCAUCUUUUAAAAUUGAUAAUGUCAUACUUCAUCUUUAGAAUUUGGUCCAAUAUUAUACCUUCUGUUACUUGGCUGUUUACUUUUCAAUUAAAUGUUGACGUGACUUGAUUCAGAGCCCACUUUCUAUUAGAAAAUCAUUAAAAUAUUAUUAAAAGCUAAAAAAAAUAUUUAAUAAUUUUAAAUAUUAAAAUAAUAAAAAAAGUAAAAAAAAAAAAAAAAAAACAACCCUAAGUUCGCCCCUCCCCUUCCCCAUCUUCAUCUUCAUCUUCAUCUUCAUCUUCAUCUUCUUCACCCCCCCCCCACCCAAAAAAAAUGAAUAAUAAAAAACUCAUAUCCCGUCGGCGGGAAGAUGAGUGCGCGGAGAAGGUGGAGGAUGGGUGUGGAAUAGGAUGUGGAGAAUGGAUGAGUGGUGGAUUUGGGGUUGGGUUUUUUUUUUUGGGGGGGGGGGACGAACUGGGUUCGCUUUGGAUUUUUUCUUUCUUUCCUUUUCUUCUUCUUCUUCUUCUUCCUCUUCUUCUUCUUUUUCUUCCUCCUUCUUCUUUCUGGGUUGUUGGGGGUUGAGCGAACUGGGUUGGGUUGGAAUUUUUUUUUUCCUCUUCUUCUUCUUCCUCCUUCUCCUUCUUCUUCUUCUUCUUCGGGGGAGGGGGGGUUCUUCUUCCUUCUGGAUUGUUGGGGGUUGGGCGAACUGGGUUGGGUUGGAAAUUUUUUUUUUCCUCUUCUUCUUCUUCCUCCUCCUUUUUUUUUCCUCUUCUUCUUCCUCCUUCUCCUUCUUCUUCUUCUUCUUCUUCGGGGGAGGGGGUUCUUCUUCCCCCUUCUUCUUUUUGGGUUGUUGGGGGUUGGGCGAACUGAGUUGGGUUGGAAAUUUUUUUUUUUCCUCUUCUUCUUCUUCCUCCUUUUUUUUUCCUCUUCUUCUUCCUCCUUCUCCUUCUUCUUCUUCUUCGAGGGAGGGGGGUUGAUGCGUUUUCAAAUUUAUUUAUUUUUGGUUGAAGAUUAAGCAGGGAAGAAGAUGAAGAUGGGAAGAGAAAGGGGGAAGGGACGAACAGAGGGAUUUUUAUUUAUUUUUUUACUUUUCUUUAUUAUUAAAAAAAUAUUAAAUAAUAAUUUUUUUAUUAAAAAUGAGCCCCGAAUCAAGUCACGUCAGCAUUUAACUGAAAAAGUAAACGGCCAAGUAACGGAAGAUAUAAUAUUAGACCAAAUUCUAAAGAUGAGGUAUGAAAGUGUCGUGACACCAAUAGUUGAGGUAAUUUUUUGUACUUUACCAAAAAAAAUAAAUAAUUAAAGUAACUUCUCAUUAUACCAUCUUCAAUGGUGGGCUAAAUACUAAAUUACCCCCCAAUUCCCCGCGUCGUGACACCAAUAAUUGAGGUAGUUUUUUGUACUUUACCAAAAAAAAAAAUAAUUAAAGUAACUUCUCAUUAUACCAUCUUCAAUGGUGGGCUAAAUACUAAAUUACCCCCCAAUUCCCCGCCCCCCCCCCACCAAACAAUCUCCAACCCAUGAUAAAACAUUGGGCUAAAUGCCAAAUGUUAAAGCUGGGCCAAAUACCCCCCAAAAUUCCCUCCCCAUGCGACUGGAUUCGCUAGCAAUUGGGCCAGUCUCAGCCCGGUCACGCUCCAACGCAUCCCACGCGGUGCGCUUGCAAACCUUUCCCAACAGGGGUGUGCCCCUCUGUCAGUCGUUCGUCUGCUACCCAAAAAUCCCAACAGCUAUAAUUUGAAUCCAAGGGCUUGGUUUAAUGGAUCGUUGGUUGAUCCAACAGUCCAGAUUCAAAUUUAAUUUUUUUAAAUAUGUUAUUUUAAAAUACAUUGAAUCCAAUGACUGAGUUCGAACAUCCACACAACUCAAUUUUCUCCUACUAUUAUCCAAUUUAUCUUUUUACCUUUUCUUUCCAUUUCCAAAUUGUUCAACAUGACAAGAGAGCAUAUUAGAGGUCGUAAUUGGACCUAUGAGGAAGAUGUUGCUUUAUGUUUGGCAUGAUUUUCUAUUAGCGAAGAUGGUGGAGUUAGCACAAAUCAAAAUAAGAAGGUUUUGUGGGAUAAAAUCAUUGCAAAGUUUUAAGAAAACUGCAAUGGCGGCGGGCAUGAUGGUGGUGGUGUUUAUGAUUGGUGGAAGACUAUCAACAAAGCAUGUACUUUAUGGAAUAUAAGUUUUGAGAGAGCCGUGGUGGGCAUGGCUAGUGGAAGAAGGGCCACAGAGAUUGUGAGUUUUGUUCUUAAUAUUUUAUUUGUCAUGUACAUAAUAUUAUUUUCCAACUAAGUAUUUUUAUGUAUUUUUUGCAUAAGGUGCCAAAGCAAUGAAAAUUUAUGAGGCCAUCUCUAACCGAAGGGUCCAGAGGGCCAGAUGGCCGUAAAUAGCCCUAAAACUGUCUCCAACUGAGGGCUAGGCUAGAGGGCUCUGGAAUCUGGGAGGGCCCCACGGGAUCAGAGAGGGCUGGCUAUUUUUUUUAAUGUUUUCCUAUUGCUGUCGGUUAUAACCGACAGCAUUAAAGAAGAAUUUUUUAAUACUGUCAGUUAUAACCGACAGUAAUAAUUAUUCAAAGCAAAAUUUUUCUUUUUAAUUACUAUUAGUGUCGGUUAUAACCGACACUAAUUGUUUGAAUUUUUUUUAAUAUAACGACUAGUAGCCGUUGUAUUAACUUUUUUUUUUUAUGAAUUUAAACUUCUUUUUUUUCCCUUUUUUUUCCUUUUCAUAUGAAUCAAAUUUUGUUUCAUAUUUUUUUUCAAUUCUAUUUUACAAAAUUUGUUUCAAUUUUUUUUUAAAUUCUAUUUUUUUCCUAUAACUUCUAUUUUACAAAAUUUGAUUCAUAUUUUUUUUCAUAUAACUUCUAUUUUACAAAAUUUGUUUCAUAUUUUUUUAAAUUCCAUUUUUUUCCUAUAACUUCUAUUUCACAAAAAAAAAUUCAUAUUUUUUUUCAAUUCUAUUUUUUUCCUAUAACUUCCUAGGCCAUUUAUACAACAUUAAAUUAAAUUAAGUAACAUGAAACAACAUUAAAUAACAUUAACCAACAUUAAACAAUUGUAAUUUUUAAAUAAUAAAUUAUGUUUGGCCCUAUGGCCCUUUGACCCUCGGUUGGAGACGAUUUUUGGUGACAGGGCUAAAACGAGCCAUCUGGCCCUUUAGCUCUCGGUUGGAGACGGAGGCCAAUAUGGCCCUGUACUGUUCAUUAAAAUAUUAAUAUCUUGGGAAAUCUUGGAGGGCCAGAGGGCUAAAACGAGCCCUCUGACCAGCGUUCGGUUAGAGAUGGCCUAAGACAAGAGCAACACCAGAAAAUCAAGUUUUAAGUUGCAACAUGCUUAGAACGUCCUCAAGGAUUGUCCGAGGUGGGGAACCGAUGCGGACCAAUAAUGGGAAAGAUUAUUUCAACGUGAAGCCGCACAGACAAAUGCCAGAGAUGAAGGUGUCGAUGAAAUGACCCUAUCUCCUUCUUUUGCAAGGCCCCCAGGAAGAGAUAAGCAAAAGGAAGCAAAGAGAAAAGGGAAGUCCCAAGAUCCGAUGAGUGGACACUUUGGUACUAGAAUUGCAAAAUUGAACGAAACUCAUAGCGCUCGCUAAGAAGAAACGGCCCGAAUGCGUUUGCAAAUGAAGGAAAUCUCAGAUCGGGAGCAAGAUAGGUUUGAAAUUGAAUUCAUGAUGGAGGAACUCAACAAAUACACUUUAAAGAGGAAGAAGUUCUUACGUGGUAAGCAAAAGGAAAUUUUGCAAAAGUCUGUCUCAAGGAGUAUGUUUCAAGAUGAUGAAUCCUCUGAAUCCUAUAUCCCAAGAUUUCAACAAAGUCCAUCACCAAGUGAAGAUGGUGGAUAUGAUUAUUAAGUUUAUGUAGUGUAUGAACUAUGUGCUUUAUUAAUUGAGUUUAUUAAUUGUCGAUUGUAUUAAGUUUAUGUGGUUUAUGAAUUAUCGAUUGUAUUAAGUUUAUGUGGUUUAUGUAUUAUCAGUUGUAUUGUUUCUAUUAAUUUAGAUGUCUUCAAUAAUUAUUGUACUUAUUAUUCCACACUUUGAUGUAGAAUAGAUGUCUUCAAUAAUUCAACGUACUAGACAAAAUACUUUGCACAAGAAGACACUUAAAUUUAUUACUAGAAAAUAACAACAUAGUACACUUAAAAUUAAUCUAGAUGCCUUCAAUAAUUAUUGUACUUAUUAUUCCACACUCUUCUAUAUCACGCUACACAUAUGAACGCUCCGUGACAGAACCACGAUGGUUAGAUUCACUAUGUGGUCAGAUUGCAUAAAUGAGUUGACAAGUUCAACUUUGGCGUUGAACAAUUAUGCAUCCUCAAUCUCGAUCCUUGCUUGGUAUUGUGUCAUCUGCAUUGUCAUGCUACAUAUUCUUUUAUCACCAAUUGAUGAGAUAUUGAGGAUUUUUAGGUAAUAAAAACUCUUUGAAAGUUGAAAGAUUAGUGAAUAUAGAGGAUGAUUGAAGGUUAAAAGGUUGUGUGAUCAACAAAUAGUGGUCAUAUGUUUAUAUAGAGGAUGAUUGAUGAAAGUUGAACAGUUGGUGAAAGUUGAAAGUUUGGUGUUGAACGAUUGGUGAAAGUUGAAAGUUUGGUGUUGAAGGGUUGGUGAAUUGAAAAUUUGGUAUUGAACGGUUGAUGAAUUGAAAGUUAGCACAUGGUUGAAAGAUUGAUGAAAGUUGAAGGCUUGCUUUGUGAAAAAUUUAGUGAUUUUUCAAUAUUUAUUGGAAUUUAAAUUUUUUUAGAUUAAAAUGUUCAUAAAAUUAAUUUACGAUAGUCUACAUAUUUAUUUAAAAAAAUUAAUUUAAGAAAAAUAAUCGCCUAAAUUUAUUCUUUAAUAAUCCCAGGCUAAAAUUUUAGGACAGAACAGUUGGAGCAGAAAAACUGUUUCUGAGCUAAAAUAUUUGGCUUUUAGCCCAACCAUUAGAGAUGGUCUUAUUAGGACAAAAAGUAUUAAAACUUAUGUUUUGAAAACAAAUGUACCAAAAAUUCAAGAAAAUUUUAACAAAAAACUCCCGGUACUGUUUACUUUAACUAAAAACCACAUUUUUGCACUAAAGAAUCAAUUCUGGUACUAUUCACUUUAUCUUUUAUUUUGUCCUUAUCGUUAAAACUCAAAGUUUUUAAGCCAAUUUCAUUAAUUUUCCUAAAAUUCAAAUGUACCAAGAAGCCAAAUGAACCAAAAAUUCAAAUGUAGCAAGUAACAACAUGUACCAUUAUAAUUAAAUGUACCAAUAUAACCAAACGUACCUAUCAACGAGUUUUGUUACAUUCUAUUUAAUUUACUAAAAUAACUAUUUUAAUAAAAAAUAAAAAAAUCUUAAAUCAUCAUAAUUAGAGAUACAUAAAAAUUGGAAGAAAAAAGAAAAUGCUAUCGUGAAUAGACUUUUAAUGAAAUAAAAUUAAGGGUAAAGUACAAAAAACUACCUCAACUAUUGGUGUUACGACACUUUCAUAUCUCAUCUUUUAAAAUUGACAAUAUCAUACCUCAUCUUACGAAUUUGUGUCAAUGGUAUAUCUUUCGUUAGGGUUGGCAUGAAUUUCUCAAUUAAAUGCUGAUGUGGCUUAAUCCAAGACCAAUUUUCUAUUAAAAAUUAUUAAAAAUUAAAAAAAAAUAAUAUUUUUUAAAUAUUAAAAAAAAAAAAACCAACACUCAGUUCAGUUCGUCCCCUCCCCCCUUCUCUCUCUUCUCCCCAUCAUCAUCUUCUUCCCCCUUCCUGCAACUGCAACCCAGAAAAAAAGAAGAGAAAAAAAAAAACCAAUUUGUCUUCCCCCCUCCCCACCCCCUCUUCACCCCGCACCCCCGCACCCCCGCACCCACUCUCCGCACCCAACCUCCCCACCUUUGCACCCAACCUCACACCCACUACCAGCAACCCAAAAAAAAAAAAACCCCAAAUCCUGUUGAGGUGGAAUUAGGAAACCUUCGCCAAGACGAUUUCGAAGGUUGAGACCCUAAGCGCGGAGAAAAUAGGGGGAAUGGGUGUGGAGGGAAAAGGGUGGGUGUCGCGGGGGGGGGGGACGGACGAACUGGGUUUCCUUUUUAUUUUUUAUUUAUUCUCUCUCUUCUUCUUCUUCUUCUUUCUGGGUUUGUUCGGGGGGAGGGGAUUGGGUUGGGUUGGGUUUUUUUUUUUUUUUUUUUUUGUCUUCUUCUGCUUCUUCUUCCUCAUUUUUUCUGGGUUGCAAGGGGUUGGGUUUGUGGUGGUGGGAGAGGGGACGAACUGGGUUUGGUUUGGGGUUUUGUUUUUCCUUCUUCUUCUUCUUCUUCUUCUUUCUGGGUUUGUUGUUGAGGGGAGGGGGAAUUGGGUUGGGUUUUUUUUUUUUUUUUUCCUUCCUCCUUUUUUUUUUUUUUUUGUCAAUCCUUUUGCUUGGGUUGCAGGAAGAUGGGGAGAGAGAGAGAGGGGGAAAGAUGAACUGACCUGAGGUUUUUUUUUUCCCCUUUAUUAUUUUAAUAUUUAAAAAAAUAUUAAAUAAUUUUUUUUUAGUUUGUAAUAAUUUUUUAAUAGAAAAUGAAACCGAAUCAAGCCACAUUAGCAUUUAAUUAAAAAAUUUACGAUCAAGUAAUAGAAUGUAUAACAUUAGCACAAAUUCGUAAGAUGAUGUAUGACAUUAUCAAUUUUAAAAGAUGAGUCAUGAAAGUUAAUGGUAAUUUUUUGUAGUUUACCUAAAAUUACGUACCAAAAAUUGUAGGAAAAAUGUUUAAUCAAAUUUGCAUAAUAGACGUUCAGUAACAUUUAAAAAGUUUUGCCCAACUCAAUAAACACGAGUCAACAACUUUCAAGAAUCUGUAUAAUGUGUUCGUCCCUUAGAGCAAAUCCACCCCAAAACCAACUCCCCAGCACCCAGCCAAAAAAAUAGGCCAGGCCCCUGUUUUUUUGCUCCAGCUCGUUACAUUGCCUGGCACCCAGCCCAUGCCAGGCAACAGCCCAGCACAUUUUGGACUGACCCAGAAGCCGGCCUGUUUCUCAGGCGCGUGCAACACAAGCGCGCAAGGCGCGAGUGGGUUUCAGGGAAACCUGAAAAGGUGUCAGCCCACUUGGGCUCAGUGACGUGGCUUCACGAUAGCCGUUGGAUUUCCAACGGCUAGUUUUUCUAGACCGUUGGAUUUCCAACAAUAAAAAAAAUUUAAAUUUUACUUUUAAACUGGACCGUUCGAUCAAAGAUCAACGGUCCAGAUUAAUUAACUUAAUUAAAAUUUAUUAAAAAAUACAGAAAAUUAAAAAAAAAAUUAUUUUUUUCUUUCUAUAGUUUAUUUGAUGAGUUUAUGUAAUUUUAUUUUAGUGUGUUUUUUUUUUAAGUUUAUUUGAUGAGUAUGUAAUUUUAUUUCAGUGUGUUUUUUUUUUAAGUUUAUUUGAAAUUUUAUCCAAAAUUGGUUAAAAAUCAUAUCCGAAAUAAACUUAAAAAAAAAAAAAACAUACCAAAUAAAUGCGCUGGGUGCCAGCGCAUUUUUUUAGGGGUGGAGAUGCUUUGGUCUGUUACUGUUCACUAGGGUCUAUUACUGUUCACUUGAGUGGAUAAAUGCGCUGGGUGCUGGCACAAAGUCCUUAGGGGUGGACUUGCUCUUGUAAAAACAUAUCACUUGAGGUGAUUAAUUAUACGAACAUAAUCAACUUCUAGAAACUUAAAAUUACAUGAUUAACCAAAAUCAUACUUAGGAAUCUAAGCAAAGAAUCAGAAGAAAUAUGAGAAAAAAGGAAUGGGGAACUUACAAGAUCUUUGAAAAUGAUAAAAGCGAUUACGAAGACAACAAAAGAAGAUUUCGAUCUCGGCGAAUGGAACGAACCGAAAGACCGACUUGACACCCUGAGUCAAUGCGGAUGCAUUUGAAACUCGCUUCGCCACGGCUGCGCGGUCGGGUUGGGCUUUGGAGUCGGAUUUAAUACCAUCGGAAUUAGAUCGGCGAUCAUCCGAUGAGCGAUGGUGGUCAGGUGGUGGUGUGAUUGGUGUCACGGAUGGGUGGAGCCGCGGAGAGCGGGAGGCGGAGGUGGAGGCAGGCAGGUCUGUGUGGACAGUUGGAUCUGGGUGUGGGUGGACGAUGCGGCCUUAGCCUGUAGUCUGGUCGCGAAGAACUUAUGAAGACGAAGAGAAAGGCUUGGAGCUUGGAAGACGGAGAGACCGAAGCGUCGAUGGUGAAGAUUCGAAGACGCAGGAGGGUGAAAAUUUGGUGCCCUCAGCAAUUUUGGGCCCAGGACAGGAGCCCUGUUAGCACUGGGCCAGGGCCAGGCCUGCUCCAAAGUGAAAAAAUGAUGCGAUGCUCUAAUGGCUCUAAUUCAAUGGUUUCUCAUGCUUCUCAGCCUCCCGUGCACUUUGAUUGUUGAUGUUACUCACUCUACUCCUAACGGCAAUGCCCGAAGGGCAUGCAAAAAUCUCUUUUCACUUGGAACAACGCAACAAGCCAAAGCGCGAGAUUUCCCCUACCACAUCGGAUGUUCAUGUAAACAUGCUACAAAUCCUAGUUUGCAGCAAUAUUAUUAGUCCACCACCCAUAAGAUGGAAGGGCACAUUCCAAAGCUCUGGUAGUUUUACUUGCGACAAGUAAAAUCAUUGGGGCACAGUAUUACCGUGCUAAUGGAUUUGACGUAGGUGAUGCCCAAUUUUCAAGAGACACUAUUGAAAAUGAAACUCAUGUUCAUGAAAAGAGAAAUUUUGCAUGAGCUUAUAAGAGGUUGGGCUACUCUCUAUAUUGCUAAUUGGUUUUGUAGUGGAAUCCCAACUUUCUUCAUGGUAUCAGAACAAGUUGUUUCAUGUGUAAAGCCAAAUGGCCACACGGGCUCCAUGUCACCCCGUUGUGCUGUGUACGUGUUAGGCUUGAAAAUUUGCCAAAGGUGAAAUUAGAGGAGGGACCUUGCAUUAGCUUAUAAGAGGUUGAACUACUCCCUAUAUUGCCAAUUGGUUUAAUUUUAAGGUGUGAAAUCAGAGGAGGGACCUUGCAUUAGCUUGUUUUUUUUUAUGAAUGUAUGUAUAGGUAUGGAUGGUGUGGUGUCCGUUUUCCCCAGUGAAAAGAAGAAGCUCCUCACAAGAACGUUAUGGGACUUCAUUGGCUUCCCGGAAAGAGAGUCGAGUAGCAACAAUCUUGACGAAAGCAAUAUCAUUGUAGGAGUGACUGAUACUGGAAUUUGGCCGGAAUCUGACCUAAAAAUGGGAAGGCACUUGACAAUCCUAAGCCAACAUUACUUGUAAUUUGUAUGGCAAACUAGUUUGUUGUCUGUUACUCCAAUCAUCAAUACAUCUAGAAUGUUUUUUAUUAAAUUUGAUCAUGUGAAAUGAUAACUUUUGAAAACAUUAGGAAAUAGGAAAAGCCUAUAGUUUUCAAAUAAGGAUUUGGAUCUCAUCUGGAUCUAAAUUGUGGGGAUCAUAGGGAUCCUCAUAUUCUAACUAUUUAUCGUAUAUCGUGCGAUCAGAAAUCAUUUUGAAUUUUUUAUUUAAAAAUUAAACGUAAAUAGUACUUAACGAAAACUGAUCGCACGUUAUACGAUGAACGAUUAUGAUGUGAGAAUCCUUAGGCCAUCUCCAACCGAAGGGUCAAAAUGGCUGAAAGUACCAAGAUGUUCAAUCUCAAUGACCUUCUCUUUAACUUUGUCUUGAACUUUCAGAUAUUCGAUGUCCAUUAGCCUCAAUGCUUUUGAUCUUCUUUUGGUACCUUGGAACUUUCUUUUAGAUAUUCGAUAUGAUUCAAUUAUUUGUCAAAUGAUUAUUAUUUUUUAUUUAUUUUUUUGAACAAACAAUAUAAUCUACACUAACAGGGAGAGGGUGUGCUUAGCCUCACAAUGGGUUAGCAAUAAUGUGAUUCAAUCAGUUAUUUAUUAAAUAUUAUUUUCUCUAUUUUUAAACACGUUCAAAACAUCUUAAGAGGUGCAUACCACCGAUGAUAAAAAAAAGGUCUUUCGCACGCGCACAAUAAUGUGAUUCAAUCAGUUGUUUAUUAAAUAUUAUUUUCUCUAUUUCUAAACACUUAAGAGGCAUGCAAUGCCGGUUAUAAAAAAGGCAUUUUGCACGCGCAUAACAAUGUGAUUCAAUGACACACCCUGACCCGGAAUGUCCACUAGGACUCCGAAUCGAGCUGUGUUGGUGGAAGGUGAUGAAGCCAUAAAGUAUAGUGAUGUGGAAAAUGUGAAUAAAUUAAAACCUAAAAGUGCCUAAACAUAAUAGUGCAUUGUGAGCGGGAAUGAACCCAUUUCACACGCGACGUCAAAGCAUAAGUAAAGUACAGUAGUGUGGGUAAGGAUCAUACCCUCAGAGGUAGCCACCUAUACUGAGAUUCCCCAAGAGUCCUCGUCGAUACAAACUUUCAGCAGCUAAAACCAGGAGGGGCAAAAAAUAAGGGUGAGUGAGCCUAAAAAUAAAGUUUUAAUAAAAAUCUUUUGAAAACGUUUUAACCCCUCGCUGUAAAACUUGUAUAGUUUCUAGAAAAUAAUACUACGUAUAUAUGUAAAACAAUGCACAAAAACAGUAUAAACCAAGUAUGAAGGUAAAAUAAUAUGCCAGUUGGAGUCACCUAACGUGACCUGUAUGGCUGAACCUAUAGCUCAUCAACCCAUGCCUGCACACGAGUCGGAACCACCUAAUGUGGUCUGUACGACAUGUUGGGUGUAAAUAAGUACGCUCAAGUGCUACGAUCACGUAAAGGCUGUGCGAAUAAUCGCAGGUCACCUAUGAGUCGGAACCACCUAUUGUGGUCUGUACGACAAGGCUGGCAUCAAACUUGGAUCCAAGGUGAACGUGCGGUGCGGGAGGUGAACAUCACGUGAAGGACUGUGCCCUGGCCUCGGGCGGGAGCACUAACACCAGAGUGCAGCAAUGAUGAGCUCUAAAUGCAUCUAUGCAUAACAAUGUGCAAUACAACCAAUACCAUUACAAUAUACUCACCUGAAGCUUACCUAAGCCUCUGCAGCAUCAAACGAUAUAAUGCAUAACAAUAGUAAUGAAAUACUAAAAAUAUAAUUCAUUCAUGACAUGGCAUUCAAAGCAUAGCUCAUAUAAAAAUGUUUCUAGAAACCGUAAAGCAUAUAUAUAAAUACUAUAAAAGGAAGAAGAUCCACUCACUUAGAGUCCGCGUUACAAUUCCCUAGCAUAAACAUCGAGGCAUCAUAAACGAUUGGCGCCUAGAACAAUUAUCAAACCACAUCUCAGAAUCCUUAUCAAUAGAACACGUAACUUGCAUAAAACACAUCCCCAAGGACGUUCUAGAGUGAUUUGAGGCCCAUUGACCACAAGUCAACCGUUGGUCAAAGAUUGACAGUAGGGUCUACAACCCUAGAUAAUUCGAUUUGGAAGAUCCGCACCUCAGAUUUUCCGAUUCGUAACUUCCAAAUAUCCACAUUAUGCUUCUAAAACAUCAUACUAAAUUUUCAUUACAAUCCAACCAUUGGAUCUUCGCCAAUUGCCCAAACCAAGUGGCGGCCAACGUUUUAUUUUACGAACUUACAAAUCCAAUUUGGAAAUACCCACAUUUCGGAUUCCUGAUCUGUAAAUUCUUAUGGUCCUUAAAUAUUACAUACUAUAAUGUACUAAAUUUUGGUGACGAUCUAACGGUCGGAUCGUCGAUUACUGUUCUAAUCAAGUGGUGGAUUUUAAUGGAACUAGGUUCAAACCAUAGAAAUUCGUCAAUCAGACUUCAAAAAUGGAAUCAGGGUAUUCAAAUUUAGCCUAAGAAGGUCAGGAGACGUCUCGGCCCACGCGCUGCCGCACGUGCCACCGCAAGUGGCGGUUGGCCGCCCCGACUCGCAGGAAAAAUCAACUAUUUCUAAAAAUUACCAAAUUUUACAAACAAGUAUAUCUCAGUAAGGGGAACAAUUUUCAUACCUGUGGCCAAGUCCAAUUUGGGCGGGAAGCACCUGAAAUCCACCUUGAUCCGUGAAAACCCUUGAAAUGGGUGUUCUUGACUCGACUCCACACAAGCUCCGACGACUCAACCAUUGCUUAGGCUUUGUUCCUGUAGUUAAGGGGAUUCUAUUGGUGGUGGUGGUCGACAGGAUUAGCUUCAAAUUUUGAUGAUUCGAACCCAAAACCGUCCCCCCUACCGUGCAGGUUCUCCCAAUAUCAAGGUCAAAUCCCUUGAUUUUUGGGGUGUAAUAGGAAGGGGGAAGGUCAUGAAGGGUUUUCCAAGUGGUGGUUUGAUGAAAUUCGCUGGAAAAACGGAUGAUUCACCGUUGAAAAACCUCCCAGAAAUGGGUCGGGUCACGGGUUAAGGGGAGGGUCUGAUUCUCUCUUUCUUUUCUCCCUCAUUUCCUUUCCUCCUGAUUGGCCGGUUCCCUCCCUCAUUUCUCUCAUUUCUCUUCUCUCCUUCUCAUCCCAGCCAUCUAUUUCUUCCUUCCCUUUUCUUUUCCUUUCAUCCCAGCCACACACGUGGCAUUUCACAUGGCUUCAGAUUUUCUGGAGCCUUCUAAAGAAGGUUAAAAUUACCAAAAUAUCCCUAACUUUAUACGUUAAUAUCUCCUUUGUUGUAACUCCAAAUUAUGUUCCGGUUGCGCCCACGCGUUCGUAACGACGAAUACUGCAAGGAUACGUUAAGAAAAUAGAUCUUACAUGACAUGACGAGGCGGUAAAACAAAAUCAACGUAUUUUCCUCAAAGGGCAUUUCCGUACAUUCACUCAUUAAAAUAAAAAAAAAACUAUAAAAUUGGAAAUGGAUCGUUACAUUCAAUUAGUUAUCAAAUGAUCGUUUUUUUUUUUAACAAACGAUAUUAUCUACCCUAAGGAGGAGGAGGUGAGCUUAGCCUCACAAUAGGCUAAUGUCAUUCAAUCAAUUGUUUAUUAAAUAUUAUUUUCUCUAUUUUUAAUGUAAAUUCAAUAGAAUGUAGAUAAAAAUUGAAAGACCGAUUUUAUUAUGUGGAUUUAGCUGCUUUGAUUGGUUUAUGAGGGGUUUCUUAUAGUGUUGUCUAAUAUUAUUCAUUUAGUCCAAAUAUUUGACUUUCUUUUUGUCAUGAAAAUAAAAAUAUUGAAGCAAUUCACGCAUAUAAAUGCAUUUAAAAUGUGUAAGUAGCACGUAGGACACCGUAUUCAAAUAUGCCUUCUGGACGUGUGUAAGCGCUUGCAUUAAGGCUAGUGAUACGAAAUGAAAGGACAAGUUUGAAAAUAAACUAUUCAAUAUUUGUGGUAAUCUUUAUUCAGUAGAAUAUCCAAUAGUUCUCAUUCUCCAAUGCAUCUACCAUUUCAUCUCAAAUACGCUACAAAGAAAGGUAGGCCUACAAAUAACAAUCAGAGGUAGUACAAAAGGUGACCAAAAUAUAGCCACAUCUUCAAUUAUACAUGAAUUAAAAUUUCCACUGAAUGUGUUGACUUCAUGACUUAGUAAUUUAAAGUCUUGGUCCUUGGAAUUAUUAGUUCAUAAAAUACAAUAUUUGUUAACUUGAAGUGCAUGCAUAAAGUUGGAUAAAAUCUAUAUGGUCUUUUAAUCAAUCAGCUGUAGCAAAUAAAUAGACAGUUCAUAAUACUUAAUCUCAGUUGACUACCCUCGAGUUUUUUGGUUUUUGACAUUUGGUACAUCAAAUUUUUUUUCAUCCCAGAAUGGUACUUGAAGUCAUAAUUUAGAGAAACUUUCAUACAUAUGUUAAGGUUAAUGUUAAAUCAAUCGUUGACCAGUGAUGUGAUGCCCACAUGGACAAUACCUGGACGUGUGAUUUACUCGGGAUUUUAUUCGUUUUAAAUGUUGUUUGCCUUAGUCCUUUGGCAUGUGUGAUUUACUUGUUGUGCAUGUGUAAAGUUGGAUAAAAUCUAUAAGGUCGUUUAGUCAAUCAGCUGUGGCAAAUAAAUAGACAGUUCAUAAUACUUUUACUCAUUUGUUUUUAUAUAGUUGAAUGACUUAAUGAUUUCAUAUUUUAUUAUUAUUAUUUUUUAGAUAUGACAUUUACAAAGUAUUUUAUAAUAUGAAUAAUUUUGAUCAUAAACACGAAAUUUCGUGAAUUGAAAACUAAGUAUUUUGAGGAAGUUAAUUUAAUAAAAAAAAUGAUACUAUUGUAUAUAAUGACAAAUAUAGGCAUAGUUGUGGGGAUGGUGGCAACAACAGCAGUGGUAGGGGUAGCGGCAGUGAUGGUAGCGGCAAAUGUGGGGGCUUUGGUUGUGACAAUAAUAGGGUGUGGUGGUUGGGUUGUAGAGGUAAUAGUGGUGGUAGCGGUAGUAGUGACGAUUGUGGUGGUGGUAAUGGUGGUGGUGAUAUAAGGUUAAUUGUUGUAGUGGUAGGUGGUGGCGGUCUUUGUUCUCCGAGGGCAAAAAUAUAUGUAAAAGGAUAAAUAAUGUCAGUUUUCAUUAAUGAGGGUAUUAUAAGAAUUAAAAAAAAAUAUUCAUUAAACGCUUAGCUCCGCUUUUUAUAAAAGCAAGUUUUAAAAGCAACCUAUAUGUUGCUUUUAAAAGCUGUUGACUGGAUGUGACUGUAUUAAAAAUAGGUAUGAUAUAGGUGUAGAGAGUAAGUUAGGUGUAAAAAAAGGUUAUAUGAGUUCAAAUAAAAUUUCUCAUUUGUUUUUGUUAUGAAUAAUGCUAGGAAGACUAAAUUUUUAACAAAAUGCUACUUUUAUCAUCUAAUUGUACCAUCGUUUGUAUCAUAUCUCUAAUAGAGAUGGAACCCAUAUGUGUUGACAGACCUUACCUCUAUUAGAAUUAGAAAGAUGGUACAACUAGGUGGUAAGUGUAACAUUACUCAAUUUUUAAUCAAAUUUGCAAACCAAAUGACGUGUACCAAUAAGAAAUAAGCAUAUUAAUUAACAUUUAACUAAUAAUAACAAUCAUGUCAUUUGGUUAGUAAAUUUGGUUUAAAAAUUUGGUCUUCCUAGCAUUAUCCUUUUGUUAUUGUGCGGUGAUUUGUGGUUUGUGUUAACCUAAAACAAGAUCCAUUUUUUGUCCGUAAUUAAUAUCAAAUCCAAUAGUGAAUGACCAUAUAUUUCUUGGUCACCACAAGAGAACAUUUUUGGAUUUUGGUCAUCCAAAUUUUGUGACACUAGGUUCAAAGUACUCAAUGCCUAAGCUGGAGCAUAACAAAAUCAUGCACAUGGAAGUAGUUUACAUCUCAAAAUACAAGAUUGCAUCAGAUUUAUAUAGACAAGAAAGUCUUUGCAAAUUUAAAGAGAAAAAAAAAUGAGGAGCAAAAAUAUCUGCUACAAGGUAUGGUGGACUUGUAUUUGCACCAUUAGUGUUACAAUCAUAUCAAUUUUAUAUGAUGGCGAAUUUCUUUGGGUUCUUAGUCAUCUCAGCAAAAUUUCGGAUGUCAUUUCGUCUCAAACACUGUACAAAAGAGUAGUUGACUUAACGUAAUUAUUUGAGUCAAAUCUAGGUUCUACUCCUCCAGUUGGCUUGCAAUUUCGUCCUCUGUGCACUUCAUCGUCAUUGUAGCAUCCCCAUGUCAAAAUUCACAUGUAGGACGAUGACUAAUGGUAAAAUGACAAAAGCACAAUAAUUCCCCAUCUUAAAAACAAUUACAAUCAAGAUCAAGUGGCAGAAACACAAUUAAUCAAGAGUGCAUUGCCUUUGUCCCUGUCAAGUCUAGUUUUGAAAAGUCAAUACGUCGAGUUUUUUUUGUCCAACCGUGCAAGUGGGUAAGGGAGGGUCCGCUUUCAUUCGGUUUGGUUUUUUUUUCGGUUUUCAGUCUUUUGAAUCCACCCCUACAAGUGGGUCGAAAUUUCAAUGGUGGUGUUGUCGUAGAGUCUUUUCAUAUGUAACAAGUCUAUUAACUUUACCUGCGUAUGCUCACGCAAACUUUCAUAACACAUCUGUGUGGACAAUAUCAGCCAUUAGAAACAGAUCUUGCAACCAUAUAAAUUUGAACUUUUUUCAUUUAUUUUCUACGCGCAACGAAAUGUCUUUCAUUUGCUCAUUUCUCUUGUUCCUUCAUAUUCUUUCUAUGGUAAUACCGAUCAAUGUCACCGACUAUAUAUUUGGGUGGAGAAAUUUCAAGUCAUGGGACUAAAAACCAAAUUAUAAAAAGAGAAUACCACAAAAUGAGAAAAUUCUUCAAGGACACGUAAUAAUGAAAGAUGCGGAAUGAAUGAAUAAGAUUGAAAAUAGACUAUUCAAUACUUGUGGAAAUCUUUGUACAAUAAAAUAACUAAUGGUUCUCCUUCUCCAACGCAUUUUCCAUUUCAUGUGCUACAAACAAAGGUAGGCCUACAAGUAACUAUCAGAGGCAAUUCAACAAGUGACCAAAACAUGGCCACAUUUUUAAUUAUAUAGGAAUUAAAGUUUCCACAAUUCAAGUGGGAAUGUAUUGACUUCUUUAAACUCUGGUCCUUGAAAUUAUUAGUUCAAAACAUACAAUAUUUGUUGACUUAUCGUGCAUGCAUAAAGUUGGAUAAAAUCUAAUACUCAAUAUUUAUUAUCCGUUUUAAAUGUUGUUUGCCUUAUAGCCCUUUGGCAUGUGUGUGGUUUACUUGUAUUGCAUGCGUAAAGUUGUACAAAAUAUGUAAGGUUGUUUAAUCAAUUAGCUGUAGCAAAUAAAUAGACAGUUUAUAAUAUUUUUAUUUGUUUGUUUUUAUAUAGUUGAAUGACCAAAUGAGGCCUUAGUGUUACAAGUUUACACCAAGGGUGGAGAGAAUAAAUUUGUUAUAUUUACACCUUUUUCUUAAUACUUUUUCUUUAAUACUUUUUGAAUUCCUUGCUAUAUUUACAUCAAGGAUUGAUGAGAAUGAAUUGAUUACAAAAUCGUAAUACACGAUUCGAACCUAAAUUUUCUUUUAUUUCAAGUAGAGAAAAUGGAGCUUUAUAUAUAGAGACAAAAAACCUUCACUAUAUUUCAAGGAACUCCACUAAUUUUUAAACAUGUUAAUGAGAGACAAAAAUAUUAAAAAAAAAUAAACCCCAUCUCAAUAACAUGGAACAAUGCUUUAAAAUAGCAAUCAUACCUUUGAAGCUUUAGGGUUGUUAAUAGAACACAACCCUCACAAUUCCAACAAAAUUAAUAUGUGACAUAAACUCAACUCAUCAUCAACUAUUUCUGCAGAAUCAAUUUUGAAACUAUAUGUAGAAUCAGUUUGUAUCCUUUAUUACUAGAAAUAGUUUACUAUGUCCUCGAUCAUUUUUGCAGAAUCAGUUCAACCCGUCAUCGACCAUUUUUGCAGAAUCAGUUCAACUCGUUCUCGUCUAUUUUUGCAUAAUUAGUUCAACCCGUUCUCGACCAUUUUUGCAGAAUCAGUUUAACCUGUGGUCGACCAUUGUUGCAGAAUCAGUUCAACCCGUCUUGGUCAUUUUUGCAAAACCAAUCCAACUCGUCCUUGACCAUUUUUGCAGAAUCAGUUCAACCCGUCCUCGACCAUUGUUGCAGAAUCAGUUCCACAUGUUCUCGACCAUUUUUGCAUCAUCAGUUCAACCUAUCUUUGACCAUUUUUUCAAAAUCACUUCACCAUUUUUGUAGAACCAGUUUAACUUGUCCUCUGUCAUUUUUGCAAAAUCUGUUUAACCCGUGCUCGACCAUUGUACAAAAUCAGUUUAACCCGUCCUCGAUCAUUUUUUGCAGAAUCAGUUCAACCCGUCAUUGAUCAUUUUUGCAAAAUCAGUUCAACCUUUGAGUGCAAAUCUUAACCCUAAAGCCGAAAUCGCAUACGGUGUUGGCCUAAUAAAUCCUAGUAGGGCUCCGUAUCCUGGUUUGGUAUACGAUGCUGCUGAAAUCGAUUAGGUAAAUUUUUUGUGUGCACAUGGCUAUAGUACCAGAUUAUUGAAAGCUCUUAACGGGGAUAGCUGCUCAUCAUCACAAUCUAAUCAUGGAACACUCAGUGAUCAUCCAAACUAUCCUUCUGUUGCACUUUCCACCUCAAACCCUAAAUCCGUCAAUGGCAUUUUCAAAAGAACCGUCACAAAUGUUGGAUCACCAAAGUCCACAUAUAAAGCUAAAGUGAGUGCACCACCAGGACUUGAAAUCAAAGUUAAUCCAAGCAUUUUAAAGUUCACAUCUCUCGGGCAGAAGCUAUCGUUUAGUCACGGUGAAAGGGUUGAUUGAAAAAACCAUAGUCUCUGGUUCUCUGGUGUGGGAUGAUGGUAAUUUCCAAGUGAGGAGCCCCAUUGUUGUGUAUUUUGUGUUUUGAGAAUAAGGUAUGUGUGGAGCCAAAAAUAAUCAUAAGGGGACAUGUGGAUCUUUGGAUAUAAAAGCACAAAAAUACCCUUGAGGCAUAUCAGGAUUCCUACGCGCGAGCAGCGGACAAUCAUCCCUCAACCAAGUCAAAAGUGCCCAAAAUAGGUAUUUAUUCAAAACUUAUUUCAUCCAUCUUCUCCACAAGGUAACCCCCAAAAAAUUCCUUUUAAAUUAUGUUAAUUGGCUAAUUAAUGGAUUUAUUACCCAAUUAAUCUAUUAAUGGCCAAUUAAACUACCAAUUACACCAAAAAAACACACAAGAGGUCGGUCACCUUCUCUUCCAAGGGAACUGGUCAUGCCUUAUAUAUUCUACCUCAUUUUCUCUAAAAAGCUAAGUCUACACUCUUACUAAAUACUCAAAAUUCUCCAAACACUUUUCCCUCAAAAUUCUAACUUUGGCAUCGAAGGUUCUUCGGCCAAAGCCCCCCUCUCCCAAAUUCAUCGUGGGCGCGUGAGGCUUUUGGCCUUGACCUAAGGUGUUAUUUGUUUUGUAGGUGCAAUUUUGUCCAAGAUCAAGGAGGAAGAAAUAUGCAUCGACAAAUUGGUGCUUUCAUUGAAAGUUGAGUCACACACUCGUAGAAGACUCUUGCAUCAAGGUUUUUUCUAUUUUCUUAUCCAUUUGUAGAUUUUUCGUACGUUUUUAUUAUUAGAUUUUUUUUAUUUGAAAAAAUUCUUUGAUAAAACGUAAAAGAGAAGUACAAUGACAAGAAAUUUAGAAAAUUCAACAAGUGAAAAUUACAAUAUUCAAGAAAUAGGACUGCGGUGAUCCACGAGGCUAAAUGUGACAAUAAGUGGAGCGGCACCACCACCACGGUGAGGUCCAUAGUGUCACCACCACGGCCUAAGCCGUGCCAUCCAAGGCUCACGGCACCAAGGCCACAACCCAAGCCAUGUCACUUCAUGCCCAAUGCGAGCCCAACACGUUGCCAAGCCGAGCCUAAGCCUCGUACCCGCGUGCAUCACACGACUAGCAGCCCACUCCCGUGGCCCAUCCUGCUUUCAUAGCCCAGCUUGUUCCCGUGGUGUCCCAAGCAGCCCAAGUCAGCCCAAGACUAUCUCAACCAUCUGGACCUACCAUCGAAUCGGAGGCAUUCUCACCACAUUUCUCCGCAGAUUUGACAUUUUCCAACUCAAAUCUCGUGCCCAAAGUCUACCACCCUUCCACUGCUCAAUAAGGCACAUUCCUUCCAAGCUCUUCCAAUUCGAAUGACGAACAACACUUGUCCCGACAAGUCAUAGAGUUGACGAGCGCCCUUGCACAACAGACGACCUUGAUGAAUCAGUUCUUGCAACACACCGAGAUCCAAUGCGCCCUAGAUGAGGUGUCAUGAAGUAGGACAAGGGCAGACGAGGAACCUUUCAACAGCGUCCCGGCAAGCAGCCACUCAACCAGGCACGAACCGAGCAUUCGGGCAGUUUACACUUCCUAUUGGGCCCCCGAGAUAGCGUAUACUCCCGCCUUAGCGCGUGAAUGAGUGUGCACUCUCGACUAAGCCCAUAGACAAGUAUACACUCAUGGCUGGGACCACACACUGAUGAUCAACAUGAGCAGCCUUCCAGGCAAAGCGUUCAUUCGUUGCUAAGCCCACAAGAAAGAGCUUCCACAUCUCAUCGGAGUAGGCAACACGGCGGACAGAGAGAAGUAGUCACUCAAUUUGGCUCAAGUUCAACUGGCAGCCUGCAAAGAAUUCCCCUGCCUACUAGGAAUGAACCACAUGCAAUACCGCCAUAACAUGGACAAGCCGAGAACAUAGAAGAGCAACCUAGACCAGCAGGUCAAGAACGAGAGCAGCCGAGAGCUCCGCUACCCCAACAAAAGCAAAUCCAAAAAGAGGUAAAAAAGACUCAUCAACGAAUGAUUGUGUGAUUUUCAAUGCAACAAAGUGGCCGAUGAAGCACUACAGUGAGAUAUAACCAACAUGAGCAGCUUACCCUUUAUGGAUGAGAUUGAGCAGGCAAAGCCUCCACAUAAGUUUAGCAUGCCACACUUCACAUCUUUCAAAAGAGAUGGAGAUCCGGAGAAGCACAUGAAGCACUACCGAAGUGCGAUGGUCCUUUAUCAGAACAACGAUGCCAUUAUGUGCAAAAUAUUUACCACUACUUCAAAGGCGAGGCGCAAGAGUGGUUUCACACCUUGCCACCAAGAUCUAUCCGAAGUUUUGAUGAUAUUUCCUUGGUUUUCACCAAAGAUUACUCAUCUUAUCGUUCGAUCAAGAAAAAGUCCGACCACUUGUUCAAUGUGAAGAAAAACCCAAAGGAGUCACUUUGCGAUUACGUGAAGAGGUUCAAAGCAGAGAAGGCAAAUAUCGUCGAAUGCGACGACUCAAUAACAAGUACAGCCUUCCAAAAAUGACUCCCAGCAGACCACCCACCGUUCGAAGAAAUGAUCAUGAAAUAAGACUUAACUCUAGCAGACUCUUUUGCUUUGGCAGAGAAGCAUGCACUUUGGGAUGAGGCUCGACGAGCAGACAAGGCACCCGAGCAGCCUCGAAAAGAGUCGGCAGUGGCUUAAAGAAAGGAGGACGGGAAGUAGUCCAGCAAAAGCAAACAGGAGGCCAAACGUAAGGACCGACCCACGACCAAAGAAAGCUUGACGACCAAGAACUACUCUAAGUUCUCAAUUCUGAUCCAUCAAAUCUUUCACAACAUAAAAAACGAGCCAUUAUUCAAGUUGCCGAAACAAUCAAAGGGAUAUACUUCUAAGUUGGAUCACACCAAAUACUGCGCAUUCCACCAAGGUCUUGGUCACACAACCGACGACUGCUACACUUGGAAGAACUCCCUAGAGAAGCUCAUGAAAGAAGGCAAGGUCGAUAGAUACUUGGACAAGCUAGUUGCGCAGCCUAGAAGGAAUGUAGACAAUGACGAGAAGCCGUCAACCAAGACGAUUUGAGUUAAUGGUAUCUUCGUCGAAUUCGAACACUUGGGGGCCACCAACAACUCUAAAAAAAAGAAAGUUCCAACAGGCUCUACUAGUCUCACAGGUUCAAACAGUCGACACCCAACCUAGACCCAUGAUUGGCUUCACCGAGCAGGAUGCAGAAGGCGUCAAUUUCCCACACGAUGACGCACUAGUAGUAUCUGUCCAACUAGACCAUGCUAUAGUUGAUAGAAUGAUGGUUGACAAUGGAAAUGCAAUUAACUUACUUUAACUCUUAGUCAUUCAGGAGAUGAGCCUGAAAAACACAAUCAUACACCGAGCAGAGGUACUCACCGGAUUCAACCGGCACACCUCAACUAUCAUUGGUCACAUCACACUUGACGUAAAAACACCGCCAGUUGUCUCAAAACAGACGUUCACGAUCGUAAGUGACCUAUCUCCCUGCAAUGGGAUUCUUAGGAGACCUCGGUUGAUUAAGCUGGACGCCGUCACUUCCGUCAAGUCUAACCAGGCCGCACUCUGACGAUGUACUAUGCAAGUGUUGAAUGAAUCAAAGAAGAAGGCCUUUACCCCCGUGGAGGCUACCGAAGUCCAAAGGGACGAAGAGGCUACUAAAUAACAAUUACAGUAAGCGGAUCAAGAAUGUGGUGCCCAAGCAGACAAGAUAGGAUGGAAAUCUGAAUAGGACAUCGAAGACAUCAUUCUUGAUCCCCAGCAGCCAGAAAAGAUAGUUAAAAUCGGCUCACGUCUAAGCCCAGCCGAGAAGGAAGAACUCACGGCUUUCCUUAGGGAAAACCGAGACAUCUUUGCAUGGUCAUCAUCAAACAUGCCUAGCAUCGACCCCGAGGUAGCUUACCACAAGCUGCACGUCAACCCUGCUACCAAACCGGUAAUCCAAAAGAGAAGACAUUUUGCACCCGAACGAGUAACGAUCAUUGAGGCAUAAAUUGACAAGCUACUGGAGGUCGGAUUCAUUGAAGAGGUAGCACACUCAGCAUGGCUUGCUAACAUCAUGCUAGUCGUAAAGAAAGAGAAGAGCAAAUAGAGGGUUUGCGUAAACUACAUCAACCUCAACAAAGCAUGCCCAGGAUAUCCUUAUCCGCUUCUCCGGAUUGAUCUAUUGGUAUAUUCGACUUCUGGAAACCAGCUACUCAGCUUCUUGGGUGCAUGCUCUGGCUACAACCAAAUAGCCAUGUCGACCGCGCAUCCAACUACAAAGGCUCAAGGGUAGGCGUGGUCAUUGUCACCCCAAACGGUUCAAUCACAAUUCAUUCCGAUUCCCAGCUAAUCACCAGCCAAACUACUGGGGAGUACACGGCAAAACAUCCAAGGAUGACGUAGUACCUAGAGAAGGUAUGCAAGCAGCUUGAGGCAUUUUAGACUUACACUCUCACUCAAUUUCUACGGGUAGACAAUGCCCACACAGAUGCGCUAGCCGGCCUAGGCUCUGCCCUCGACCAUCAACUCAAAUACUCUGUUCUAGUGGAAUAUCUAGACAAGCCAAGCAUAACGACGAAGCCGACAGCCGAAGUGUCACAAGUUAGUAUAACUCCUAACUGGCAAAGUUAUAUUAUAUACUACUUGGUCAACGACACACUCCCCCCAGAAAGAUUGGAGUCUAUGAAGCUCCAAAUCAAGGCAGCACGCUACUAAAUGUGGAACGACAUUUUCAUCCGAAGAUCCUACACCAAACCACGUCUCUGCUACCUAGUGCCUCCCGAUGAGUUGAAGGUUCUAAGCUCAAUCCACGAAGACGUUUGUGGAAAUCACUCUGGAGGUCGAUCCUUAGCACAUAAUGCUCUUAACACAGGCUACUACUAGCCUACCAUGUACCAAGAUGCUAAGGAGUUAGUACAAAAGUACGACCGUUGCCAACGCUACAAGCCGGUACCAGCACUGCCUGCCAGCAAGCUAUACCCACAGACGAGUCCUUGGCCAUUCAUGUAGUGGGCAAUCAACCUGGUAGGACCUAAGCCACCUGCUACUGGGGGCAGAUGCAUGAUGAUCGUGGCAACUAACUACUUCACCAAAUAGGUAGAAGCAAAGCCUAUGACAACCACAACUCAGACGGACAUAGAGCGCUUCAUAUAGAGGAACAUCAUUUACCGAUUUGGCAUCCCUCAGUCUAUCUUCACCAACAAUGGCCCGCAAUUUUUGGGUAAAGAUUUGGUGAAGUUUUUCCAAAUGUAUGGCAUCAAGCAGCACAUGUCCACCCCAAGAUAUCUUCAAGGCAAUGGGCAAGUUGAAGCAUCUAACAACACGAUCGUCGACUUCCUCAAGAAAUCCCUCAUGGACAAGAAAGGAAAAUGGCCAGACGAACUCAUGGGCUUAUCACAUCACCAAAAGAUGAGCAACUGGUGAGACACAUUUCUCUUUAGCAUUUGGUUCGGAAGCAAUCAUUCCUCCCAACAUGUUAUGAACGAGACUUUAGUCGGAACCUUCCUGAUUAAAAACAAAGAUCGAAAAACUUCGGUGGAGACAUUUGCAAAUAACUACGUAAACACAUGAAAAAUAUCAGAGUAGCAUCAAGAAUCGGUGGCAUAAAAAUCUUUACGCACCCACUUGUUCCAGAUGUUGGCACAUGAUCAUGCAUCGAUAGAUAUAUGUAUGGACAAUGGAUGCCCUACCUUGCAAAUUAUGCCAAGAACAACAAUCGAUCGAGUGACCAGCGGUGGGACUUGGGAGAGCUAGGAAUAUUAGCAAGCUGCAUUUUCUCAAUUCCCACUCUCACUUGUUUGAGCAUACCAACUAAUAUGCUUGUUUCUUGACUUAUGGAUGUAUCCAAAGUUCAAUAUGGAUGCAUGACAUGUGAUGUAGGUCAGGAGGUUUUUCUUCUUUUCAAAAGUAGUAUAUGUUGGAAAAGUUAGACAUGGAAUUGAUACCAGAGUUAAUAUGCUUUUGUACCGUCAUUCCCUAUAACCAAGGAAGAAAAAAUCGAUAAUAUCAGCGAUAUUAUCGUUUUUUUUUUGUCCGAUAUUUUUUUAACUAUCCAAAUGGUUUUGUCAAAAUAUCGCGAUAUUAUCGAUAAUAUCGUGAUAUUUUCGAAACUAUCGUGAUAUUUUGGCACUGUGCUAAUCGGAGAAGAACGCCGGAGCAAAUUAACCGAAUCCCUAAAUCCCCAAAUUCGAAUUCAAAGCAAAUUAACUGAAUCCCUAAAUCCCCAAAUUCGAAUUCAAAGCAAAUUAACUGAAUCCCUAAUUCCUAAAUCCUUAAAUUCAAAUUCAGUACAAAAAUGAAAUUACAUGCAGAAAAUUCGAAUUUUGUACAAAAAUGAAAUUACAUGUCGAGAAGAAGAGAAGUAGGAGCCUGGGAACGUCGUCUUCCUCACGAAUCCAAGAUGGCUGGGACAACGUCGUCCUCCUCAUCGACGACUACGAUGAGUUCCGGUCCAUCAUUUGGUGUCCGCUGCCUCGCUCAGUUUCUCCACAACCAUUGAUUUGCGAUGACGCGAUAGUUACGACUCGACGACUGGGACUAACGACACGGCUUCUCCAUGGAACAAGGUUGUUUACAAGGCGGUUAUGGAGUGGCGUCGACGGCUAGGUUUAGGGCGGGUGAGAUGGGAGGAGCAGAGGGAAACGCGGACGAGGAAGAUCGAGAGAUGGAUCGAGAUUCGAGAGAUGAUGUCUGUGUGUGCAUGUGGAAGAACUGGAGAAGGGGGAAGGGAGAAGACUGAGAAAAGAGAAUGAAGGGAGAAGACUCAGAAGAGAGAAGAGAGAGAAGGAAGGAUCGAGAGAGAGAUUGAGCCCAGUCUCUGUGUGCGUGUGUGGUGUGGUGUGGGGGGUCUCGAAGUGCGUGUGUGGUGGAAUGUGAGUGUGACUCACUCUUUAACUGUCUGUGUGUGUGGUGGCGUGUGAGAAAAAAAAAAGCAUCUUGAGUGUGACUCACAAUGUUUGCCAGCUCGCUAUAUAAUCAACUUGAUAAUGUUAAAUUCAUCAUGCAAUGCAUUUCCUUCCAAUUUUUUGUGAUAAACUAAUAGAUAAUUGACUAAAUAAAUAUCCUGCAAAGUUUCAAUAAAAAUUUCCAAGUUUUUCUUACAAUUUCCGUGGUUUCCAUGUAAUUUUUAUCGAUAUCGAUAUUAUCCCGAUAUUUCCAUCGAUAUUUCCAUGUUUUUGGACUACCGAUAUUUCCGAUAUUACCAAUAUUUUCUUCCUUGCCUAUAACCAAAAAUUCCUUAUUGUCAUUAAAAAAAAGAGAAUUUUUUAUUUCUAUUAUUAUAUUUAAUUAGUCUCUUGCUACAUUAAAUAAAAGUUAUUAAUACUUCCAUAAGAAAGCUUCAUUAAUUUGGUAAAAUUUUACAUAUAGUUAUAUAAAUGUAUUUAAAACUUAUGAUACAUUUGAAAAUAAACAUACUGAUUUUGGGUAAGUUUAGAUUUUAAAUGAACUAAUAAACAAAUGUACCAUAAAACUAAAGUGUAAAUUGUAGUUAUGGUCCCUUAACUUUAACUCAAUUGGAGCAAUGGUCCCUCAACUCAUCAAAAUGUGCAGCUAUGGUCCCUCAACUAAAAAUCCAUUACUAUUGGUCCCUCAACUUUAAUUCAACUGGAGAAAUGGUCCUUUAACUUUAACCCAAUUGUAGCAAUGGUCCUUCCAACAUAACUCAUUUUGACAAAAAAUCUAAUGCAGUUGACGAAAAUGACCAUAAUUACACACUCUGAUGAGUUGAGGGACCCUAAUUAUAUAAAUGGUUCUUCCAACAUAACUUAUUUUGACAAAAUUUUGACAAAAUUGAUGAAAAUGAUUAUAACUAUACAUUUUGAUAAGUUGAUGGACCAAUGGUAAUGGAUUUUUAGUUGAGGGACCAUUGCUCCAAUUUGAUUAAAGUUGAGGGACCAUUGCUACAAUUUACUUCUAAAACUAAAAUUACCCAUAUUUUAGGUAAUCAAUUGUACCAAUACAAUCAAACGAUCAUACAAUCAAAUGUACCUUUACUAUGAUUAUGUAUGUGAUAAUGAGUUUUGAACCUUCUAUUUAAUUCACUAAACCAAAUAUUAUAAUAAACAAUAAAAAAUCUAAAAUCUCCAGAACGAGAGAUGCAUAUAACUAUAACAGAUUCAUAGGUAAGGAAUUAUAGGGUAAAAAGGAAAACGAAAGUAAAGAUGUAAUGUGAAAUUUUUUAGGGUGGCUAGCAAACAAUUUCACGAAAAUAAAGGUAAAAAGAAAAAGAAAAAAAGGAACGUUUAAAAUUGAACUUUUAAUAAAAUGAAAUUAAGCACCAAAACUGUACGAAAAAUGUUUAACCAAAUUCUUAAAAGUAAUAGAAGUUUAAUCACCAAAAUUGAAAAACAAGGCAUUUAUAUCAAAACGCCCCCAAACUAUGUAAAAUAAUCAUGGGAACACAAACCAUACCCCUAAGAAUAAAGAGAAAUUGCAACCCGUGAAAUGCAUGGCUUUUCAUUUUUAGUAUAAACAGGGUUGUUCUGAAAUUUCGGGGAUCCUGUGCAAAUUUAUAAAAGGGCCAUUCUUAAGAUAAUCUUAAAAAAAAAUUAAAAAAAAAUUUGAACUUCGUGGUUGUUUUUCUUUAACAAAAAACCUAUCAAUAACUCGUUUUUUAGACGAGUAAAUUGUUCAACUUUUUUUUCUUUGGCGUUUCAAGUAGCCACAUAAAUAUUUUUUAGUAGGUGUCAUCUUUUAUAUCUCAAACAAUAUCAUAAUUAAAUUAUACUAAGUAUAUACAAUAAAACCUGAUAGUUCGCAAUGCAUGUGCAUCUAGUGGUUUUUGUUUACUGCUCCCCUCUUGCUAUGACAAUUACUUGAUUGAUUUUUAUGAGUUUUGCCCUAAAAAGUACAAAAGGAAAAAAAAUAUCAUUAUUAAUAAAAAUACCUAAAUCUUCUAAUUCCAACGUAAUAUACUUGAACUAGUAAUACCUUAUUUUAAUCGAAGUCUACACCACUAUGACCACUUCAAUUGUCUUCGUGAUUUGGACAAUUUUCUUCAAUGACAGGAAAUUUUGAAUUUAGGGUUUAAUGGUCUAUGUAAAAAAAAGUAGUGAGGAUGGGAGAUACAUGGGAAGUGGGAGAGGGGGUGUCUCGAUGAGAGAAAGAAGUGGACCAUGACUCUUGGAGUGAGAAUUGAGAAACAUUGUGAGGAAUAUCAUUAUUUUAUAAUUUUUAUAAAAUUUCUUACAAUUUGAUGACUUAUGUAGGCAUUCAUGUAGCUUGUGGCUUGUGGGCCCACUAGGAUUUUUAUAACUUUUAUUGAGUUCUGAUUAGCCUUUUUAUUUAUAUAAAUAAUAUAAUAUUAUUUCAUAGGAUAUCCGAUUAGAUAUAAACUAUUUUGGCCUCUUAAAUUUUGUGGCCCUGUGCCAUUGAACCGAUAGCUCCCCCUCAAUGCCGGCUCUAAGUAUAAAUACAUGAUGGUGUUCUUGGAUGAGAUUCUCCAUCUUUUACAUGCUUUCUAGAACUUCGCUACAAUGGCUUUAACCCCAUGGUUUCUCCUUCUCAUCAGCCUCAUAUCUACUCUGCCAGUUGAUGUCACUCUAUCUGCUGCUCACCAGGAUACCCGGAAGGCAUUCAUAAAAUAUGCAUUUUGAACAAUUCCGUUUCUCUGCUCUAAAUAUGUUCAUUAAUUAAUUUAAUCUUCUGAUCUUGGAUAUAUUAACUGCAGGAUUAUAUUGUGUAUAUGGGUGACAAGCCAAAGCCAGAGGUUUCCACCACUACCACAUCAGCUCUUCAUGUAAACAUGCUACAAAACGUCAUCGAUGACAGGUUUAAUUAAUUAUCACAUAUGAUAGUGAGCUUAAUUAUAUAUUCUGAUCAGUGUUUUAAAAUACUCGCAUCGAGGGCCUUAGAGUAUGGACGGGUGGCUUGCCGUCUCUAUUUUGUGGGAGUCGGCGAAAAACUCACAUAGCUUCGUCGGGGCGUGCCUCAGGACGUUUGAUUGGGCGUCAGUUUUGUAUAAAGGUUGUCGAAAUCUGAAAAAAAAAUUUGAUUGAAAUCUGGGUUUUGUUUUCAGUUGCAUAGCAGUCUGAAGAAGAUGAAGACGCCAACUUGUAGGCUGAUUUUUCUUUUCUUUUUUUUUUUAUUAUUUUUUUCACUUUAUUAACCGCUGUUAAAUCAUAUCUUUUAGCAUAUUCUAUUUUUUAAGUUUUUGUUUUUUAUAUUAUUUUAUAGAUAUUAAAAAAAAUAAAAGAUAAACAGAAAGAAAAUAUUUUUAUACUUUUUAUGAAGUAUAUAGACCUAAAAAAACCUCAAAAGACCCUAAAAAACCUCAAAAUAUAUCUUUACUUUUUAACGUUAUAUAUUACCCUUUCCUUUUCUUUUUAAGACUCCACAUCCACAUAUCUCAUCAAAAUAUUAUGUAUAUGUAUGUAUGUAUUGUAUAUAUAUUAAAAAAUUUAAGUUCCAUGAGAUUUCGCCUCAAGGCUUUCGGCUAGGCAGAGCUAUCCAUAACACGCCUCACCUACGCCUUCGCCUUUUAAAACAUUGAUACUGAUUAACAUUAUUCGUGACAAGGGUACCAUUUAAUUUAGUCAUCUCUCAUACAUACACAUCUUCUCUUUGUUUUUCAAGCUUAAUUAUCGCAGAGUUUGAAAGUGUCAAAUUUUUGAAGAUUUUGAUUUUUGACGUUUAUUUAUCCAGCAAUAUUGCGCACGAAUCUCUGCUUCUGCACAGCUACAAGAGAACCUUCAAUGGCUUUGCUGCCAAGCUAACAGAGGAAGAAGCACAGAAGUUGGCUGGUUGUCUUAUGAACCCAACUUAAUUUUAUUUUUCAACUUGAAUAAACAUUAAAAGUGACCAUUGUAUGACUUGAAAAAUAUAUGCAGGAAUGGAUGGUGUGGUGUCAGUUUUCCCUAGUGAAACUAAGAAGCUCCAAACAACAAGGUCAUGGGACUUCAUUGGGUUUCCUGAAAUGGUGAAGAGAAGCGCCAUUGAAACUGAUAUCAUUGUCGGGGUAAUUGACACUGGAAUUUGGCCUGAAUCUGCCAGCUUCAGUGACGCCGGGUUUGGUCCACCCCCCAAAAGGUGGAAAGGCGCAUGCAAGGGCGAAGGCAAUUUUACUUGCAAUAAGUAAAGCAAACCAGUUUAUUUCAACCAUCCACUGCACAUUUCAAAAUAAAAAAAUAAAAAUUCACGUGUUGUUGUUAAUUACACUUGGACAGAAAAAAAAAGAAAAAAAAAGUGCGAACUUGAUUAUAAUUUAUAUGAUAUGUUGUCAAAUUGUAACUCUGACUAAAAUAAUGACAUAUUUGUUACACUUGGACAGUAAAAUUAUCGGAGCACGGUAUUACCGCAGUCAACCCUCCCCCCAAAAUAGCAGUGAUGUCAUGUCUCCGAGGGACACGGAAGGCCAUGGAACCCACACUGCAUCAACAGCAGCAGGGAACUUAGUUAGCAAGGCAAGUCUGUAUGGUUUAGGGUUGGGGACAGCAAGAGGAGGGGUGCCAUCAGCACGCAUUGCGGUGUACAAAGUUUGUUGGUCAGACGGGUGCCCGGAUGCUGAUAUUCUAGCGGCAUUCGAUGAUGCCAUAGCUGACGGUGUUGACAUACUCUCUGUCUCCAUUGGGGGGUUUAAACCGUAGAUUAUUUCAGAAAUUCCAUUGACAUUGGAGCUUUUCACGCUUUAAGAAAAGGAAUAUUCACUUCCGCGUCUGCUGGUAAUCAAGGUCCAAACCUGAAAACCAUUACAAACUUUGCACCAUGGUCUCUUGCUGUAGCUGCUAGCACCAUAGAUCGCCACUUUGAUACCAAGGUUCAAUUGGGAAACCACAAAAUUUAUGAGGUAAUUGAUACAGAAUCUAACCUUUGCUCAUUUAGGGCUUUGUUUGGCAGUGAUCCUGGUUGGGCAAUAUAUAAUCACUUAUGGAGAAUCAACAAUAUAUAUGCUGAAGAUGCACCAAAAUACUAGAGAAGUGAUUAACAUGAGAGUUGAUUAUGAUUUGUUUUUGCUUCCUUAAUUGGUAGGGAAUAGUAACAAACACAUUUGAACUCAAGGGUAAAUUCUACCCCAUAGUAUAUGCUGCAGACGUUCCAGAUAGGGCAGCAGGUUUCGAUGGGGAAAUUUCCAGGUAUGUGUACGCAUUUUGAGAGUAUAUAUUGUAAGAACUUGUAAACAAACAAACACCAAGACCAAAACAUGAACCACAAACAAAAGGAAACCAACCCAGUUAUGUGCACAUAAAUAACCAGAAAGGAAAACAUACCUGCAGCUGCACCAGAACUCCUAGCCAUUGCAGCAAACUUUCAGUGAUCCUUCUCUUCUCUUGCAGAUUGUCAAGAGCUCGACUCACAGAUAGGUUAUGGUCCAAUAUGAGCGUUAGUUCUAUGAGAAGAGAGGUCACUGUAUAUAUACAUAUAGACUUCACCAAAAUAGAUCAGGAUUUCCUAUCAAAAUGCUCAUCGGAAACAAACACUUGUUUCCUGAUGCUAACCAAAAUCCUUUUCAGUCAAGGAUCAGCAUUCCUUUCAUCAAUAGGACUUUCUAUCCAAAUUGAAUACCUAUAACCGGUCCUAAUACUUCUCUAUCUCAUACUCAUAUUCUUACAUUCUCCCACUUGAGUAUGAGAACAAUUUCAAGUACUCAGUUUAUCCAAUCAUACUUAGAUAGAAGUAAUCACUAACAGAUAAUCAUCUCAAAUUAUUAUAAAGGUGAUCACAUAAUUAAGUCAUUCACCAACACACAAGUACAUAGACACAACCAGCUUACAUAAACCAAAACAAUGAAUGUAUAAUUGCCUCUGCAACACAAAAUACAGAUUUAACUUACAAAUCACAAUGUCCAGUUCAUGUUCAUAGCAAUGUAUCUAAGCUCAAAAGUAAACCAAGACGUCUACUCCCACUCAUAAAGCCACCAAAUCUUUUGGAUAACAAAAGCUUAACCUCACAUACAACUUACCCAUGCAUUUUAAAGUAUUGAACUUAAGAAUUUUUUCUGUUACAUCGCAGAAUUAAUUCAAAAGUCACAACAUACUUAAUUUGCACUUUGUAAUUAUGUGAACCAAUAUAGCAAAAACCAAACCAAUUUGCUCCCACUUAUCUAGGAUAUACUUAACACAAACAAGUUAAGUAUAAGUUAAUAUCAACUGUAUUAACUAACAGUCAUUGCAAUACACUGAAUGUCUUAUCAAUGUGAUCAAUUGCCGCAACCAAUGCAAACAAAUUCCAUGAUCACAUUCAUCCAAUUUGUAUUUACAACAAUGUGAUUUUACUUGACCAGAACAAACACAUAAAUUGAUUUGCUCCCACUAUAUCAAGUUAAGUUUAGUUCCAGCAAAUAGCACUAAACUUCUCAUUACUUAAACAAAUUAAGUAACAUAAAUAAUUACCAAUUGCUUCAAUAAAACCAUAAUCUGGUUUUCAAGCAUCCAAAUGAAUUAUAAUGGCCGGCCUAAAUAACCUUAUGCUUACAUUCGAACAUAUGAUUCUCCCACUUAAGCAUAAGCAGAAUGUACUGCACAACCAAUAAAGAAACCGGAGAUAUGAACCAAUUGAUUCCCGAUUCCUUACCAAUUGCAUAAUCUCAGUUUAGUCAAAUACACCUAAACCAUUAUGCAAACAGUCUAUGUAUCAAAAGAUAGUCACAAUCCAUUCGAUUUGAUCCUAACUAGUUUCAACAAUAAUCAAAAUCAGAAUAGCAAGCACAAUAUUCUUGCAUUCAAUUUGAUCCUAACUAGUUCAAUACCCAUCGAGCAAGAUCAACUAAAAUUUGAUAAUGUCUGGAUAUAAAGGCACAAGUCAUCUUGAUUAAAACAAGAUAAUCAAGAUGAUCAUCCAAUAAAAUUUAGUGUACUUACAGAUUUAAUACAUAAUAUCAAAUCUCUUACACUUACAAUAUAUCAAGUGAGAUGAGUUUCAGAAUACAUUCUUGCCAACAAGGUUUCACUAAACAAUUUAUACCAUUUCAUACAGGUACUAACACAAGAGCCUUCACAUGUUUUUGGUUAUACAGUGCACAUAUUGGCAUUAACGAACCCAAAAAUUCCGAACUACAUCAUUCACAUAUAUGGCAACACCCCCAAAACCUAUUAUAUAUAGUCUAACCAAAAUUGGGAUAUGAAUUACACUCAUAAUUUUAAAAACGUCAUUAUGGAUACCCGUAUAAUCCAAUUUUGCUUUUCUAGAAUAAUUCAAACCAAUUAGACCCACAUAAAAGCCACAGGUAUUUGGUAGCAACAAUAAGUCAAAUUCUAUUAUCAUAAUUCAUAAUGGAAAAUCAUGAUGCAAGCUUCCAAGUUUCAAGCAAGUUAAUGAGAAACCUUACAUUUGCUUGAGACAACAAAAUAGCAACAAAACAAUAUUUUCCACCCAAUCUAAUUACACAGGCUCUAACUCAAAAAUAGAAGAGCAAUGUGUACACCAAAUAUUAGUCUAAUGAAUCUUUAUGCAAAAAGAAUGAUUCCAGUCAUCUCACAUAAAUCAUAAGUUGGCAUUUAUAGGGAUUUCGAGUUUAAUUGUGCCUUCACAAAAUAAACAAGCAUACUCGGAAUAGCAAAAGCCCUAAUUCAUUAUGCUCCAACUCAUCGCACUAUAAUCACGCAUAUAGGAGAACAAUUAAUUAUGCAUGAAACAGUGAACUGAGUUACCUGAAUGCAUCAUUGGACUCGUAUUCGACAACCCGAUUGCAAUUCCACGGCUCCAAAUCAACGAAACAAAUUAUCCAUCAAUGCUCGAGACCCAUCCAUACGGAUUGCCAUGGUUACAGACGCGCCGAACCAAAAUCAUCGCCAAAGCAACGACUAGAAUCCCGUGGACCCAAAUUCCCACAAAAAAAGACAAACCAUGAAUGUUAAUAUCUCUUAGACAAACAAAAACUUAUUAAUGUCGCCAUAAUCAAGAUUUCAUCUUUCUUUUAUCUUACUAAUAUUUGGUGAGGCAUAUUUUAUGCACAUCUUUAUUCAUAUAAAGGAUUAAGAAACCACAACUACCUCAAUCUUCAGACAUCAUAAUGAACACAGCGGAAGCAAUAAUUCUCAAAAUUAGAACUAUGAUGUUUAAGAUAAAUGUGUUUUGCUAAAUCACUUUAUUGAUCUCCAAAGAAGCAAGCAAGAAUAAGUUCACCCUUUCCCACGUGCAGCAUAAUAUAAAUUGUUAUCAUACCAGAUUCACAUAAUUUGCAGAAGCAAAGCAGAUUCAUAUGCGCUAAAACAUACACAGGUAUUGAAAGAAUUAAAAGCAAUCAUACCUUUUAAUCACUGCAGACUUAUAGACAACAUAUGCAACAAUAGGCAUCAACAGACGUCUCAUGCAUAAUGAUCAUUUUUCAUGGUUGUUUAAGAAACACAAAACCAUCAGUAGAAAAUGCAAAUCAAAAUUUUUCCGCAGAUAUGGAAAAAUUCAGCCUUGAUUAUCAGCUCUAAUCAGAAAUAUCAACACAUACCUCCUGCAGAUUUCAAUUUGGAACAGCGCAACGGAAAUAAUUAUCCAAAUUGAAAAAAAUUAAUUUAAGAGUUGAGAGAAUCACAAAACCCAAAAAAUGUUUUGAUCGAUGAAGUUGCUAAUCAAAACCCCAAAUUGAGAAAACAACCUCAACCAAUAGAUUUGCAGAAAAAAAAACCAAUGGUAAUAGUUUAAAUAUAUUUUGUCAUUAUCUGGAGAUCACAUACCACCGAUGCAUCUAAGAUGAAAACAUUGAGGUUUGCACCAACAAUUGGCCCGAUAUCAAUCCCCAAAAAUCCUAACGGUCAAUUUUAUUUUAUUAAUUCUCUGCUUAUUGAAAACGCAAUGUCGUUUUCGUGAAACUCUUUUCCAGCGAAUUCGUUUAAACCAGUUUCGAAACCUGGAAGUCGCAAAAUUUAUUUAUCUAUUUAUAAACACAUUCGACUUUUCUCCUUUACAGAUUUGAACUCAUGUUUGUGUCUUGUGGCUCUGAUACCACAUGUAAGAACUUGUAAACAAACAAACACCAAGACCAAAACAUGAACCACAAACAAAAGGAAACCAACCCAGUUAUGUGCACAUAAAUAACCAGAAAGGAAAACAUACCUGCAGCUGCACCAGAACUCGUAGCCAUUGCAGCAAACUUUCAGUGAUCCUUCUCUUCUCUUGCAGAUUGUCAAGAGCUCGACUCAUAGAUAGGUUAUGGUCCAAUAUGAGCGUUAGUUCUGUGAGAAGAGAGGUCACUAUAUAUAUACAUAUAGACUUCACCAAAAUAGAUCAGGAUUUCCUAUCAAAAUCCUCAUCGGAAACAAACACUUGUUUCCUGAUGCUAACCAAUCCUUUUCAGUCAAGGAUCAGCAUUCCUUUCAUCAAUAGGACUUUCUAUCCAAAUUGAAUACCUAUAACCGGUCCUAAAACUUCUCUAUCUCAUACUCAUAUUCUUACAUAUAUACCAUUUAUAUUGAAGAACCACGGUAGUCUAGCGUAAGUCUAACCAGGUGCUAAUAACAUGGAUAUAUAUGGAACAGGUUUUGCAUAAUAGGCAGCACGUUAGACCAAAAGCUGGUGAAGGAUAAAAUUGUUCUUUGCGAUGGGCCUACUGGGGAUGGGGCUGUAGAGGCAGGCGCAUCUGGUUAUGUUUUGACAAGCCGAAAUGCAGCAGAUGUAAUCGAUCCUGUUCCUGUACCAGCAGCUUCCGUUUGGUUCCAUGUUGGUAACGAAAUUGCCCAUUACAUAAACUCAACCAGGUAUCAAUAUUUGAGAAUGAUAGUGCGAGAUUGAUUUAAAAUAUUGCUAAUGUGCGAAACUAACAUAAAUCAAAAGACCCCUUAUUAUGUUAUUGCUAAUAAAUCCUGAAUCCCUGUAAUGAUUCGUAGGAACCCAACAGCAACAAUUUGGAAAAGUACUGAGGGUAGGGAUGCACUGGCCCCAUACGUACCUUCAUUCUCAUCAAGGGGUCCAAAUCCAAACACUCCUAACAUUCUCAAGGUAACUUCAAGGCCCUGUAGGUGUGUGAAUGCUGACUUAAAAAAUGAACAAACCGAAUCAUGAAUAUUGAGGGGUCUUAAUUUUCCUCCUUGUUUUCUCCUAUAUGUUGCAGCCAGAUAUCGCUUCUCCUGGAGUUUCCAUUCUAGCCGCAUGGUCUCCAAUUGCCCCAGUUUCAGGUUUUGAAGGUGAUGACAGGGUAACUUCAUACAAUAUAAUCUCGGGGACAUCAAUGGCAUGCCCACAUGCUGCGGGCGUGGCUGCAUACGUCAAAUCAUUUCACCCCAAUUGGUCACCUGCUGCAAUCCUGUCAGCUCUUACAAGUACUGGUAUAGAUGCAUUUUCAUAAAUGUACCCAUUACAAUACAACCGUUCUCUCACAUAUUUGAUGAGUUGUGUGACCAAUUAUUAUCAGAGAUCAUGUGACCAAGUCUUGUGAGAGAGACCCUACAUAUAAUAAGACUUUGUCCAUGAUGUACAUUGUAUUACCUAAGAUUUAUAUGUUUGAUUAAUUUGUAACGAUUUUGCAGCCAAACCUAUGAGUACAAAUCUUAACCCUGAAGCCGAAUUCGCGUACGGUGCUGGCCUACUAAAUCCUAGUAGGGCUCCGUAUCCUGGUUUGGUAUACGACACUGCUGAAAUCGAUUACGUAAAUUUUUUGUGUGCACAAGGCUAUAGUACCAGAUUAUUGAAAGCUCUUACCGGGGAUAGCUAUAGCUGCUCAUCAUCACAAUCUAGUCAUGGAACACUCAGUGAUCAUCUAAACUAUCCUUCUGUUGCACUUUCCACCUCGAACCCUAAAUCCGUCAAUGGCAUUUUCAAUAGGACCGUCACAAAUGUUGGAUCACCAAAGUCCACAUAUAAAGCUAAAGUGAGUGCACCACCAGGACUUGAUAUCAAAGUUAAUCCAAGCAUUCUAAAGUUCACAUCUCUCGGGCAGAAGCUAUCGUUUCAAGUCACGGUGAAAGGGUUGAUUGAAAAACCAUAGUCUCUGGUUCUCUGGUGUGGGAUGAUGGUAAAUUCCAAGUGAGGAGCCCCAUUGUUGUGUAUUUUGUGUUUUGAGAACAAUAUGUGUAAUAAUGUAUGAUGCAUGAAUAAGCAAUUGCAUGAAACUAGAUAGGGCUUCAAUGAAACAAAAUUGCAACAUAUUGAUCACGAUGAUGUAUUUUAAAUGAAAACUAAAUUAUUAUAUAUUUAUGAACCUUUAAUAUGAUGUAGUACAUCGAAGUACAUCGAAAUUUGAAACGUACCCAUUUAAGGAUAUUUUAUAGCUCUCUAUGCAAUCUAAUUGUAUAUUUGAUAGUUCAUUUUUGGUCUGCAUGGGAAAUAUGGAUUUUCUCCUAUGUUGAUUACUUGAUUGAAGGCCCCAUCCCUCGUUGCCCGUGUAUACAGGUUGUACCUAUCACUACAUCAAGUUAUCAACGAGACUUUAGUCGGAACCUUCCUGAUUAAAAACAAAAGACCGAAAAACUUCGGUGGGGACAUUUGCAAACAACGACGUAUACAACAACAACAACAACAAAGCCUUUUCUCACUAAGUGGGGUCGGCUAUAUGAAUCCUAGAACGCCAUUGCGCUCGGUUUUGUGUCAUGUCCUCCGUUAGAUCCAAGUACUCUAAGUCUUUUCUUAGAGUCUCUUCCAAAGUUUUCCUAGGUCUUCCUCUACCCCUUCGGCCCUGAACCUUUGUCCCGUAGUCACAUCUUCAAACUGGAGCGUCAGUAGGCCUUCUUUGCACAUGUCCAAAUCACCGGAACCGAUUUUCUCUCCUCUUUCCUUCAAUUUCGGCUACUCCUACUUUACCUCGGAAAUCCUCAAUCCCAAUCUUAUCUUUUCUCGUGUGCCCACACAUCCCACGAAGCAUCCUCAUCUCCGCUACACCCAUUUUGUGUACGUGUUGAUGCUUCACCGCCCAACAUUUUGUGUCAUACAACAUCGCUGGCCUUAUUGCCGUCCUAUAAAAUUUUCCCUUGAGCUUCAGUGGUCUACGACGGUCACACAACACGCCGGAUGCACUCUUACACUUCAUCCAUCCAGCUUGUAUUCUAUGGUUGAGAUCUCCAUCUAAUUCUCCGUUCUCUUGCAAGAUAGAUCCUAGGUAGCGAAAACGGUCGCUUUUUGUGAUCUUUGCUAGAUUGCUCCGGUCAUUAGUGUGGAUAAGUAUAUAAAUGGAUAGAGAUAGGAAAGCAAACACAAGAUGUACGUGGUUCACCCAGAUUGGCUACGUCCACGGAAUAGAGGAGUUCUCAUUAAUUGUGAAGGGUUUACACAAGUACAUAGGUUCAAGUUCUCCUUUAGUGAGUACAAGUGAAUGAUUUAGUACAAAUGACAUUAGGAAAUAUUGUGGGAGAAUGAUCUCGUAAUCACGAAACUUCUAAGUAUCGGAGUGUGGUAUCGUCUUGACUUGCCUUAUCUGUCUCAUAGGUAGAUGUGGCAUCUUCUCUGGAAGUACUCUUCCUCCAUCCAGGAGUGGUAUCUUUAACUGGUGGAGAUGCACAAGGUAAUGUAUCAAUUUCACUUGAAGCUUACUUGUAGUUUCAGGCUUGGUCAAGCGCGAUACAAACCAUGUAGUAGGAGUCCCCCAAGUCGCCGAGCUAGGGGAUUUGCUGAAAGAGGUGACAGACAAGGUAAGCAAUCAGAGCUCCGGCUGAUUGUUCACAUUCUCCCUAUCUUGCAGGCAGCAUGAAGGAUAAAGAGAAGAAAAAUGAGAAGGGGUGAUAUGGGAUACUUUUGCUUUUGAAGAAGUAACUUUCCACAGGUUUAUUCUUGAACUGAGCUGGAGGGUUUUCUUGUUUCCUCCAGAGUAUAAGGCCAACUGAAGAAUUUGAGGGUCAAAACAAGUCCAUCAAAUCUAGAGUACGUUCGACCCUGCUAAUAUGGGAUACUUUUGCUUUUGACAGAGUAGUGGAUGUAUCGACACGUGUGCUGUUACGCUUGUCUCCACAUGCUUCCUUGUAUCCUUCUCACUUGCCCUAUCUGUUCCUCAGGCAGAUGCGGUAUCUUCCUUGGAAGCAUAAGAUGUUGAAGAUGAGUACUCGAGAGCAAUGCCAGGUAAGUAAUCAGGUAAGAGGUUCCAGGCAGUCAGUUCCUGGCUGGAAUCUUGAUUCCAAGUGCUGACUGAUUGCUCUCUUUCUCCUUGUCUUGCAGGUAAGAAUAAGGCCAAAGGAAAAAACAGGGAAAAAGCAUGAUAUGGGAUACUCUUGCUUUUAACCUUGAUGAUAUGAGAUAUUCUUGCUCUAGUAUAGCUUGUUUGCAGAGGUAUUAUCCGGGGGAAAGAAAGCUGAAUAUUUCGAAAGGCUUCGUUGGGAGUGCCCUCUCAGAUAUGAGGAAGGGUUGAGCAUUUUUGCAGGUCUGCCUGUCCGUUGGGGAUGGAGGUCGACAUAUAUAGGAGUAUCCCUAACAACAAGUAGUAAUGCUAUUCCUUUACCCUGCUUGGUCAUAGCACGGUAGUGGGGGCUGCCAGUUUACAUGUUUUAACUCUGUCAGAGCACUUUGAAAAAGUGGUCUGUGGUAUCUGGAAAGCUGAUGUUGCGUGUGAAGAUUACAGACAAGCUUUAUCCAAGGAUAUCCGGCUCUUGAAGUUGGGAAAGUGGUGCCUCUUCGGUUUUCGAACAAGCAAUCCUAUCGGGGAUCUGGCUCACGAGAUUCAGAGAACGAUGCCUCUUCGAUUUUUGAGAAAGCAAUCAUGCUGGAGGUCUGGCUCUCGAGAUUCGGAGAGCGAUGUCUCUUCGAUUUUUUAGAAAGUAAUCAUGUUGGGAGUCUGGCUCUCGAGGUUCGGAGGGCAGUGCCUCUUCGAUUUUGGAGCAAGCAAUCUUGUUGGGAGUGUUUUCUCGAAUGUAAGUAAAGGUUGGGCAUGUUUGCUAGUCUACCUUGCCACGAAGCACAAAGGUUGACACACAGGGACUUUCCAAUUAUCCAGCAAUGGUACUGUUCCUUUACCCUCUCUUCGAUUUUUGAGAAAGUAGUCAUGUUGGGAGUCUGGCUCUCGAGAUUCGGAGGACGGUGCCUCUUCGAUUUUGGAGCAAGCAAUCUUGUUGGGAGUGUUUUCUCGAAUGUGAGUACAGGUUGGGCAUGUUUGCUAGUCUACCUUGCCACGAAGCACAUAGGUUGACACACAGGGACUUUCCAAUUAUCCAGCAGUGGUACUGUUCCUUUACCCUUGUGGGUAAUAAUAUGGUAGCUAGACCUUCAAAAUUUAUGUGUCUAAACUUUGUUAGUGCUAUUUCUUUGCUAUUCUUUUACCCUUCUUGGUCAGAGCGAUGUAGUGGGAGCUGCAAGCUUCACGUGUCUCAACUUUGGCAGAGAACUUUGGCAAAGUUAUCUAUGGUACCCAUGAGCUACUGUUGCGUGUGGGAAGUAGGUGAUUGAACAAUAAGAUUCAUGUGCUUUCUACUUCACCAGAAGUCUUCGACAGAAUGCCCAUAAUUUCCGCAAAGCUGAGUGUGCGUGUGACAGAUGCUGACAAGGCUGGAAAAGUAGGUGCCUCUUCGAUUUCUGAGAUCGGCCUUCGUGGUCUCUGAGCAGCCCAGCUUUUGAGAAAGCAAGCGCCUCUUCGAUUUCUGAGAUCGGCCUUCGUGGUUUUUGAGCAGCCCAGCUUUUGAGAAAGCAAACGCCUCUUCGAUUUCUGAGCAGACGCCUCUUCGAUUUCUGAAGCUCUGUCAAGUGCAGAUUUUUAUAGGGGCUGGCAUUAAGUUCCAAAGCACACUUGAAUCUCCACCAGUAGAAGCUCUACUCUUGCACUUCUAAGAUCUUGAUUUGUCCGACCUUUUCUCUCUUCAACACCUUUGAAAAUGUCUGGCCCCUCCGACCGUCGUUUUGACUUGAACCUUGUUGAAGAGGCAGCCCCGCCUUCUCCAGACAACAUAUGGCGCCCCCUUCAUGGUCCUCUUCCGUUGGGGAUCCCUACUGAUGAAGAAUCUUACCGUUGGGAUUCCGGAUGAAGAAUGAACCCGCUGCGGUGGUGGCCAGGAACCUUCUCACUCCCAAAGAUAACAGACUACUUUCCAAACGGUCUGAUGAGUUAGCUGUUAAGGAUUCUCUGUCAGUGUUCAGUGUGCAGGUUCUGUGUCUAAUAUGGCCCAACGCCUAUUUGCUCGAACCCGCCAAGUUGAAUCAUUGGCGGCUGAAGUGAUGAGUCUCAAACAGAAGAUUAGAGGGCUCAAGCAUGAGAAUAAACAGUUGCACCGGCUCGCACAUGACUAUGCUACAAACAUGAAGAGGAAGCUUGACCAGAUGAAGGAAUCUGAUGGUCAGGUUUUACUUGAUCAUCAGAGAUUUGUGGGUUUGUUCCAAAGGCAUUUAUUGCCUUCAUCUUCUGGGGUUGUACCGCUUAAUGAAGCUCCAAAUGAUCAACCUCUGAUGCCUCAUCCUUCUAGGGUUCUGUCCAGUACUGAGGCUCCGAAUGAUCCCCCUCCGGUGCCUUCUCUUUCUGGGGCUCUACCGACUGCUGAGACUUCUCCUAAGCAACCUUUGUGAAGGCUUCCUCUUGUUUGUUUAUUUUGACUUAUGUAUAUGUACAUAUUUGUAACUUAUUGGGGAUAUCAAUAAAUAAGCUUUCCUUCAUUUCAACGUAUUGUGUUAAAUACACCAAAGCCUUCUUCGCUAAGUUCUUUGAAUUUUCUUUUGUUGAAGCUUGUAUGUUGAAGCUUGUAUGUUGAAGCUUUGUGAGUGGAGCAUGUAGGUUGAGGUAGUGUUCCCUUAAUUUCCCGAGUGAGGAAAACUUCUCGGUUGGAGACUUGGAAAAUCCAAGUCACUGAGUGGGAUCGGCUAUAUGAAUCUUAGAACGCCAUUGUGCUCGGUCCUGUGUCAUGUCCUUCGUUAGAUCCAAGUACUCUAAGUCUUUUCUUAGAGUUUCUUCCAAAGUUUUUCUAGGUCUUCCUCUACCCCUUCGGCCUGAACCUCUGUUCCAUAGUUGCCUCUUCUAAUCGGAGCGUCAGUAGGCCUUCUUUGCACAUGUCCAAACAACGACGUAUACACAUGUAAAAUAUCAGAGUAGCAUCAUGUAUCGGUGGCAUAAAAAUCUUUACGCACCCACGUGUUCUAGAUGUUGGCACAUGAUCAUGCAUCGAUAGAUAUACGUAUGGACAAUGCAUGCCCUACCAUGCAAAUUAUGCCAAGAACAACAAUCGAUCGAGUGACCAGUGGUGGGAGAGCUAGGAAUAUUAGCAAGCUGCAUUUUCUCAAUUCCCACUCUCACUUGUUUGAGCAUACCGACUAAUAUGCUUGUUUCUUGACUUGUGGAUGUAUCCCAAGGUCAAUAUGGAUGCAUGGCAUGCGAUGUACGUCAGGAGGUUUUUCUUCUUUUCAAAAGCAGUAUAUGUUGGAAAAGUUAGACAUGGAAUUGAUACCACAGUUAAUAUGCUUUUGUACCUCAUUCCCUAUAACCAAAAAUUGCAUCAAGUAAAAAUUACCUUAUUUCGCAACAUUUCUUCAACUGGCUACUGGCUCUCUAGUUUUUCAAUUGUCAUCAUGGUCCAAGUACCUAAGCUGGGUCGGAUCAUUUUCUUCUUUGAGCAGAAGGACGUUAACCAUCGGAUUACCAUCGAUGAUUGCACAUGUUAUGCACUAAGAAAAGGUUGCAAGCGGUUAUUUGCUUGUAGAGCUACCGGCUGCCUUAUAGUACAAACUAGAAAAAGUUCUACCCGAACCGUAACGAACGUUGCUGCAGGAUUAAAAAUUGUGUAAAAAAAAUUAUGUUUCAAAGGUAUAAACCUAUCAACUUGUAUCACAUCUAACUGAACUACAACAACAUAUUGAAGCACUUAAUAUGAAAUUUCAUAAGCUAUUUGACAAUAUGAAAUCAAGCAAUUAUUGAAAAUCAGAAACGGAGCUUAGAAAGUAAAAAAUCCUACCUCAUUAUAUUAAAACAAUUAACAAAUUCUCAGUGAAUGAUCACAAAAAAGGCUCAGUUCUCACCAUAAUGAAAAUUAUGACAUCGUUUUAACAUGAACUUGAGUUCAUUUCAGUCACCAGCAUUAAUAAAACCAGUGACUUCAACCUGUGCAAGGAAACAACUGACUUAGACGCAAGCCAACCAACUUUGAAUCUAACCAAAUAAAAAAAGUAAUCACAAUCGAACUAACCUCUUCUUCCCAAAUGAAGUAGAAGAUGUCCCCUGUUUUGCCAUUGUGAACAGUGUACUCUACUCUCAACACACAAAAAGAACACACUCAAAAUGCUGAGCAAUAUUAUAAAAGCUACACAUACAUCAUUGUAUAUAUAUUUGGACAUAAAGUAUAAAGAUCUGCUGACAGUAUCAAGCUUAAAUUUAACAAAAGCAGUAAUUACGAAUUGAAAUCAAACGAUAAUAUAGUUGUUAAAAAAAAUUCUAACUAAAUUUUACAAAUAGCAUCAUAAAUGUUAAAAAAAAUAACACCAUUGAAAAAACUCAUUACUCAAAUCUGUAAUUCUAUAAAAGCACAUCACUGAAAACUUCAAUUUCAUCAAAACAUGUCAACCUAUAUCACAUCCAAAACCCAUUAAUAAUCUCUUCUUGUGUAUAGCUUGUCCUCAGAAUUCGCAGCUGAAAACGGAAUGUAAGUUCAGAGUAUGAUGAAAAAGAAGAAAUGAAAGAGUUGUGUCAAUGAAAAAGAAUGAGAGAGCGGGUAUCAGAACAAUCUACAAAGAAGAAGAAUUUGAGAUGAAUAAGUGGAUAAAUUGCUUACAUGAAGAGCUGAUUUCAAAUCGAUGAUCCAUUUCUCACCCUAAUAAUAUUUAACAAUUGCAAUUAGUAAAAUUUUCUUGAUAAGAUGAAAUCUAGGAGCAUAAUAAUAAGCAUUAGAAAUAGAAAAGCCUUAUAUAGUGAUUAAGGCCCUUAAUUAACUUGCGAAGCUUGAAAAGUCAUUCUCUUCACGUGGUUAAUUUGGAAGUUAUCCAAUGUAUGUAAAAACAUGAAUCAGAAGCAAAUUGAUGAAAUCGGAGGGAAAAAAUGUUACUUAGUAAUUGUAUAUGUUAUGAAGGCAUCAAAUAAAGUCCUGAUAAAAUACCAGCAUCUUUAUAUUAACCACUUUACAUAUAAAUUAUAAAUGAUUAUCACAGCCUUAAACAAAUUUCAUUUAGGGAAGACUGAUGAGGGGAUAUACGACUCACAAACAACUGAGACUGUCCUUUUUUUUUUCUUUUUUUUUUUUCAUAUCAACAAACACACAAAUUCUUAUAUUUCCGAAAGCACCUGCAUCCCAACAUAAAAACUUAAAUAAUACAUGAAUCAUCGAUGUUUUGCUUUGCAAACAGCCAAGGGGAUAGGAACUAAAAUAAAUUUCGUGACCAAGAACCUCUUAAAAACCAAGCUUGAAAGCAUAAAAACAAAGCUUUCAAUCUUUCUGUGCAAAUUAAUAUCACAAUCAAUUCAACCCCAUUUCCGCAAUCCAAAGCUUCAAACUUCAUACAAAAAUACAAUAAUUUUUAGAAUUUCACCCAAACAUAAAGAGAAUAAUAUUGUUAGGUGCGGAGAAGAAAAAACCAGGGAAAAAUGGAAGAUGGAUUUUAGCAUGGAAAAGCAAUUCACAGCAACAAUAAAAAGGUGAAAUUAAAAACUCAAUUGAAUCAAAUGAAGAAUUUUCUAGUGUGCAAACAAUUAGUGUUAUCAGCAAGAAGUUUCAGACCUUAAAAUGCAAAAGCAUGUGCCCAAAAUGCAAUCCUAUAAAACAUGAAACAACAGCCAUAAGAUAAUCGGAAAUUUUCUAAUAAAAUGAACCGAAGACCAACUUUGAAUAAUUGGUAACGAUGACGCUUUGACAUUGAUAGAGUGUAUGUAUGUGAGAGAGAGAGAGAGAGAGAGAGAGAGAGAGAGAGAGAGAGAGAUGGAAAUAGAGUUAGAAUUAGACCAAUUCAGAAAUCAACCUUAAGAUUCCCUCUGGGUCAACUGGUUGCACCAUUGAUGAGAAACAGUCGGUAGAGGUUGAUAGUAGGAGAACUAACAUUGCAUUCCUGAAACACAAAGGAUUAACCUUUUUCAAUUAUCAUCAGUGAAUGCACUAAUACAGGACUUAAAUUCUGAUAUAUUCAAUAAUCUAAUUACCAGAGAAGGACUUUUAUCCUUCUAUAAAGAGGCAGUUGAUAAAGGUGACUCUGGCCCAGUAUAACUUGACUCAUAAACUGGAAACUUUGAGGCUUCAAACUCUGAGCUAAAAGUUGAAGCUUCUCACUCAACAAACAAAAAUUACAAAUCCAAAACUAAAAAGAAUCAGAAACAAACUAAAACAUGGGAUUGGUGAAGGCCAUACCUUCGAAAGCAUAGACGCAGGCAGCUCUACGAGAGUGAUCCCAACUCCGGGGUCGGAGGCGGAAACAGAGGCCAAUAUCCUCAAGAUUUUGCGUUGAUGAUUGUGAGAUCGGGAUAAAACGGUCGAAACCAAAUUUGCAAGUUUUGAAAAAACGUUAAGGAAUCUGGGUUUCAAUGAAUAAGGAGGCUGCAAAUAAAAUCCCCAAAGAAACAAAAAAAGGGUCUCCCAUGUCGGUAUUUUGUGAGAGAAAAAGCGCAAGAUUCGAGAGCGAGUUCAACAGCGGCAGAAGCACAGAUUUGUGAGAAAGAAGAAACCGAAGGAAAAAUCGAGAAGAUGCAAGAGAGGCUUGAGGCAAGCAUGGACAAAUAGGUAAUCUUACGUGUAAAGAGGAGAAAGAACGGAGCAGGAAAACUGUUUGACAGGGCAAUAUCGCUAAUUUAAUUCUGGUGAGCAACGCUUUUCCACCAGGUGGAUGGCAAGGGCAAAAACGCCUUUUUACUGUGAAAAAGACGCAAAAAAAAAGGCACAUAAAAAAGCAUUCAGAGGGCAUUUUCGCCCGUUUACCACUGGUGAACAGUGUUUUUUUGCUUGAGUUUUAGUAUAGGUUCAACUAAAAAUUGUUAUCCGCGUGAUUAGAAAUUGUUAAAAAAAAAUUAUCAUAGACUAUUAAUAUUAUUUACAUUAAAAAUGUUACACGAUUUUAACAAACAAAAAAUUUAAUCUAUACAGUAUACACACAAACAAUUGUAGAACUUUUGUCUCUACAUAAAAAAAAAAAUAAAAAAAUCUAAGUUAUUCACUGAAGCACCUAAAGUUUCUUGAUUGUGAAGAAAGCAACCUCAGCAAGGAAAAAUAUGAAAUAUUAAAAUACAUGCAAUUAAUUUAUACAUCAACGGGCUUAUAUUACAAAAAAAUAAGGAUAAAGUAUUGCUACCUAGUCUUUUUUUUUUUGGAGGAAAAUAAUCUGAUUUUAUACCAAUUAGAGAGAACUUUUUUCAGCAAUUUAAUAGUCUAAUAAAUUGAUUAUACAAAAAAUCCAUUAAAAAAACCUAAAAACAAUAAACUAUUCACUAAUUUUUCAUACGAAAUAGAACAAAGCUAUAGAAUAUACCUUUUCAUGGUGAGUAUUGUGAAAAAUACAACAUAGCUUGAGACAAUGGUAAUUAACGUGUUUGGAAAAGUCUACCUGCGUGGUGGUGUAAUCGUCACACAGAUAAACUUCAAUGCCAAUUGAUUGAACUAAGUUUUUUUUUAACAAACAAUAUUAUCUACACUAAAGAGAAAAAGGUAAGCUUAGACUCACAACAAGAGAAGCCUUGCGCAGAGCUCUGCCUCUAACAACUCAAUUAUAUCUUGAAAUCGGCUAAGUUGGUAUUGUAACACGGUAAGGUUGGGUAGAUUUUAGAUCCAAAUGUCACCAAACAAUAUUCUGCAGAAUGGCAGUGUUCUAUCUAGAUUGUCCAUGGCACGGGCGUAAACUGGAUGAUAACGCAGGGCAACACUGGUACUAUACCCUAAACAUCCACAAGCUAUAAACAAAUAGUUAAAGUUGAUAUGCACCAAGGGUACUAAAACUCAAUCCAUUGUUUAGUAAGAAGAACCACAAAAACAAAUUAGUAAAAACCGAAAUGGUUAUCAGAUGGACACAAAGGUUUUUGUACUACGUGAAACUUUGCGUCGAGAAAUUGAAACAACUAUCAGGAGACAGUUAUACGGAUUUCCUACAAUUCUAUAAAUAAUAUAUUCUUUCACCAUUGUUUCAAUUCAAACAAAAAUUAAAGAACAGAAAAGCUAGAAGCAGGAAAAUUGCAACUGAUCAAUAUUUUCCAAACAAAACCAACCUGCAAUGUCCUAGUUGCAAAUUCAACUCCAAUGGUGGACUUAGACUCCAAAGAAAACUCAUUCCUCGUAAACCUCAAAAGAAUGUUCGAUUUUCCAACACCCGAAUCUCCAAUCAAUACAAUCUUGAAGAGGUAAUCGUAUUCGUGAUCCACCUUGUACGCCAUACGUUCUACUCCUCACACACACACCCCACAACACCUGCCCAGAUCCAGAAUUCACCAAACAAAAAGCUGUUAGCAGUCAAAAAACCAAAAAAAUAAACCCAUUCUCUUGUUUUGACAGAAGGGAUGAGAAAAGUGCUGAUCAGAGAGCAUUUUCUUUACCCACGGUUUCUUUCCAAUGUGAUUUUCCCGAGAAACAAACGGAAAUUGGGUAAUCAUAAAACAAUGGCGCGUAGAAUGGUGAUUAACAAAAUAGAGGAUAUUUUGAAUGUUGGGUUUUGUUAUGUUUGCAUUGAAGUUUGUGGAAACAGAGGAGAGGAGAAAAGAAGAAGAAAAGGAUGGCGUUGUACAAAGUUAGAAACAGAACAAUUGAUGAAAAUGCACUUAAAACGGCCUUUCACGAGGGAAAUGACGCGCCGAAUUCGGAGUCUGUGUAAAGUAAACGACCCUUCAUAAGACAUGCCGCAUAAAAUUUAAGCCCAUUCUCAAUGUGGGCUUAGGGCAUAUGUUUGUAACCCACUGAAAAGCUCCAUUAGGGUUUCCUAUCACACACUAUUUAUCUCUCUACACACUUAUGUCAUGUAGUCAUGUUUAAUCAUAUCGGUUGACUAUUGAUUUUAUCAACUUGGGUUACUAAAAAUUAAGAAAUGAGUGCAAUUAUCAUUUCUAACUGUUUUAAAAUGUUAGGAUGAUUCAUAAACAAAUUGGAAGUUCAAAAGAUAAGUCGGAAUGAGCCCCUAAAUUCAAAGGGUAUUUGCCAUGUCUCUCCGUUUUGUGAAUCAUUAAAAGUGACAUUAUUUAUCCUUACAUAUUUUGUCUUUGGUGCACAAAGUGACUACUACUGCCAACCACUACAAACCUAACCUCUUACACCACCAUUGUUACCACCAAGCCACCACCACGACCAUAACACAUAAGCGUCACCACUACCACCACUUACCUCUGUAGCUCAACCACCACACCCCUUAAUCAGCAGCACCACCACCACCACUACUAUCACAACCAUUGUCCUAGCCACCGUUGUCAACGUCAUCACGCAAAUUAUCAUGUCCAUUUUUGUUAUUAUAUACAAUUAUAUCAUUUUACAUUAAAUUUUACCAAACACGCUUUUACAAUGCUUUUCAUACUCACAACACUUAUAAAAAUACAGUUAUCAAACACUCAGCUACUUUAUUUUGUAGCUGAUUAUUCUUAAAGCACAACAUAAACAAUUUUUUUUAAAGCAUAGUACUCCCCAACUGGCCCUAAGUCCACAAAUGAGUCAUCCAAAGCAAAGCCGGUCUUGAGUUUUUUGGUGCCCGGAAAAGGAUCAGAAAGUGCCUUUUCUUAAUACACAGGUAUAUAUUAAAAAUAAAUAUUUAAAAAGGGUGGGCCAAGCCCUUCUUACAUAUUAUAUUACUCAAGUGCAAAGGUAAACGUUCAUAGCUAAUAAGGAUAAAACUGUUAAAAGCAUAGUUAGUUAGAAUUGUUAUAAGGUGGUUAUGAUAGCUUGUAAUUAGUGAAUGUUUGUUUGGGUAUUUUUGUAAUUAGCUUGUUAGCUAAGACUAGUGAGUCACUAGUAUAUAUAUGUACAUACCAUUGUAUAAUUUUAUCUUGAUGAAAUGAAAAGAUAACAUUUCUAAUAUGGUAUCACCCGCCUAAAAGUCUCACGACAUUUUCGAUCCUAUUUUUCCCGCCUCUCUCUCUGCAUUGUCUCCUAGGGUUUGCUUCUUCUUCUCCGAUCAAUCGAUCGCUUCAACGCUCUUACUUCUUCUUCUUCAAGCUAUGACGACCUCUGCAACUUAGUCUUCUUCCGCUUCGGAUUCUCCUAUUCAUCCAAUUCUUGCUGCCCUUUCUAACCCUAAUUCUGCAAUUACGAUCCAAAACAUUGGAUCCAUGGUUCCAAUCAAGCUUACAACGACGAACUACCUGACCUGGAGUGCUUUAUUCGCUCCGAUUUUCCGCCGGUACAAUCUUACCGGAUUAAUUGACGGCACAAUGGCUGCUCCGUCAAAAUUCCUUCUCGAUGCAUCUGGAAAUCGCACUGCCACUCUGAAUCCCCAAUAUGUUGCGUGGUAUAUGAAUGAUCAGAACAUCUUGAUCUAGAUCAACUCUACGCUCUCGGAUGCUCUCAUUCUUUACACUGUUGGUGUUAAUUCGGCUCGGGAGUUAUGGUCCAAGUCAUGUAUUUCUCUUUCUAGUGUUUUAAAUAAAACUGUCUGCUCCAGCUGUGCUCUAGGCAAGUCUUCAAAAUUACCUUUUGUUUCUGUUUCCUGUACCUCCAGUAAACCUCUGGAAUUGUUACACACUGAUGUAUGGGGUCCAGCCCCUCUUCUUUCUAUCAAUGGACAUCGUUACUACAUCAUUUUUGUUGAUGAUUAUACCAAAUACACUUGGUUCUUUCCUCUUGCAUCCAAGUCUGAUGUCUUUGACACAUUUGUCAAGUUUAAAGCUCCCGUGGAAAAUCUACUCAGUUCUAAAAUAGUUACUAUAAGAUCUGAUUCUGGUGGAGAGUUUCUUAGUCUCAAGCUCAUCAAUUAUCUGCAAUUACAUGGCAUUUCACAUCAGUUAAGUUGCCCUCACACACCUGAACAGAAUGGAUGUGCUGAACGCAAACAUCGGCAUCUAGUUGAAACUGCUAGAACUCUUCUAGCAGCCUCUCAAGUUCCUAAGCUCUAUUGGGAUGAUGAUUUUGCCACGGCUAUCUAUCUGAUUAACAGAAUGCCGACAGCUACCAAGUAUUCUCCUUGGGAAUUACUCUUUCACAAACCUCCGGAUUAUUCCUCUCUGAAAGUGUUUAGCUGCAAAUGUUUUCCUUGGUUGAAGCCUUACACUUCCUCUAAACUUGAUUCAAAGAGCAAAGUAUGUGUCUUCUUGGGUUAUAGUUUGAAUCACAAGGGUUAUAAAUGUCUCGAUCCUCAUACUGGCAGAGUAUAUCUUUCACGGCAUGUUAUUUUUGAUGAAGUCACUUUUCCUUUUGCUCAACAAGACUUAUCUCAGUCUCUCCCAUCCAGUUCUAGUUCUUCAAUACUGAGGAAUCAUCACACCAUUCCCACAACCUUAACUUUUCCCACUAUAUCUUCACCUUUACCAUCUCCUUCCCUUACUGCACCUAGUUCCCUUGCUGCAUCUAGUUCUCUUGCUGCACCUAUUUCCUCUUCCUCAUCUCCUCACCCUAUUUCUCAUCCCAUCUCUGCCCCUAAUCCACUUGCCGCACCCUUCAUACCUCAAAACACUCAUUCCAUGCAAACUCGUUCCAAAUCCGGUAUUGUCAAACUAAAGGUUUUCUUAGCAACCAAACAUCCUAUUUCCUCUGAGAUGUCACUUGACUAUAUACCAUCCACUUAUCUUCAAGCCUCCAAACACUCUCACUGGAGGCAAGCUAUACAGGAAGAAUUUAAUGCUCUUAUUCAAAUUGGCACUUGGUCUUUGGUCCCUUCUCAUUCUUCUCAGAAUUUGGUUGGUGCAAAAUGGGUAUUCAGAAAUAAAUGCAAGCCUGAUGGUACCAUUGACAGGUACAAAGCAUGGCUUGUUGCCAAAAGAUUUCAUCAGCAACAAGGUUUGGACUACACUGAAACAUUUAGUCCAGUUGCAAAGCCGGUUACCAUUUGGCUUCUUCUCACUUUGGCUGCCAAGUUUGAUUGGUUCCUCAAUCAACUUGAUAUUAGCAAUACAUUUUUGCAUGGUAAUCUCACUGAAUCUGUGUUUAUGGUACAACCACCAGGAUUUGAAGACCUUACAAUGCCUUCUCAUGUUUGUCAUUUGCAUAAGUCUUUGUAUGGUUUGAAGCAAGCCCCCAGGGCUUGGUAUGAGAAAUUAACAACUGCCUUAAAGUCUCUCGGUUUCUCUGGUUCUCAUAAUGACUAUUCUCUGUUUGUAAAACGGGAACCAGCUCUGGUCUUCAUUCUGAUUUAUGUUGAUGACAUUAUUGUCACUGGUCCAAGUUCCCAUCUUUGCCAAGAGGUUAUAACUCAACUCGGUGUCUUAUUUCCUGUCAAAGAUCUUGGCCCCCUUCAUUACUUUCUUGGCAUUGAAGUAACAAGAUCAUCCUCAAGGAUAUUGCUUUCUCAGACCAAAUAUAUUCUUGAUCUCCUCACUAAAGCUCAUAUAGAGGGUUCCAAGCCUUGUGUUACCCCGAUUAGCACCACUAAAUUGGAUCAUGAAUCUCCUUUACUUGAUAAUCCUGAAGAAUAUCAAUCUUUGGUUGGUGGUUUGCAGUAUUUAACUUGGACUAAGCCCGACUUAUCUUAUGCAGUGAAUUUGGUCUGUCAAUUCAUGCAUAGUCCUCGGCAAGCACAUUUCCAGGCCGUCAAGCGCAUUCUUCGAUAUCUUAAGGGUUCCUUGCAAAUUGGCUUAUGGUUUCCUAAGUGUUCCAAGUCUCUCACUCUCACUGCCUUCUCCAAUGCAGAUUGGGCAGGUUGCAGUAUUGACAGACAAUCCACUAGUGGUUUUGUAAUUUUUUUGGGAGACUCUCUUAUUAGCUGGAGUGCAAAGAAACAGCCUACUGUGGCUUGAUCCUCAACUGAGGCUGAAUAUCGAUCUUUUGCAAACACUGCGGCUGAACUCACCUAGAUUUCCAAGUUACUGACUAAUGUUGCUCUUGUUCUUCCCUCUUCUCCACAGCUUUGGUGUGAUAAUAUCUCUGCAAUUUCCUUGGCUAAGAACCCUAUUUUUCAUGCACGAACCAAACAUGUGAAGAUAGAUUAUCACUAUAUCCGCGAAAAAGUGCUCGCCAAUCAAGUGCAAGUUCUUUUUGUCUGCACGGAGGAUCAACUUGCUGACAUUUGUACUAAACCUCUAUCCAAGCCUCGGUUCAUCUUCCUUCGCAACAAACUCUCUCUUCGGUUCCCUCAGUUAGGUUUGCGGGGGGGGGGGGAUAAUAAGGAUAAAACUGUUAAAAACACAGUUAGUUAGAAUUGUUAUAAGGUGGUUAUGGCAGCUUGUAAUUAGUGAAUGUUUGUUUGGGUAUUUUUGUAAUUAGCUGGUUCGCUAAGACUAGCGAGUCACUAGUAUAUAUAUGUACAUACCAUUGUAUAAUUUUAUCUUGAUGAAAUGAAAAGAUAACAUUUCUAAUAAUAGCCACUUUAAACUAUAAUCAUUAAGUUCAUCUCCAAUUGAACGCUGGCCAAAUGGCUUGUUUUAUCCAUCUGAUCCUCUAAGAAAUUAAUAUUUUAAUGAACUAUGCAUGACCAUAUUUCUUACCAUCUCCAACCGAGGGCCAAACAUAAUUUAUUAUUUAAAUUUAAAAAUUACAACUUAAAUUAAAAAACUACAACUAAAAUUUUAAAAAUACAACUUAAAUUUAAUAACUACAAGUAAAAUUUAUAAAAUACAACUUAUAUAUCUCAAGUCAAAUGUGAGAGGUUUUAUUUAGAGUAGAAAAAAAAGGAAAUAAGUGGGAGAGGAAGUAGGAGAAACUAAAAAUGUGGAAGUGGGUGGGAGAGGAAGUAUAAAAAUAUAAAAAAAAAUGGAAGUGGGUGGGAGUCCCACAUCGGUUGUGAGAAAGAUUUGAGCAAGUUCCAAAGCCUAUAAAAAGAACACCUAACAUUCAAUGAAACAUACUUUCUGGGCCUAUAAUUGAAUAUAUUUUUUAAAAAAUUUUGGCUAACAAAAAAAAAUUCAAAUAACUGUAAAAAAAAAACAAAAAAAAGGGCUAGCUAACUUUAGCUAGUUGACAGUUGCUUUUGAAUUCUAGCCCGGCCAGUUGGCCCUUUGACCAUUUUUUAUCUAGUGGGGCCCACAAGCCAUUUGGUCUAGCUCUCGGUUUGAGACGAUUUUAGGGUCAUUUUCGACCCUCUGACACCUUUUGGUUGAAGAUGACCUAACAGAAAAAAAUUGAACAUUUUAUGAGACUUCUCUCUCCGAAGAGGUCCCAAAUUUAAGUACUAGCAAACGGGUGCAUUUUUGCUCACCCACAUUAACUUAGGUGUAUGCUCACCACACAUCUCCAAGCUUGCCAAGUGUCCCUUUGCUUUAAUCCUGGUUAACAUUUUCAUUUGUUAUUAAUAUUUUACUAUAAUAAUACAUUAAUAAUCAUCUUAACAUUUAUCUUUGAACUUUUUAAUCAAUAUUUGUAUCUCAACCGUCCAUCUCCCCUCUUCCUCCCCCCUCCCAUCUCUCUCCUCUGUCACUUUUCCCCCUUUUCUGUCAUUUGGGCGAAUAUCCCAAAUCUAAAAUCUCAAAUUCUAAUACAAAUUUAAAGGGGAAUGGGUGAAUUGAUUUGACGGGGUGAAGUCCAUCGAUAUCGCGAGAAAGGAGCAUGAUGAGUAGAUUUUAUAUUAUAUAUGUUACCCUAAUCUUAGUAUAUUUUGGUUAACAUUUUGGAAGAAUUUUGAUACUUUGAAUUGUAUUUCCAAUAUAGGACUUUCGACUUCUUCUGGAGCAAAACAGAAUCAAAUAGACGAAUUUUUAAGUAAUUCUAGUUGGAGAACGUUCGUGAGUCACUUAUCUUGAUCGUAUCAAAAUCUGGGAUUUUUCCACCAUGCAGUUAUUUUCUGGCGAUAAAAUAAAGGAGCGAUGUGCAGUGCUGGAAAAUGACUUUUUUUGGCUUAAAUUACGUUUUUGUAGCCCACGAUGACCUCGGAUGGGUUCGUGGCCUUCUGGAGAAGUGUUCAGAAUGUUCCAAACAUUAAAUUCAGCUAUAUUGGGCUGGUUUUGGAGCAGCUUAUGGAUCCAAAAUGUGGCUGUUCAGAUUUUAGGCGAAUUUUACCAUUUAAUUUAGAGUUAUGUUUCCUAUUUUAUUUAUUGUUACUAUUAGUUUCCUAGAGGGAAAAAAUGACCUGUUUUUAGGGUUUGUGUGGUGGUUUAGCAAAUAUAUUGCUUAGCCGUCUACCACAUUUUUCUCUACGCUUUAUUUUAUGCAAUUUUGAAGACAGAGAGAAAUGCUAGGGUUUUGGAGAUUUUCUACUUAAAGGUGUUUUCAAUUAUUUUCUUAAUAAUAUUUUCUAUGAUUUCAAUUAUGAAUAUGCAUAACUAAUUUCCUAUUGCUAGGGCGAAGCCUUGAGCCUUAACAUGAAUACGUGAUUUUUAUUUAAUUGCUUAUGAUUGAUUGCAUGCAUACUUUGAAUUGUUAAUCACCGGGAUAAAAACUAUCUAAUUAUCUUAAUGCCUGAUCACCAUUAUGAUCUUUAGAAAAGUAAUUUGAUGCAAUUUUGGUCGGAAGGUUCCUUGAAAUUGACACUGGCUGCAUGUGAUUAAUAAUUGUAAUUUCACUUAAGAUGAACACCACGUCUUAAAGGUUGCAUGAUUUUUCAAGGGAUUUUCAUAAAGUAUAAUGAGUCUUUGAUGUUCAGAUUUGAUCUGAACGUCCGGACAGGUUGCAUGUUAGAUAUACGUUCUAUGUUGGAGGUUCCAAGUAGAAUAUGAAUUAGGAAAAUCUAACCUUCAAAGUGGCAUGUGUAGAUCAUAAGUAAUUGGUAAAAAUUCAUAGGAUUGCUAGGUGAUGGUGGAACCCUAGCGUUUUCUUAAUUUGAUUCUUCCAAAACUGUUUUCUUUUUCCCCAAAUUUUAAUAUUGCAGAUUGUCUUAUUUGUUUUAAUUAAAUUCGUUUUUAAUUUAAGUAGGCUAUAAAAUCAAUCAUCAUAAUUUCUACUUUACAAUAAUUAAUUGAACUUUGGUUUGUUUCGAAUUAUUUCAUAAUCCCUGUGGAGAACAACCUUGCGAGAUCCGUUUACACUACAACAACCUUGUGAUUCUUGUAAAUAUUAUAGGAAUUUUUAUCCCAUUCACAUGAUUAGUAAAAUCCCUAUCAGAGCACAAGUUGCCUCCAUUCACUCGAAGCAAAGAUGCACAGAUAAGUGAAGAAAAUUUGUACCUAGAAGAUUGUUCCAAAUUGUGGGUGGUUGGCAUGGGGUGGUGAGAGGUGGGAGGGAGCAAAUAACAAGUGAGAGGAAUAAAGGGUCGUCUUUGCUGCUUCAAAUGCUUGAGCAAUUUCCAUUAGAAUAUUAUACAUAAAUAAAAUUACAAUUAGGAGAUAAUUUCUGUGAUUCGAAACGCCAUGGAUGAUUUGGUGUAGGAGGACAAUUUCUUUGAAACUGAAUAAACGCUUCGGGAGGUGAGUUGCAGACGGUUUUUUAUUUGUCUAUUUUUAGUUUAUUUUUAUUUCUUUAUUAAAUUAAUAAAGAAGAUGUCGCACUUGGUGCGAUGGCAAGUGCCUUCGCCCAUGAGCGGUAAGUCUCGGGUUCGAGACUUGGGAGCAGCCUCUCCAUAAAAUGGGGGUAAGGCUAGCCGACAUUCACCUCUCCCAGACCCUGCGUAAAGCGGGAGCCUUGUGCACUGGGUAUGACCUUUAUUAAAUUAAUAAAGAGUAAUUAAAUCACAGUUAACCAUGGUUAAGGCAAGGGAACACUUGGCAAGCUUGGAAAUGUGUGGUGAGCAUACACCCAAAAUGGGUGAGCAAAAAUGCACCCCUAGCAAACUUAUUCGGUUCUUUAAUUAUCAUCACAUCAAAUGCCUAGAAAGGUUUUGCCCAACUCAAUCAACACGAGUCAACAAAUUUCAAGAAUAGUAUUAAGUAUAAAGAGAAAUUAGAAGCCCCUGCAUUUUUCAAAUACAUUUUAGAUCAAACAUUGGUUCUUCUCUAAGAUUUGAUUAAGAAGCUUUGACCAAUUGCCACAUCAACAUUUUUCUAUAUUUUAAAUUACAUAUAAUUUGUUUAAAGCCAUCUUCACUUCACCUUGUAACUAAUUGCUUACAAUAUAGGAAAUUUUAUUUUCAUUGUCCUAUAAACUCCUACGUUUUAAUGACUCUUUUGAUAUAAAAAAAAUAAUUAAUUAAAGUAAUUUAAACUUUUACAUUGUUAAACGACUCUUUCUAUAAAAAAAAAUAGGGUAAAGUACAAAAAACUAUCUCAACUAUUAGUGUCACGAUACUUUCAUAUCUCAUCUUUUAAAAUUGACAAUGUCAUACUUCAUCUUUAGAAUUUGGUCCAAUAUUAUACCUUCCGUUACUUGGCUGUUUACUUUUCAAUUAAAUGCUGACGUGACUUGAUUAAAAAAAAUUAUUUAAUAAUUUUAAAUAUUAAAAUAAUAAAAAAAAGUAAAAAAAAAAAAGAAAACAACCCUAAGUUCGUCCCUCCCCCUCCCCAUCUUCAUCUUCUUCGCCCCCCCCACCCAAAAAAAAUAAAUAAUAAAAAACUCAGAUCCCGUCGGCGGGAAGAUGGGUGCGCGGAGAAGGUGGAGGAUGGGUGCGGAAUAGGAUGUGGAGAAUGGAUGGGUGGUGGAUUUGGGGUUGGGUUUUUUUUUUGGGGGCGGGGGGGGGGGGGACGAACUGGGUUCGCUUUGGAUUUUUUCUUUCUUUCCUUUUCUUCUUCUUCUUCUUCUUUUUCUUCCUCAUUCUUCUUUCUGGGUUGUUGGGGGUUGAGCGAACUGGGUUGGGUUGGAAUUUUUUUUUUCCUCUUCUUCUUCUUCUUUUUUGGGGGAGGGGGGUUCUUCUUCUUUCUGGAUUGUUGGGGGUUGGGCGAACUGGGUUGGGUUGGAAAUAUUUUUUUUCCACUUCUUCUUCUUCCUCCUUUUUUUUUUCCUCUUCUUCUUCCUCCUUCUCCUUCUUCUUCUUCUUCGGGGGAGGGGGGUUCUUCUUCUUCUUCUUCUUCCUCUUCUUCUUCUUCCUCCUUCUUCUUUCUGGGUUGUUGGGGGUUGGGCGAACUGGGUUGGGUUGGAAAUUUUUUUUUUCCUCUUCUUCUUCUUCCUCUUCCUUUUUUUUUCCUCUUCUUCUUCCUCCUUCUCCUUCUUCUUCUGCUUCUUCUUCGGGGGAGGGGGUUCUUCUUCCCCCUUCUUCUUUCUGGGUUGUUGGGGGUUGGGAGAACUGGGUUGGGUUGGAAAUUUUUUUUUUCUCUUCUUCUUCCUCCUUCUCCUUCUUCUUCUUCUUCGGGGGAAGGGGGUUGAUGGGUUUUCAAAUUUAUUUAUUUUUGGUUGAAGAUUAAGCAGGGAAGAAGAUGAAGAUGGGAAGAGAAAGGGGGAAGGGACGAACAGAGGGAUUUUUAAUUUUUUUUUUACUUUUCUUUAUUAUUAAAAAAAUAUUAAAUAAUAAUUUUUUAUUAAAAAUGGGCCCUGAAUCAAGUCACGUCAGCAUUUAACUGAAAAAGUAAACGGCCAAGUAACGAAAGAUAUAAUAUUAGACCAAAUUCUAAAGAUGAGGUAUGAAACUGUCGUGACACCAAUAGUUGAGGUAGUUUUUUGUACUUUAACAAAAAAAAUAAAUAAUUAAAGUAACUUCUCGUUAUACCAUCUUCAAUGGUGGGCUAAAUACUAAAUUACCCCCCAAUUCCCCCCCCCCCCACCAAACAAUCUCCAACCCAUGAUAAAACAUUGGGCUAAAUGCCAAAUGUUAAAGCUGGGCCAAAUACCCCCCAAAAUUCCCUCCCCAUGUGAUUGGAUUCGCUGGCAAUUGGGCCAGUCUCAGCCCGGUCACGCUUCAACGUGUCCCACGCGGUGCGCUUGCAAACCUUUCCCAACAGGGGUGUGCCCCUCUGUUAGUCGUUCGUCUGCUACCCAAAAAUCCCAACAACUAUAAUUUGAAUCCAAGGGCUUGGUUUAAUGGAUCGUUGGUUGAUCCAACAGUCCAGAUUCAAAUUUAAUUUUUUUUUAAUAUGUUAUUUUAAAAUACAUUGAAUCCAAUGACUGAGUUCGAAUAUAAUCAAAUCUAACGGUAAAAAAUAAGAUCUAACGAUCCAAAUUUAAAUUCAACGGCUAAAAUAAUUUUAAAAAAUCAUUUAACUCAAAAUUCACCAAAAAACUCUAUAAAUACCUAUGUGUUUGUUCAAACAUCCACACAAAACUCAAUUUUCUCCUACGAUUCUUCCAAUUUAUCUUUUUACCUUUUCUUUCCAUUUCCAAAUUGUUCAACAUGACAAGAGAGCAUAUUAGAGGUCGUAAUUGGACCUAUGAGGAAGAUGUUGCUUUAUGCUUGGCAUGAUUUUCUAUUAGCAAAGAUGGUGGAGUUAGCACAAAUCAAAAUAAGAAGGUUUUGUAGGAUAAAAUCAUUGCAAAGUUUUAAGAAAACUGCAAUGGCGGCAGGCAUGAUGGUGGUGGUGUUUAUGAUUGGUGGAAGACUAUCAACAAAGCAUGUACUUUAUGGAAUAGAAGUUUUGAGAGAGCCGUGGUUGGCAUGGCUAGUGGAAGAAGGGCCACAGAAAUUGUGAGUUUUGUUCUUAAUAUUUUAUUUAUCAUGUACAUAAUAUUAUUUUCCAACUAAGUAUUUUUAUGUAUUUUUUGCAUAAGGUGCCAAAGCAAUGAAAAUUUAUAAGACAAGAGCAACACCAGAAAAUCAAGUUUUUAAGUUGCAACAUGCUUAGAACGUCCUCAAGGAUUGUCCAAGGUGGGGAACCGAUGCGGACCAACAAUGGGGAAGAUUAUUUCAACGUGAAGCCGCACAGACAAAUGCCGGAGAUGAAGGUGUCGAUGAAAUGACCCCAUCUCCUUCUUUUGCAAGGCCCCCGGGAAGAGAUAAGCAAAAGGAAGCAAAGAGAAAAGGGAAGUCCCAAGAUCCGAUGAGUGGACACUUUGGUACUAGAAUUGCAAAAUUGAACGAAACUCAUAGCGCUCGCUAAGAAGAAACGGCCCGAAUGCGUUUGCAAAUGAAGGAAAUCUCAUAUCGGGAGCAAGAUAGGUUUGAAAUUGAAUUCAUGAUGGAGGACCUCAACAAAUACACUUUAAAGAGGAAGAAGUUCUUACAUGGUAAGCAAAAGGAAAUUUUGCAAAAGUCUGUCUCAAGGAGUAUGUUUCAAGAUGAUGAAUCCUCUGAAUCCUAUAUCCCAAGAUUUCAAGAAAGUCCAUCACCAAGUGAAGAUGGUGGAUAUGAUUAUUAAGUUUAUGUAGUGUAUGAAUUAUGUGCUUUAUUAAUUGAGUUUAUUAAUUGUCGAUUGUAUUAAGUUUAUGUGGUUUAUGAAUUAUCGGUUGUAUUAAGUUUAUGUGGUUUAUGUAUUAUCAGUUGUAUUGUUUCUAUUAAUUUAGAUGUCUUCAAUAAUUAUUGUACUUAUUAUUUCACACUUUGAUGUAGAAUAGAUGUCUUCAAUAAUUCAACGUACUAGACAAAAUACUUUGCACAAGAAGACAUUUAAAUUUAUUACUAGAAAAUAACAACAUAGUACACUUAAAAUUAAUCUAGAUGCCUUCAAUAAUUAUUGUACUUAUUAUUCCGCACUCUUCUAUAUCACGCUACACAUAUGAACGUCCCGUGACAGAACCACGAUGGCUAGAUUCACUAUGGUGGUCAGAUUGCAUAAACGAGUUGACAAGUUCAACUUUGGCGUUGAACAAUUCUGCAUCCUCAAUCUCGAUCCUUGCUUGGUAUUGUGUCAUCUGCAUUGUCAUGCUACAUAUUUUUCUAUCACCAAUUGAUGAGAUAUUGAGGAUUUUUAGGAAAUAAAAACUCUUUGAAAGUUGAAAGAUUAGUGAAUAUAGAGGAUGAUUGAAGGUUAAAAGAUUGUGUGAUCAACAAAUAUUGGACAUAUGUUUAUAUAGAGGAUGAUUGAUGAAAGUUGAACAGUUGGUGAAAGUUGAAAGUUUGGUGUUGAACGGUUGGUGAAAGUUGAAAGUUUGGUGUUGAAGGGUUGGUGAAUUGAAAAUUUGGUAUUGAACGGUUGAUGAAUUGAAAGUUAGCACAUGGUUGAAAGAUUGGUGAAAGUUGAAGGCUUGCUUUGUGAAAAAUUUAGUGAUUUUUCAAUAUUUAUUGGAAUUUAAAUUUUUUUUAGAUUAAAAUAUUCAUAAAAUUAAUUUACGAUAGUCUACAUAUUUAUUUAAAAAAAUUAAUUUAAGAAAAAAAAUCGCCUAAAUUUAUUCUUUAAUAAUCCCGGGCUAAAAUUUUAUGCCAGAACAGUUGGAACAGAAAAACUGUUUCUAAGCUAAAAUAUUUUGCUUUUAGCCCAACCAUUGGAGAUGGUCUUAUUAGGACAAAAAGUAAUAAAACUUAUGUUUAGAAAACAAAUGUACCAAAAAUUCAAGAAAAUUUUAACAAAAAACUCCCGGUACUGUUUACUUUAACUAAAAACCACAUUUUUACACUAAAGAAUCAAUUCUGGUACUAUUCACUUUAUCUUUUAUUUUGUCCUUAUCGUUAAAACUCAAAGUUUUCGCCAAUUUCAUUAAUUUUCCUAAAAUUCAAAUGUACCAAGAAGCCAAAUGAACCAAAAAUUCAAAUGUACCAAGUAACAACAUGUACCAUUAUAAUUAAAUGUACCAAUAUAACCAAACGUACCUAUCAACAAGUUUUGUUACAUUCUAUUUAAUUUACUAAAAUAACUAUUUCAAUAAAAAAUAAAAAAAUCUUAAAUCAUCAUAAUUAGAGAUACAUAAAAAUUGGAAGAAAAAAGAAAAUGCUAUCGUGAAUAGACUUUUAAUGAAAUAAAAUUAAGGGUAAAGUACAAAAAACUACCUCAACUAUUGGUGUCACGACACUUUCAUACCUCAUCUUUUAAAAUUGACAAUGUCAUACCUCAUCUUACAAAUUUGUGUCAAUGGUAUACCUUUCGUUAGGGUUGGCAUGAAUUUCUCAAUUAAAUGCUGACGUGGCUUGAUCCAAGACCAAUUUUCUAUUAAAAAAUUAUUAAAAAUUAAAAAAAUUUAAUAUUUUUUAAAUAUUAAAAUUAAAAAAAAAAAUAACUCUCAGUCAGUUCGUCCCCUCCCCCCUUCUCUCUCUUCUCCCCAUCAUCAUCUUCUUCCCCCUUCCUGCAACUGCAACCCAGAAAAAAAAGAAGAGAAAAAAAAAACCAAUUUGUCUUCCCCCCUCCCCACCCCCUCUUCACCCCGCACCCACUCUCCGCACCCAACCUCCCCACCUUUGCACCCAACCUCGCACCCACUACCAGCAACCCAAAAAAAAAAAAUCCAAAUCCUGUUGAGGUGGAAUUAGGAAACCUUCGCCAGGACGAUUUCGAAGGUUGAGACCCUAAGCGCGGAGAAAAUAGGGGGAAUGGGUGUGGAGGGAAAAGGGUGGGUGCCGGGGGGGGGACGGACGAACUGGGUUUCCUUUUUAUUUUUUAUUUAUUCUCUCUCUUCUUCUUCUUCUUCUUUCUUCUUUCUGGGUUUGUUCGGGGGGGGGGGGGAGAAGGGACUGGGUUGGGUUGGGUUUUUUUUUUUUUUUUUUGUCUUCUUCUGCUUCUUCUUCUUUCUCCUUUUUUCUGGGUUGCAAUGGGUUGGGUUUGUGGUGGGGGGAGAAGGGACGAACUGGGUUUGGUUUGGGGUUUUUUUUUUCCUUCUUCUUCUUCUUUCUGGGUUUGUUGUUGAGGGGGGGGAAUUGGGUUGGGUUUUUUUCUUCCUCCUUUCUUUUUUUUUUUUUUUUGUCAAUCCUUCUGCUUGGGUUGCAGGAAGAUGGGAAGAGAGAGAGAGGGGGAAAGAUGAACUGAUCUGAGGUUUUUUUUUUCCCCUUUAUUAUUUUAGUAUUUAAAAAAAUAUUAAAUAAUUUUUUUUUAAUUUUUAAUAAUUUUUUAAUAGAAAAUGAAACCGAAUCAACCCACAUCAGCAUUUAAUUGAAAAAUUUACGAUCAAGUAAUAGAAUGUAUAACAUUAGCACAAAUUCGUAAGAUGAUGUAUGAUAUUGUCAAUUUUAAAAGAUGAGUCAUGAAAGUUAUGAUAAUUUUUUGUAGUUUACCUAAAAUUACGUACCAAAAAUUGUAGGAAAAAUGUUUAAUCAAAUUUGCAGAAUAUACGUUCAGUAACAUUUAAAAAGUUUUGCCCAACUCAAUAAACACGAGUCAACAACUUUCAAGAAUCUGUAUAAUGUGUUCGUCCCUUAUAAAAACAUAUCACUUGAGGUGAUUAAUUAUACGAACAUAAUCAACUUCUAGAAACUUAAAAUUACAUGAUUAACCAAAAUCAUACUUAGGAAUCUAAGCAAAGAAUCAGAAGAAAUAUGAGAAAAAAGGAAUGGGGAACUUACAAGAUCUUUGAAAAUGAUAAAAGCGAUUACGAAGACAACAAAAGAGGAUUUCGAUCUCGGCGAAUGGAACGAACCGAAAGACCGACUUGACACCCUGAGUCAAUGCGGAUGCAUUUGAAACUCGCUUCGCCACGGCUGCGCGGUCGGGUUGGGCUUUGGAGUCGGAUUUAAUACCAUCGGAAUUAGAUCGGCGAUCAUCCGAUGAGCGAUGGUGGUCAGGUGGUGGUGUGAUUGGUGUCACGGAUGGGUGGAGCCGCGGAGAGCUGGAGGCGGAGGUGGAGGCAGGCAGGUCUGUGUGGACAGUUGGAUCUGGGUGUGGGUGGACGAUGCGGCCUUAGCCUGUAGUCUGGUCGCGAAGAACUUAUGAAGACGAAGAGAAAGGCUUGGAGCUUGGAAGACGGAGAGACCGAAGCGUCGAUGGUGAAGAUUCGAAGAUGCAGGAGGGUGAAAAUUUGGUUUGGUUAUUCUCUAUAUUGCUAAUUGGUUUUGAUGGAAUCUCAACUUUCUUCAUGGUAUCAGAACAAGUUGUUCCAUGUGUAAAGCCAAAUUGCCACAUGGGCUCCAUGUCAUCCCGUUAUGUUGUCCACAUGUUAGACUUGAAAAUUUGCCACAAGUGAAAUCAGAGGAGGGACCUUGUAUUAGCUUAUAAGAGGUUAUAUUGCCAAUUGGUUUAAUUUUAAGAUGUGUUAUCCACACACAUUUUUUCACUUUUCACACACCUUAAUUUUUUGUCUUCAGAUCGAAUAAGUUGAGGAAGAUCAACUAAAUUAAUAAAGGAUGUCUGAGAAGUCCACACAUCCCUUAAUUUAUGAUAGAACCUCAACUUUCUUCAGACACCCAUGGCCAUGAGACUCACACUGCAUCAAUAGCAGUAGGGAACUUGGUCAGCAAUGCAAGUCUUACCAUUUAUAUUGGACAAGGAGUUUAACCAUUUAUGCUUAGUACUGAUCACUUCGGUUCUUUGGAUGAAUGUAUGUAUAGGUAUGAAUGGUGUGGUGUCUGUUUUCCCCAAUGAAAAGAAGAAGCUCCUCACAAGAACGUUAUGGGACUUUAUUGGGUUCCCGGAAAGAGAGUCGAGUAGCAACAAUCUUGACGAAAGCAAUAUCAUUGUAGGAGUGACUGAUACUGGAAUUUGGCCGGAAUCUGACCUAAAAAUGGGAAGGCACAUGACAAUCCUAAGCCAACAUUACUUGUAAUUUGUAUGGCAAACUAGUUUGUUGUCUGUUACUCCAAUCAUCAAUACAUGUAGAAUGUUGUUUUAUUAAAUUUGAUCAUGUGAAAUGAUGACUUUUGAAAACAUUAGGAAAUAGGAAAAGGCUAUAGUUUUCAAAUAAGGAUUUGGAUCUCAUCCGGAUCAAAAUUAUGGGGAUCAUAGGGAUCCUCAUAUCCUAACUAUUUAUCGUAUAUCGUGCGACCAGAAAUCAUUUUGAAAUUUUUAUUUAAAAAUUAAACGCAAAUAGUACUUAACGAAAACUGAUCGCACGUUAUACGAUGAACGAUUAUGAUGUGAGGAUCCUUAGGCCAUCUCCAACCGAAGGGUCCGGAGGGCCAGAUGGCUGAAAGAACCAAGAUGUUCAAUCUCAAUGACCUUCUCUUUAACUUUGUCUUGAACUUUCAGAUAUUCGAUAUCCAUUAGCCUCGAUGCUUUUGAUCUUCUUUUGGUACCUUAGAACUUUCUGAAUCAAAUGAUUGUUUUUUUUUAAAUUUUUUUUUUUUUUUUUUGAACAAACAAUAUUAUCUACACUAAGGGGGAGAGAGUGUGCUUAGCCUCACAAUGGGCUAGCAAUAAUGUGAUUCAAUCAGUUAUUUAUUAAAUAUUAUUCUCUCUAUUUUUAAACACAUUCAAAACAUCUUAAGAGGUGCAUACCACCGGUGACAAAAAAAGGUCUUUCGCAAGCGCACAAUAAUGUGAUUCAAUCAGUUAUUUAUUAAAUAUUAUUUUCUCUAUUUCUAAACACUUAAGAGGCAUGCAAUGCCGGUUAUAAAAAAGGCAUUUUGCCCGCGCAUAACAAUGUGAUUCAAUGACACACCUCGACCCGGAAUGUCCACUAGGACUCUGAAUCGAGCUAUGUUGGUGGAAGAUGACAAAGCCAUAAAGUAUAGUGAUGUGGAAAAUGUGAAUAAAUUUAAACCUAAAAGUGCCUAAACACAAGGGUGCGCUGUGAGCGGGAAUGAACCCAUUUCACAUGCAACGUCAGAGCAUAAGUAAAGUACAGUAGUGUGGGUAAGGAUCAUACCCUCAGAGGUAGCCACCUAUACUAAGAUUCGCCAAGAAUCCUUGUCGAUAUCAGUAGCUAAAACUUGGAGAGGCAAAAAAAUAAGGGUGAGUGAGCCUGAAAAUAAAGUUUUAAUAAAAACCUUUUGAAAACGUUUUAACCUUUCGCUGUAAAACCUGUAUAGUUUCUAGAAAUUAAUACUAUAUAUAUAUGUAAAACAAUGCACAAAGACAGUAAAAACCAAGUAUGACAUGUCAUAACGUUUCAACAUUGAAAUAUGUGAGCCAGGUGUGAAAAUCAAGGUAAAAUAAUAUGCCAGCUGGAGUCACCUAACGUGACCUGUAUGGCUGAACCUAUAACUCAUCAAUGUAUGCUUGCACACGAGUCAGAACCACCUAAUGUGGUCUGUAUGACAUGCUAGGUGUAAAUAAAUACGCUCAAGUUCUACGAUCACGUGAAGGCUGUGCGAAUAAUCGCAGGUCAGCUACGAGUUAGAACCACUUAUUGUGGUCUAUAUGACAGGGAUGGCACCAAGUUUGGAUCCAAGGUGAGCGUGCGGUGCAUGAGGUGAACAUUACAUGAAAGAUUAUGCCUGGCCUAGGGUGGAAGCACUAACACCGAGGUGCAUCAAUGAUGAACUCUAAAUGCAUCUAUGCAUAACAAUGUGCAAUACAACCAAUACCAUCACAAUAUACUCACCUGAAGCUUACCUAAGCCUCUGCAGCAUCAAACGAUAUAAUGCAUAACAAUAGUAAUGAAAUACUAAAAAUAUAAUUCAUUCAUGACAUGGCAUUCAAAGCAUAGCUCAUAUAAAAAUGUUUCUGGAAACCGUAAAGCAUAUAUAUAAAUACUGUAAAAAGGAAGAAGACCCACUCACUUAGAGUCUGUGCUACAAUUCCCUAGCACAAACAUCGAGCCAUCAAGAACGAUCGGUGCCUAGAACAAUUAUCAAACCACAUCUCAGAAUCCUUAUCAAUAGAACAUAUAACUUACAUAAAACACAUCCCCGAGGACGUUCUAGAAUGAUUUGAGACCCAUUGACCAAAAGUUAACCGUCGCUUAAAGAUUGACAGUAGGGUCUACAACCCUAGAUAAUUCGAUCUGGAAGAUCUGCAUCUCAGAUUUUCCAAUCCGUAACUUCCAAAUAUCCACAUUAUGCUUCUAAAACAUCAUAUUAAAGUUUCAUUACGAUCCAACGGUUUGAUCUUCGCCAAUUACCAAAACCAAGUGGCGGCCGACAUUUUAUUUUACGAACUUACAAAUCCAAUUCGGAAAUACCCACACUUUAGAUUCCAUAUCUGUAAAUUCCUAUGGUCCUCAAAUAUUACGUACUAUCUGUAAAUUCCUAUGGUCCUCUUUAUUCAGUUGAAUAUCCAAUAGUUCUCAUUCUCCAAUGCCUCUAUCAUUUCAUCUCAAAUACGCUACAAAGAAAGGUAGGCCUACAAAUAACAAUCAGAGGGAGUACAAAAGGUGACCAAAAUAUAGCGCCCGAGCACAGUGAUAAGUGAGCAAGGGUCGCUGUAUCUCCAUCGGCACCCGGAUGCAGUGUUAAAUGAGCAAGGGGGCCAUAGAAACUUCUUUUCGAACGACUCCACUCAAAGUUGUUUGGGAGCAUAUGCUCCUAUCAACUUUACCCGGGACACACAAAAGAAGUACUUUGAUCCUAUUAGACGGGGGAGGGUGAAGAAGCUAGGACAGAAGGGUAGAGUUCAAGAGAGCAAAAUGCGUUUAGGAACGUGGAAUAUAGGAACCUUAACGGGAAAAUCUAUGGAAGUAGUGGAAGUUAUGGUGAGGAGAAGGAUAAAUAUUAUGUGCCUACAAGAAACUAAGUGGGUUGGUAGUAAGGCAAAGGAUCUAGAAAACUCAGGGUUUAAACUUUGGUAUUCGGGCACAAAUAGAACGAGAAACGGUGUUGGCAUCAUCGUGGACAAGACCUUGGUACAAGAUGUUGUAGAUGUCAAGAGGGUAGGAGAUAGAAUCAUGGCAAUCAAGAUUGUAAUAGGACAAGAACUUAUCAAUGUGAUUAGUGCGUACGCACCUCAAGUAGGGUUGGAUACGAGUUCGAAGGAGAAAUUUUGGGAAGAUCUUGGAGACUUGGUGCAAGGAAUUGCUCAGACGGAGAAGUUAUUUAUAGGAGGAGAUUUAAAUGGACACGUGGGCAGGGAGACAGGCAACUAUGGAGGUUUUCAUGGUGGCCAUGGUUUUGGGGAGAGAAACGAGGAUGGGGAAGCUAUCUUGGAUUUUGCAAUGGCAUAUGAUCUCUUCUUAGCCAACACCUUCUUUAAGAAGAGAGAAGAACAUGUGAUCACCUACAAGAGUGGGUCGUCAAAAACACAAAUAGAUUUUCUUCUAAUGAGGAAAGGGGAUCGUAUAACUUGUAAGGAUUGCAAAGUUAUACCAGGAGAGAGCGUGGCUAAUCAACAUCGCUUGUUGGUGAUGGAUGUACAUAUCAAAAUAGUAAGACAAAAGAACAAGACUUGGAAGUGCCCAAGGACUAGAUGGUGGAAUCUAAAAGAAGAAAAACAAGUUAUUUUCAAAGAGAAGGUAAUCACCCAAUGUGUGUGGGAUAGAGAGGGGGAAGCUAGCCAAAUGUGGGAUUCCAUGGCUAGUUGUAUCCGAAAAGUAGCAAAAGAGGUAUUAGGAGAGUCCAAGGGCUUUGCCCCACACCAAAAGGAAUCUUGGUGGUGGAAUGAGGAGGUACAAACAAAGGUGAAAGCUAAGAAGGAAUGUUGUAAAGCCUUAUACAAGGAGAGGACCGAUGAAAAUGGUGAAAGGUAUAGAAAAGCGAAGCAAGAGGCGAAGAAAGCUGUCAGAGAAGCUAAGUUAGCGGCUUACGACGAUAUGUAUAAACGACUAGAUACCAAAGAAGGAGAGUUGGAUAUCUAUAAACUAUCUAGAGCAAGGGAAAAGAAGACAAGAGACCUAAACCAAGUGAGGUGCAUCAAGGAUGAGGAUGGAAAGGUUCUUGCUACAGAGAACGCGGUUAAAGACAGAUGGAGAGGUUAUUUUUCAUAAUCUUUUCAAUGAACGACAUGAAAUGAGUGCUUCUUUAGGGGAGUUGAGUAACUCAGAAGAGUGUAGAAACUACUCUUUUUAUCGUCGAAUCCGGAAGGAAGAAGUGGUUGUAGCUUUGAAGAAGAUGAAGCAUAAAAAAGCAAUAGGCCCAGACAAUAUACCAAUCGAAGUGUGGAAACUUUUGUGAGAGACAGGUAUAACAUGGCUCACUGAUCUUUUCAAUAGGAUUUUGAAAACGAAGAAGAUGCCAAAUGAGUGGCGAACGAGCACUUUGGUGCCUAUCUACAAGAAUAAGGGCGACGUACAAAAUUGCAUGAACUAUAGGGGUAUUAAGCUAAUGAGUCAUACAAUGAAGCUCUGGGAGAGAGUCAUUGAGCAUAGAUUGAGGCAAGAGACACGGGUUUCGGACAACCAAUUCGGGUUCAUGCCAGGCCGCUCAACCAUGGAGGCAAUCUAUCUCUUACGAAGAUUGAUGGAAAAGAUAUAGAGAUGGGAAAAAGGAUUUACACAUGGUCUUUAUAGAUUUGGAAAAAGCGUAUGAUAGGGUCCCAAGAGACAUUCUUUGGAGGAUUUUAGAGAAGAAAGGAGUACGAGUAGCAUAUAUCCAAGCUAUAAAGGAUAUGUAUGAAUGAGCAAAGACUGCCGUAAGAACUCAUGAAGGACAAACCGAAAGCUUUCCCAUAACUGUAGGAUUACAUCAAGGCUCAUCCUUAAGUCCUUACCUUUUUGCGUUGGUAAUGGAUGAGUUAACAGGACAUAUUCAAGAUGAUAUUCCUUGGUGUAUGCUUUUCGCAGACGAUAUAGUGUUGAUAGAUGAAACUCAGGAAGGGGUAAAUGCAAAGCUUAACCUUUGGAGAGAAGUGUUGGAAUCUAAAGGUCUUCGCCUAAGCCGAUCAAAGACAGAAUAUAUGGAGUGCAAGUUCAGUGCAAAUGGAGGCCAAAACGAGUUAGGGGUGAGGAUCGGAGAUCAAGAAAUACCAAAGAGCGACCGUUUUCGUUACCUAGGAUCUAUCUUGCAAAAGAAUGGAGAAUUAGAUGGAGAUCUCAACCACAGAAUACAAGCUGGAUGGAUGAAGUGGAAGAGUGCAUCCGGCGUGUUGUGUGACUGCCGUAUGCCACUGAAGCUCAAGGGAAAAUUUUAUAGGACGGCAAUAAGGCCGGCGAUGCUGUAUGGCACAGAAUGUUGGGCGGUGAAACAUCAACACGUACACAAAAUGGGUGUAGCGGAGAUGAGGAUGCUUCGUUGGAUGUGUGGGCACACGAGAAAGGAUAAGAUUAGGAAUGAGGAUAUCCGGGGUAAAGUAGGAGUAGCCGAAAUUGAAGGAAAGAUGAGAGAAAAUCGGUUACGGUGGUUUGGACAUGUGCAAAGAAGGCCUACUGACGCUCCGAUUAGAAGAUGCGACUAUGGGACAGAGGUUCAAGGCCGAAGGGGUAGAGGAAGACCUAGGAAAACUUUGGAAGAGACUCUAAGAAAAGACUUAGAGUACUUGGAUCUAACGAAGGACAUGACUCAGGAUCGAGCACAAUGGCGUUCUAAGAUUCAUAUAGCCGAUCCCACUCAGUGACUUGGAUUUUCCAAGUCUCUAACCGAGAAGUUUUCCUCACUCGGGAAAUUAAGGGAACACUACCCCAACCUACAUGCUCCACUCAGAAAGCUUUCAACAUACAAGCUUCAACAAAAGAAAAUUCAAAGAACUUAGCGAAGAAGGCUUUGGUGUAUUUAACACAAUACGUUGAAAUGAAGGAAAGCUUAUUUAUUGAUAUCCCCG